RNAcentral lists this long non-coding RNA (106513 nucleotides) under Sorghum bicolor (sorghum). RNAcentral's name for it is "long non-coding RNA (SBIC_LNC005588)". The record is from RNAcentral. Lineage: Eukaryota; Viridiplantae; Streptophyta; Magnoliopsida; Poales; Poaceae.
CACAAAAAACUGGAUAAAAACUAGUCUGAUUGGAUCCACCCAAUUUCUAAAUGCUAGAUUCUUAAAAACUGAAGGGAUCCAAACAGGACCUUAACUAAACCUGCAGUGGAGGGGGCUUUCCUGUAUGUUCCGUUUGCUCAUGUGAUGGUACUACAUAAUGAUGCAACUAUCACCAAAUUACAAACAAAGCGAAGAACAGAUACAAGGAUGGAGAAACUUAUAUUCAAUUUUUUAUUGAUGGGCUAGAAUAACAUCAAAUCCUAGCUCAAUACCUAAAAGAGGCAGAAAAAUCAAGGCAGUAAUUAAAAAAGAUCGGAAACGAUGUGGAGCGGGCGUCUGGCGCUCCCGCAACCGUCCGGACGCGCCGUAUGUGGGCUUUGAGGCCGUUUCGGGCCGGUUUCGGAGCGCGGGCGGCCCACUUCAUUCGCGUCUUCAUUCCUGGACGGUUUCCGCACUCCCAUUCAUCCGACACGCCCCAUUCCGACAACCGCGGUCGCGAGCGCAUCCACCGCAUCGCGCGCGGCGCCUCCACCGCGCCUGCCUCCGCCGCGCCUCCCGUCUGCAGCGCGUCGCCGGCCGUGGGCGCGCGGCUGGCCUCGAGUGCGCGGCUAGCCUCCACCUCGGCGCGACCGCGCCGCGCAGCGCCUCCACCGCGCCAUCCGCCCACCGUGCCGAUACACCGCGACGCUCGUCUCCACCGCGCCGGCCGUGUUCACCACGGCGCUCGUCUCCACCGCGCCUCCAACCCACCACCGUGAGGAAUCGCAUUCGCGCGGCCCGCUCUUCACAAAGAUUGCGACGGUUACUCGUCUCCUCCAACCCUAGCAGCGCAGGUAACACUCAGUGCUCCUUCUAAUCACUUGCUGAAGCUAGAUGUAGGCGAAAGUGUGCCAUGGCUCCCCUUGCUGCGGGAGAAAUUGGGGAGAAAUUAGAGCUACUACUCACGCUUGACUGCAUGUAUGCAUGUCUCAUAUUGUUGCAAUUCUUUCUGAGUUAGCUAUAUUCACUCCUAGGUAUGCAUGUCAUGUACAAAUUAUUACCGGAACUAUUAUAGAUUUUUUGUUUUUUGUUUUUGUUGAGACCUUCACAUAUUUGAUUGACUUUUGUAUUAGUUAUGAGAUAUUUUUCAUGUAGUUAAAUUGUGCUGACAUUACAUAGCGCUUGAAUUAGUUGUUGUUCAUGAUUAUGAUGAAAUUGGCCCCCUCUUCAUCCUAAUCCUACCUCCGCCACUGCUUAUAAUCCAUACCUGUUAUGUAUUUCUCCUUGUCAUCGGCUUCUCAUCGGUAACUGUUGUUUGUUUUUUUUAGGGAUGCAUACCAGAUCAGGCCUAAAUGCUUCAUCCGGCAGAGUUGAUUCGCCUAGCAGCAGCGAUGAUGAGGCAGAUGCUGGGCGGGGACGUGGUCGCCACCGUCAGGCAGUGAGGAAGAUUUCCAACACCAGGGCCCGAGCGGCUGUUGCAGUGAGCAGGGCUCGAACGACUGUUGUAGUGGGCAGAGGCAAGGGCAACACCGCCAAGAAGGCAGGUCAAGCAUCUUCGAGCAAUCCACGAUCGAACCUCUCUGUGAAAAAAUCUCCAAUGAAGAAUGUCAACAAGCAGCAAGGUAUGAUUAUUGUGUAAUGUUUGGAUUUGUGAUCAUUCGCCCAUGCUCUUUAUAAUUUCUAGAUCUGUCACAAUAAUCAACUUUUGAACAUGUUUCAAAUUAACCAGUAUUUCUUUGUUUCACCAUGACAUUACCAGUGUUUCAUACCUUUUUGUACAUAUAUAUUUUGCAACAAUCAACAACAUGGCAUCUAUAUAUUGACAUGUUUCAUUUUUUUUACAAUUUACAAUGUGAUUUGUACAGAGCAUGUAUGUUGUCCACCUGUGUGUUUGAUACAUGUAUCACCUUGUGUGUAUUUUUUAAAGUGUUACAAACUAUAUACCCCAAUUUUUGGAUUUAGUUUUAAUAUGUUAUUUUCUCUAUCUUUUUUACACAGCAAUUAAUGUUCCCAAAACCAAAAGCAGUGGCGAUGCCUUCAAAACCAGAUUUUCGUUGCACAGGAUCCGUGACUGCAAGUUCAAUCAGGAACAAAUAGGUUGGAUAAAUGAGGCUGGUUUAGGUGCUUUACUUAGCAUGUCUGACUUUUCCGUGCCUGUGAAUCUUGUUGCAUGGAUCAUGAAGCACAUUGACCCUGAUUUGAGAGAGUUUAGGCGCAAAGAUAAAGUUAUCGUAUUUGACAAGCAGCUUAUUUGCAACAUUCUUGGUGUGCCAAGUGGAGAUGAGCCUGUUAAGCUUACUUGCAAUGCGGAUGAAUAUGAAGCAUUCCUGAAGAUUCGUGAGCCUUUUAUGGAUGGAGUGCGAGGAAAAUUGUCGCAAUGCAUUGAUGUGUUGAAAACAGCUAAUGACAAGACCACUUUUUUGAGGGCAUUCAUGUUGCUUGCCUUGGGGUCUGUACUCUGCCCAGGCACAGACAAUGCCAUCACCCCACGGUACUUGCACAACUUAAAGGAUGUCUCUCUAAUCAGAUCAUUUGAUUGGGCUGGGCACAUUCUUGAUAAUUUGAUGAAUGAAGUCCGAAAGUACCAAACCUUUUCAAAACAAGAUGAACGUGCUACUGAAUGUCCUUACCUUGGCUCUUGCCUUGUGGUUUUUGAGGUAUGUUGAUUAUCCCUUCUAUGUUGUACCCAUCUGUAUUUCCAUUGCAAUGACUUUGCUGAUCUGUUUCAAUGGUACUACCUUAUAUGUUGCAUUAGCUAUCUAUACAUGUUUGAUUACAUAAGUUUCCAUAUACUGCAGCCGCGAUUUCCUAAUGUUGGGCCUUCAUGAUUUUUUGUACCAUUUGUAAUGUAGAUUGCAUACAUGGACUGUCUUGACAUACCUGCUGACCGGGCUACUCACAAAAUCAACUAUUCUGUCCCACGCAUUUGCCAUGUCACCAAGAAAGACUUUGAAUUCAUUUCAAAUGUUGACAGGAGUAGGGUUCAGCUUAAUGCAUAUGGGCAGCAACCUGUGAGUUUGAUGUUUUUUUCCAUCUUCAUUCAUCUUUAGUCAUUCCUUUUAGCCAUUGCAUUAUUUAUUUCUUUGUUAUAAUAUAUCUUCAUUCAUUGUUAGUUCCGAAAGAAAAGCCCCUAUCCUAUCCCAGUUCCCAUGACUGGUUACACUCCGUCUCCAUUGUCUGGACAAGAUGAAGAUCCAGUGCAGCCAAGCCUUAAUGACUGGAUGGAUUCCCAAGACACUUCCUCCCGCCAUCUAGAUGGUACACAUGCGGUUUCCAUUGAGGUGAUUUUGUUAAAACCAACUUGUAAAUUCCAGACAUGUUGCACAAUGUGCAUUCAUAUGUUUCACUGUACUUUUCCCAAUGUUUCAUUCUCUCCACUUCAUAUAUUGCAUUAUUUAUUGCAGUCUCUUCCUGAAGAAUACCAAGUUCUAUUGGCGGAGCAUAAUUCUUUGUUGGAGAAAGAUUUUGAUGAGCUUGCAAAUACAAUGAAAGAGCAAGGAAAGGCGAUUAUGGCAAAGCGUGGUGCUGAGUUGGCUUCUAAAUUUAUUCAUUUGAACAAACGUUUGAAUGAUGUUGCUUAUAUGUCAAAUAAGAUGAGCCACCUGAAGAAACCUACCAAUGACAAUGUCAACAUGCAUCCUCCACCAGAUCCAACAGGUUCAGCUGCUGUGUCACCCAAAAAACCAUCUAACCCAUUAGAGAGUACAACACAUGCAAGUACUUCUAGUGCACCAAUCGCACCGGAGGAUAGUACAAAAGGUCCAUUUCCUUCCCCUCCACCAAUUGCACCAGAUGUGAGUACUAAAGGUCCAGUUCCUUCAUCUCCACCAAUCCCACCAGCAGAUAGCACUAAAUAUGCAGUUCCUUCCCCUCCACUGAUCUUACCAGAUGAGAGUACUAAAGGUCCAAUUCCUUUCCCUCUAGCAAUCCCACCAAAGGAUAUCACAAAAGAUCCAGUUCCUUGCAAGCCAUCAAGCCCUUCAUAUAUAGAUCCGUAUAUAGAUGAUAUCCCUUCAUUUGACCUAUUCCAACCUGAUGACCCAGAGUACAAAGAUGUCUGUGGAGAAAGAUCAGGAAGCCCUACGCCUACCGGUAAACACUCCUAAUUUGUACAUGUGUUCAAAUGUGGCUUCUUUUUCCCUUUUUUCUAUACCCAUUGCAAUAACUUUCCUAAUCUGUUUCAUUUGUACCAUCUCAUGUGUUGCAUUAUAUCUGUCUACAUGUUUCAGUAGUUAUAUUUUCUAAAUACUGCAGCCUUGAUUUCAUAUUGUUUCAUUAGUACUGGCUUAUGUGUUGCAACAACCAUUCAUAUAUGUUUCAGUGAUACUGCCAAAUGUGUUGCAGUAUAUCUGUCUAUAUGUUUUAGUAGUUAUAUUAUUUUCUAAAUACUGCAGUCUUGAUUUCAUAUUGUUUCAUUAGUACUGGCUUAUGUGUUGCAGCAAUCAUUCAUAUAGGUUUCACUGGUAGUACCACAUGUGUUGCAGUACAUAUAUUUUCUAAAUACUGCAGCCUUGAUUUCAUAUUGUUUCAUUAGUACUGGAUUAUUUGUUGCAACAAUCAUUCAUAUAGGUUUCACUGGUACUACCACAUGUGUUGCACUAUCUAUCUACAUAUGUUUUAGUACACUUGUUUCCAUAUACUUUAUCCCAUAUUUUUUGUCCAGCAUACACAACCAUUGAUGCUUCCAAAGACAAUCAACCAGGCUCAAGCACAAUUGAUAAAAGGAAUAGAAAGAAGAGGAAAAGGAUUGAUGUUGGGCUUGGGCCGAAGCAAACAAGACCGAAGAGUGAUGAUGCUGAUAUCAAAGAAAUUUGGAACAACUUUUUGGCUAAAAGAGCCUUCGAUCAGGGAUUCAAGUUAGAGGGUGAAUGCCAACCGUGAGUUUACCCACUCCCCACUCCUCCUAUCUUUGAUCAGGGAUACAACUUUGAAUUGUCCUACACUUUGUGCACUGUUUUAAUGUGCUACCCAUAUUUUGUUGCACCAGGCUUGUUUACUUCUUGUGAAUGUAGUAUGCAUGUGUUGAAACUAGCUAUUUUUUUGUUUCUAUACUUCAUUCAUACUUGUUGAAACAAGCUUCUUUUGGUGUAGCACUUCGCUCAUCUUUCUUGUAGUAAGUUUUGAUUAUAUCUCCUUUCCUUUUUCUACAAGGCCACCUUUCAUUGAGAUUGAUCACUUUCACGUUACGUACGAUGAGUUCUAUGAUUCCUUCAAGGCAAGGGGAUUGGUUGGUAACAAUGUAAUGGCUUUGUGGAGUUAUGAGUUCAAUCUUGACCAGCUUCAAAUGCUUAAAGAGAAUAAAACAAGAGAUAUUAAAUUUGCUUUCCCCCAGUUGGCCACGGUAAUGAUACAAUACCUGUGACUUUCUAUUUCUAAAUGAAUUCCUCGAACUCAUCUUUUAUUUAGCUUUUUUCAUUUCUUAUUUUUCCAACCUUUUUUUUUGUGUGUGUGCUGCACAGUCAUUCUUGAGUGUGGAUCCAGCUUCUUUCAGUAAUGAUGGGACUCUCAAGAAAAUUUACACCAAGAUAAAUGAAACAUGGACUAUCGCCAAGAUGGAUCUGGUACGUGAGGUGUAUAUACAUUGUUUCGUUCCAAUGAGAAAGGCCAUCAACGAAGCAAGAUACACUCAUUUCAAAUGUUUCCAUACAUGUUGCACAAUGUGCAUUCAUAUGUUGCACUGUACUUUUCCCAAUGUUUCAUUCUCUCCACUUUAUAUAUUGCAUUGUCAUUUGCUGCAUGUGUCAAUGACUGAAAGGUGUAUGCAGAUGUUCUUUCUGAUAAUUUUUCAAGACCACUGGGUGCUUCUUUGUGUUAGUAUGUUCAUGAAGCAAAUUGCCUUCUUUGACUCUCUAAGCGCCUCUAAGGAGAGCUCAUGUUUGAAGUGUGCCCAGAACUUGGUAAGUGGAUCGGUGGAUUCCUUGCUGUUCAUUCUGCUUUUGUUAAAAUAGAUCUCGAUUUCAUGUUGCAUCAUUCAUUCUUUAGAUGUUGAAGUAGCUCUUGAUUCUGGGUUGCAUUUUGUAUUCCUGAAUUGUUUCAUUUAUUUUCAGAUUCAGAAUUUUGCAGCCACCGCACUGAAACAUGGGGUACUCAGAACUGAUGUGUCUCAUUUUGAGUGGAUCUACCCCGAGGGAUAUCCUAAACAAAAGAAUGUGUAUGUUGCACUUUUAGCAUGUCCUUCCUAGUCAUCAUUGCCUAAUGAUUUGUAUGUUCACAUGUUUUAUUUUCCUUUUUCUUUAAAAGGUAUGACUGCGGGAUAUUUACAAUGGUUUAUAUGGAUGCAUGGGAUGGCAAGAAGAUUGUGGAUCCAUCACUUGUGAAAGUAUGUGUUUUGAUUCUAAAAUAUUCUUAUUUUUAUAACUCUUAUUUUUUGUCUCUAAAUAUGCUUGCUCAGUCUUGCUUUGCUUUCUUUUUUUCAUUAUGUCUCUGCCUAGGAUUCGGUGCUAGACUUCAGGAAGCAUGCUGCUGCACUACUCCUUGGAUCAGAACACAAUGUGGUUAAGCUAGAUGAAUUUGUGAAGAAGUACAAUGCCAGGAAGACCUGAUGAAGUUGACGCUAUGUAGAUAGGAGGUGUUAGGAGAGCGAUGUGCCAUGAAACAUCAUAUUUCUUGUAAUAUGGAGUUGAUUCAUGAUACGCUACGUUAUCUAUCGGUCCAUGCUUGUUAAUGUUUGUUCAGUGUUGCCGUAAUUUGAGAUGUAACAGAAGUUGAUAACUGUUUCCUUGGAGAAUUACAGAUGUAACAGUGUUGAACCAUUGCUGUUUCACUAGAGUAAUUCAGAUGUAACAAUAGUGCUACUAUGCUGUUGCAAUAGAAGAUUACAGAUGUAACAGUGUUGAACCAUUGCUGUUUCACUAGAGUAAUUCAGAUGUAACAAUAGUGCUACCAUGUUGUUGCAAUAGAAGAUUACAUAUGUAACAGUGUUCAACCAUUGCUGUUUCACUAGAGUAAUUCAGAUGUAACAAUAGUGCUACCAUGCUGUUGCAAUAGAAUAUUACAUAUGUAACAGUGUUCAACCAUUUCUGUUUCACUAGAGUAAUUCAGAUGUAACAAUAGUGCUACCAUGCUAUUGCAAUAGAAGAUUACAUAUGUAACAGUGUUCAACCUUUCGAAUGUACACAGUAUAUACAACUGUUUCAUUAGGAUAUCUUCAUAUGUAACAGUAAUGAAACUUUGCUGUUUCAGUAGAGCAACUCAGAUGUAACAUUAGUACUGCCCAUUUGAAAUGAGUGCCCUUGCUUCGUUGAUGGCCUUUCUCAUUGGAACGAAACAAUGUAUAUACACCUCACGUACCAGAUCCAUCUUGGCGAUAGUCCAUGUUUCAUUUAUCUUGGUGUAAAUUUUCUUGAGAGUCCCAUCAUUACUGAAAGAAGCUGGAUCCACACUCAAGAAUGACUGUGCAACACACACACACAAAAAAAGGUUGGAAAAAUAAGAAAUGAAAAAAGCUAAAUAAAAGAUGAGUUCGAGGAAUUCAUUUAGAAAUAGAAAGUCACAAGUAUUGUAUCAUUACCGUGGCCAACUGGGGGAAAGCAAAUUUAAUAUCUCUUGUUUUAUUCUCUUUAAGCAUUUGAAGCUGGUCAAGAUUGAACUCAUAACUCCACAAAGCCAUUACAUUGUUACCAACCAAUCCCCUUGCCUUGAAGGAAUCAUAGAACUCAUCGUACGUAAUGUGAAAGUGAUCAAUCUCAAUGAAAGGUGGCCUUGUAGAAAAAGGAAAGGAGAUAUAAUCAAAACUUACUACAAGAAAGAUGAGCGAAGUGCUACACCAAAAGAAGCUUCAGUUCGUAUAUAAAACUAAAUUGGUUUAUAAUUUAUAAAUCAAUGUGUGCCUCAUAUAUACACUUAUUUUUGUUCAAGGAAUAUAAAUCUACAGCUUUAACUCUGUGUCCCUUAGGUGCAUUGCUGCCGAUAAGAACUUGCACGUCUCCACACCGUGGCCUUCUUCGUGGCAUACCAAGCACACCGACUCUUUGGCUUUGUCUUUCUUAGCCUUGGACUUGUUCUUCUUUAUUGCUUUUUCUUUCACUUGUUGUACAAUGGUCUUCUUACGGUCAACCUUGUUCCUAGGCCUCCCUUGUGGAUCUUUUGCUGGAGGGUUCUUGAACUUUGUUUGUUUCACCCCUCUCUCCACCUCCUUUGCACCCUCAACUACAUUUGGGGGAUCAUUUUGUCUUGAAAUCAAUGCUUUCGUGGUUUCCUUCACCUUUUCCCUCAAAUGAUCGAUCCCUUGUGAACCCACUGUUGACGGUCCUUAAGUAUCAAAUUUAAUUAUCAAAUAAAUAAAGAAAAGGAUCCAAAUGAAAUCAAGAUCUAGACUUAGGGUUUUAUCUGACAGAAUUCCAAGAGUUUUGGUGUUUGUCUAUUUCUGCAGGGGGUUAUCAGGAAAUAUGGAAGAAAGGCCCACAUGUCAGGAUUACGUAAAGAUAUUAACGUGCUGCGCAAUUAUCUUACAUCUAGAAGACUCCAGAAGCCACGAGACCGAAGCGGAGGCGAAACGGGGCCAGAGGCAGGGCGCCCGCCCUGUCCUACUGGGCGCCCGCCCCCUGUCCAAGUCCAAUCAGGACUCUGCUUUGCGGGAAGUCUCCACCGACCUAAAGGAUGAAUCUAAACCAUACAAUCUAUGUCGGUUUGAUCCAAGGGCCCAUAUUCACUUGAAGGGACUAUAAAACCAGACCCCCUGGCCCCUGGAGGAGAGAGCCUCUCAACCCUAAUUCAUUGUUCCAUCAAGGGAGAAGAAGCCUCUGAUCGAGAUUAGAGCCACCACAUCAAUUAGAUAUCUAGAUUAGCAUAGCUACAUAGGAUUAGAACUAGAAGGAGUCAAUCUUUGAUUGGUUUCCGGAUCUGUCAAGAGGAUUCUUGGUAAUUCUCUAAUUGUGUUUCUAAUUGCUUUCUAAUUAUCUUUGUUCUUCAAUAUUAUGAAUAUGACUUUGUUCUACUUUAAUAUAUUGCUUAUGACUUUGCUCUACUUGCUUAUAUUCAAGAUUAUAUUGUUCUUAGUUUAUCAUAGUUAUGUACUUGGCUUAGUUAGAUACGAUCUAUAUACAUGCUUAGGAUCGUAUAGCGUUUAUCCAUCGGAUCCAUGGGUAAAUGAUAGAUAUUGUGUAGGUGUGGUGCUUAUACCGUAUUUAUCUGCGAUUGUACCCAAUAUGCCAGAUCGUGGGGUGGUUCAUGAUAGUGACAGCUUCAUUGAUUCUUAUAUAGUCCCCCUCUCGUGUAUUGGGCUGGCAGAGCAACAUUAUUACACGGGAGUGAUUGCUAUGUUUCUCAUAUUCCUUGCUAAUAUCACUAUGCAUGGGCAUAGUCUUGUCUUGCAAUGAUUGCUAAGUAUGCUUGCACUAACUAUGAUAAUGCUAGACUAUAUAGUUAAGAAUAACUUAGGGAAUAUUCUUGUAGUUCGUUCUAAUACCAUGCUAAUGACUUUCUAGAGUAUCUAAUUGAGGUGCUUAUCAUAUUUAUUAUGUGGCUAGAUCAGAUUAGUUAUCCUUGUCACUAUUAUUAUUUCAUAUAUCUUUUAUGUGACACUUAUCCCUGUAUGAUGAGUUAGAUAUAAUGUUCUCAAUUAUACAUGCAAUGAUAGAUGCUCAAUCUCAUAUUCUAUUCUGUAAUCAUUAGUGAUGAUUUCUAAUCCCUUCCCAGUGGUAAAAAUAUAAAUAACGAUACCUGAAAUACUUCCCGGUUAAAAUGCUGCAUCGGUAUUAAUCUGUGCGCUUGCAGAUCCCAUUCAUUAUUUAUUUAGAAGAGCAAUUGCAUAUUUUAGUACCGCGUCUCUUAUAUCAUGCUGGGGAUGACAACUUGGCUUAAGUGGUGUAAGGGAUAGGUUUGGCAUUUUUGGCACCGUUACUAGAUUUAGAGAACUUAGUCUACUUUUAGUAAUGAUGUUAAGAAUACCCAACAAGCAUUUUUGGCGCCGUUGCCGGGGAAGGUUGAUUACCAAUCAGGAAUAGAAUAAAAGAUUUAGAGUAAUCAUUCGCAUCACUAAUAUGAUUGAGCUUAUCUAUUCUCUCAUACAGUUUUACCUCGAUAUUUUUCUAUUUUAUCUUAUGCAGGGGAAUGUAUGAAUAGAAGACAUCUUCCAGGAAAUUUUGUUGACGAUCCCGAAGCAUUAUUCAAGAAGACAAGAGCCAAGCUAAAGAAAUCAUCAACACUUCACGAAGAAGCUUCAUCCAAUCAAGAAGAUCACCGGAACUUGUCUUCAGAGUUCGAAGCCAUGGCGAACAAAUCAAUCCGCGAGUUCUCAGCUCCCACUACGGACAACAUCCGCACUGGACCUGCUGCAGAGAUCGAUGGCAACUUUGAGCUCAAGCCUGAACUUAUCAACAUGGUGCAAUCCAACCAGUUCUGUGGGAAGGCACACGAAGAUGCUAGUGCUCAUUUACAACACUUCCUGGAGAUUUGCAACACAUUCACCAUAGCAGGAGUUUCCAAAGACGCUAUACUACUUCGCCUCUUCCCAUUCUCACUGUUAGGAAGAGCGAAGCAGUGGUUCUACGCUACAAAGGAGAAGAAUACUACAUGGGCACUCUGCUCAACAAACUUCCUGGCUAAGUUCUUUCCCAUGGGCAAGACCAAUGCUCUUCGUGGGAAGAUUACAAGUUUUCAGCAACAAAAUGAUGAAUCUGUUCCAGAAGCAUGGGAGCGCUUUCAAGACUACAUCCUAGAAUGUCCCCAUCAUGGAAUGGAGAGUUGGCUAUUGAUGCAGACAUUCUAUCAUGGGCUCAGCAACAGUGCCCGAGAGACCAUGGAUGCUGCAGCUGGAUGAGCAUUCUUAUCACUUACUAUACCACAAGCCACAGCUCUUGUGGAGAAGAUGGCGUCCAAUCAAAGCUGGAAUGAAGAGAGGACCCAGACACGCAAGAGAGGUGGAGGUAUGCAUCAGCUGAAAGAGGUAGACAUGCUGUUUGCAAAGCUAGACCUGCUCAUGAAGAAGCUCGAUAAUAGAGCUGGAGACAAGAAAGAAGUUAUGCACAUCUAUGACUCUCACAUGACUUGUGAGGAGUGUGGAGACACUGGACACUCAGGCAACCACUGCCCUGAGAUACUUGAGGAUGUGAACUACAUCAACAACAACAACAACUACUACAACCGUCCUCAACAAAAUCAAGGUUGGAAUCAACAGAGGCCUAACUACUCAGGUAAUUAUCAAGGUAACAAUUCUUACAACAAUAAUAAUUUUCCACCUUUGAGAGAGUUAGUGUCUAAUCAAGGAAAGCUAAUGGAUAAUCUAUCUAAGAAAUUGGCAUCUAAUGAUAAAAUACUAGAAAAUAUAAAUAAUAGAAUGGAUAAUUUCUCUACUGCCAUCAAGAAUCAAAUUAGCUUUAAUAAAAUGAUUGAAUCUCAGUUAAAUCAAAUAGCUGCUGCUGUUCCUACUACUAACCCCGGUAUACCAUCACAACCGGAAGGAUUAGAAUCUGCAAAUCUUGUAGACACGUUUGAUGCAGGUAAUUGGAGUAACCCCGUCACUGAAUUUUCUACUGACCGUCUGCCGGUCAAGAGAGGCGAUCCAGGACGCCCCGUCAUCCCGAUCUCCAUCGGCAUGGUGGACUUCCCAGAAGCACUCUGUGACUUUGGCUCUAGCGUCAACAUUAUACCCAGGGUACUCUAUGAAAAAUUCUUUACAUAUCCUUUAUUAGAGACAACCAUGUGUUUGCAGUUUGCAGAUCAGACGAUAACUUUUCCAAAAGGAAUAGUGAGGAACCUUUGUGUCCGAGUUGGUACCUUGUAUGCACCAGCAGACUUCGUAGUGGUAGAGACCGGAAAUGAUGAGAGAGCACCUAUCAUGUUAGGGAGGCCAUUCUUGAACACCACGGGAGCUAUCAUCUACGCCAGUGCUGCCAAGAUCAGUUUCUAUGUCAAAGGGAAGAAGGAAACAUUUUUCUUCAAGAACAAGACUACACAAAUUCCAAAUCAAUCCAGACGUGAAUCAAGGAAGAGGACCAACAGGAGGAACAGGAACAAGCAAGUGUGGACCGAGUCAGCUAAGAUGGUCACUGAAGUCCAUGGAGGCCAAGAUCACCGACUGAAGUCAUCGUUUUUGACUAAGAAGGACGACCAAGGAAUGCCAAGCAUCUACUGCUCCAUAAAUGGAUACAACUUCUACAAGACGAUUUGCGACACCGGAUCAGGCGUCAACAUAAUGGCCGCAGUCACCUAUCGGCUCUUGUUCGGGACCAUGCCACUAAGACCAACAUACAUUCAGCUCCAGAUGGCAGAUCAGACAUUUCGAGAAGUUCAAGGAAUAGUAUCUGAUGUCCCAGUUAAAAUAGACGAUCACUUUGUCUACACAGACUUUCAAGUUGUUGACAUCGGAGAAGACGAGUAUGAUCCACCCAUCAUCCUUGGAAGGCCGUUCCUCAGCACCGUUAAAGCAAUUAUCUACAUUGGAACCGGAGAAAUCCAUAUGCACUUCCCCUCAGAGAAGGUACGCCGUUAUUUUACUGACCCUAACUAUAUCGUUGAAGAAUCUAAGCAGGUCAGAAAGAGACGCAACCGCAACCAGAGGAGGCAGAUCAUCAAGGACGGAUGGGCAGACUAUGAAGGAGAAGUUGUAAGGUCAGAAGACGUAGAGUUUAAACAGAAUUAUCCAGAGGAGAUUGAAGCACCGAGUCAGGUAUGGAAAAUGAAGAUAACUAUACAAGAAGAGGAGGCGCUGCCGGAAGUACCGACUACGCCACCCAACGAACCUCAGGACGAUUAAGAAAUUGAAGAGUCCCGUUCGGAGGACUUAAAAACACCGAACGCCUUGCCAAGAGGUAAACUUGGUAGUUAUCCUUUCUUUCAGUUACUUAAAAUAGUUUAUUUAGUUAAACAUGUUCAUACUAUCCUAAAAAGAAAAUAAAAAUAUGAAAAACAGUAAGCCCCAUGUGAGUAUACGAGUGGCAUAAAACCCAUACGUACAUUCACUGUGGUGGCAUAAAAAUAAAAUAAAUAUUUUUCUGCUUUAUAAAAUAAAAAUAUAAAAACAGGGAGUAAUAAUUAUUAAGGAGUCUCAAGAUGAUGAAGGCUAUAUAUUUAUGCUAACACUUAAUUAGUUCCACAAGCUUUGUUGUCUAUUUGAGCUCCACAGAAUUUAAGAAGACUAGCAGACGGAGGACAUUCUAAUCGCUGUCAGAAUGCUGCUGACUUUCAACUACACCUCUGCCACCUGCUAGCUACAUCAAGAGAAAUUACGUCAAAAUUCAGCUUGGGGGAGAGCACCCCCAUUUAUCUCGAUAAGUAUUUCUAUCUAUCUUUAUACUUAUAUUAUUUUAGAAUAUUAAAAUACACAUAAACUAUGGGAAAACCAAAUAAAGAUUUUAUGCUUAUAUAUAUAUGUCUUUUGCUUAGUGUGUUUAAUAAAUAAAUAAAGUGGCUAUGCUAAUCUGUAUCUAAAUAAAACUUAAGCAUGGAUAUGAUGAAAAGUUGCUCUGCCUAAUUUGCAAAUUUUAAGUUCUCUCUAAAGUUUAGACAAAACAGUUAUAAUUUAAAGCUUGCUCUAGACCUAAACUUGUGGGAUGAAAACUUGAUCUGAAGUCUAAGUUGUUAACGGAUACGAUAUGGGAAGGUUGAGCUGCUGUUUAUCUGUUCCUAGAGAUGCUAGAAUUCUGGAGAAUUUUAUCUUUGAAAAUCUUUAAAAUGUUGCAUGAUGAGAGCUUAAAUUUCUACCACAGCCAUAUAUACAUGCUUGCUAGACUUUGAGCCACACAUUUAUUAUUUACUGCUUAUGAGCAUUGAGUGUGGUCAAGCUGUGUAGACCCUUAGGAGCUUGUCAUGUGGUUAAAUCAAGAUUUCACUUGCACGUUCACUCAUAUAUGCUACUUCUAUUCCGGAAGUACCAUCCACAUAUAUCCAACCAUUCCAUCUCCAGAAUCACCCAAAAAUAUUCUACUCCUAAUCCGGGAGAGAAUAACCAAAAAUAUUUUCUGUUUUCCCUUGUGAAAUAAAUGCUCAAGUUAUCUUGUUACUACCACUUGCUAUAUUAUCUCAAGAGAUGAGUGCUCUAAAAAAAAGAAGAGAAAAUAAUACGAGGAAAUAAAAAGGAGCAAGUGCUCGGAACCUCAAAAGAAAAGAAAAAGUGAGACGAGAGGUAAAAAUGGACAAGUGUCCGACAGUAUAAUUAGGGGUGCAAGAUACCCACGUGAGAGAAAAGAAAAAGAAGAGCAUCUCAUUCUCCUCAUAAAGUUUCAAAAGCAAGGAAGGUAUGUAUCCCCUCAAAAGAGCAAAGUAGAAUUAGACUUCCACCACCAUUGUUUUCACCAUUAUUAUCACCAUCAUCACCAUAUACCAUUCAUUCGCCACACAUGCACAUCUUGAUUAAACUUAUUGACUUGUUACUUUGGAUCCAUGGUUUGACUAUGCAAUAAAUGUCUUGUAAGUAUGUAUAUUUUAUCUCCCACCUAUGAGCUCUAGAUAUUAAAGCCUUAUUAGAGUAGGGUGAGAGAGAAGGCAAUAUCACUAUGCCUCAUACCACAAAUACCACAUAUCUUGAGAGAAGGCAUAUACCAUCAAUGCCUUGGUAAGGAUCCAGAAAUACCACAAAAGAGAGACCUGAGAGAAUCAUACAAGGAAUAUCUGAGUUUUAUUUGAAAAUCUGCAAAAAUCCCAGAGCUAUAGCUGAUCAAGAAUAAGAGACAUGGCACUUUGCUAGACUGUUCUAUCUUUUAACCACUCAAGACAGAAGUGACAGUUACAAGUCCCAUGGUGGAGGUAAAGUAAGUAAGUUUUAAGUCUUGACAGUUUACUCUAACUCAGAGAUGAGAUCUUAUUUAAAAGCAUGUGUACCGCCAAUUUUUUUAAAAAAUAUAUUGCAACAACUUCUGAUCCAUAGCUGAGUCUAUCCUUGCUCAGGGACGAGCAAGAGGUAAGCUUGGGGGAGUUUGUUGACGGUCCUUAAGUAUCAAAUUUAAUUAUCAAAUAAAUAAAGAAAAGGAUCCAAAUGAAAUCAAGAUCUAGACUUAGGGUUUUAUCUGACAGAAUUCCACGAGUUUUGGUGUUUGUCUAUUUCUGCAGGGGGUUAUCAGGAAAUAUGGAAGAAAGGCCCACAUGUCAGGAUUACGUAAAGAUAUUAACGUGCUGCGCAAUUAUCUUACAUCUAGAAGACUCCAGAAGCCACGAGACCGAAGCGGAGGCGAAACGGGGCCAGAGGCAGGGCGCCCGCCCUGUCCUACUGGGCGCCCGCCCCCUGUCCAAGUCCAAUCAGGACUCUGCUUUGCGGGAAGUCUCCACCGACCUAAAGGAUGAAUCUAAACCAUACAAUCUAUGUCGGUUUGAUCCAAGGGCCCAUAUUUACUUGAAGGGACUAUAAAACCAGACCCCCUGGCCCCUGGAGGAGAGAGCCUCUCAACCCUAAUUCAUUGUUCCAUCAAAGAAGAAGAAGCCUCUGAUCGAGAUUAGAGCCACCACAUCAAUUAGAUAUCUAGAUUAGCAUAGCUACGUAGGAUUAGAACUAGAAGGAGUCAAUCUUCGAUUGGUUUCCGGAUCUGUCAAGAGGAUUCUUGGUAAUUCUCUAAUUGUGUUUCUAAUUGCUUUCUAAUUAUCUUUGUUCUUCAAUAUUAUGAAUAUGACUUUGUUCUACUUCAAUAUAUUGCUUAUGACUUUGCUCUACUUGCUUAUAUCCAAGAUUAUAUUGUUCUUAGUUUAUCAUAGUUAUGUACUUGGCUUAGUUAGAUACGAUCUAUAUACAUGCUUAGGAUCGUAUAGCGUUUAUCCAUCGGAUCCAUGGGUAAAUGAUAGAUAUUGUGUAGGCGUGGUGCUUAUACCAUAUUUAUCUGCGAUUGUACCCAAUAUGCCAGAUCGUGGGGUGGUUCGUGAUAGUGACAGCUUCAUUGAUUCUUAUAUAGUCCCCCUCUCGUGUAUUGGGCUGGCAGAGCAACAUUAUUACAGGGGAGUGAUUGCUAUGUUUCUCAUAUUCCUUGCUAAUAUCACUAUGCAUGGGCGUAGUCUUGUCUUGCAAUGAUUGCUAAGUAUGCUUGCACUAACUAUGAUAAUGCUAGACUAUAUAGUUAAGAAUAACUUAGGGAAUAUUCUUGUAGUUCGUUCUAAUACCAUGCUAAUGACUUUCUAGAGUAUCUAAUUGAGGUGCUUAUCAUAUUUAUUAUGUGGCUAGAUCAGAUUAGUUAUCCUUGUCACUAUUAUUAUUUCAUAUAUCUUUUAUGUGACACUUAUCCCUGUAUGAUGAGUUAGAUAUAAUGUUCUCAAUUAUACAUGCAAUGAUAGAUGCUCAAUCUCAUAUUCUAUUCUGUAAUCAUUAGUGAUGAUUUCUAAUCCCUUCCCAGUGGUAAAAAUAUAAAUAACGAUACCUGAAUACUUCCCGGUUAAAAUACUGCAUCGGUAUUAAUCUGUGCGCUUGCAGAUCCCAUUCAUUAUUUAUUUAGAAGAGCAAUUGCAUAUUUCAAUACCGCGUCUCUUAUAUCAUGCUGGGGAUGACAACUUGGCUUAAGUGGUGUAAGGGAUAGGUUUGGCAUUUUUGGCACCGUUACUAGAUUUAGAGAACUUAGUCUACUUUUAGUAAUGAUGUUAAGAAUACCCAACACCCACCAUGUACUCUUCUGGACCCACACAAGCAUUAGCAGCCAGCUGUGUCAUUUUCCUACAUAAUGCAUUGUACCUUAGCUUAUUUGUCGCUGGAACACCAAACACUGGUUCAGGACCUGACAAAUGUUGAGGAACUUUCAGCGUAGCUUCUUCAGACCACCUGUGCAGCAGAUACUUCUGCGGUACAUGUUGCACAUCAAGUGUAGUAAAGACUUUCAGGAUGUGAGGACAUAGGAGACCAUCUUGGUCAAACAUGUUGCAAGAGCAAGUGUAUGUUUCAGACCCCUGAUUCGCAGCAACAUUGUAUGUUUUCAAUGUCACCUCACCUUCCUUGUAUACUCGUUUCAACACCUACAACAUAAGUACAAAAUAGGGGUACCAUCAAUUUACAAAGUCACCCAGAAUUAUUGUUUCAAUGGACUCUAGAUUCUGUUUCACUAGUAAUGAAUAACAUGUUUCAGUAUUUUUGUAAAACAGAACAUCUAUGUAUGCUGCAACAGAAAUGUGCAGUCUGUAUGUACACCUUACCUGCACUGUCAUUUGGCUUCCCUCUUUAGCAAUCGAAUCUAUAGUUAAUGCCGUGGAAUCACGCAACAACUCUUGAAACUUGAAGAAAAUACUUCUAGUGUAGAACUUAGAUACUUGCUUCUCAAUUUGAGACCUCCCCCACAGCGGUGGAUUUGUCGUUUCACCUUUUGCUGCUUCUCGAUACUCCUUCUCAAUCCUUGUUUCCAUUAUGUACUCAUAUUGGGUAAGGAACUGCAACACUGAGUCCUGUGGGUGCACCAUUGUCUUGAAUAAUGCAUUCAUACUCUCAGAUCUUCCUGUUGUGCUUGUGAAGGGAAAGAAGCAUUUAUUGAAAUAUGCAGGUGCCCACAUAGACUUGGUUGAAGACAUGUUCUGAAAAUGAUCAUUGCUAUGCAUAUCAUACUUCACCCCUAUGUUAUGCCACAACGUCUCAAACUCCUCUGGAGACUCGGUGAAGUUGAUGCAAUAGUCAAACUCAUCUGCAAAUUCUGGGUUGUUUCUAAUUAACCAACCAAACUUCUCACAAGCUUUGCUGACCACAUGAAACUUGCAGCACCUAUGUGUUGUAUAAGGGAAUACCUGUGCUAUUGCAGCUUUCAUGGCCCUAUCCUGGUCAGUCAUGAUGUUGGUUGGUGCUAUUCCACCCAUUGCAUCCUUGAGCGUUUGAAGCACCCACACAAAUGUUUCAGUAGUCUCAUCCGGAAGCAGAGCACAACCUAGUAGGAUGCUUUGGGCAUGAUUGUUGAUCCCAACAAUUGGUGCAAAGGGCAUGUUGUACCGGUUAGUGCAGAACGUCGUGUCAAAGAAUAUGCAAUCCCUGAAGCACUUGUACAACUCCCUUGAUCUGCCAUCAACCCAAAACAACCCCCUUACAGCAUUCUCAGCAUCUAGCUUGAUAGCAUAGAAGAAGCUAGGGCUCUCGGCUUGCAACUUCUGAAAAUACUCUAGGACAGCAUCCAUGUCUCUGUACCGUAGUCCUGCCCUCAAGUGUGUCCUCAUAUUGGAGACAUCCUUACUGUUGAAGGUUAGGUUUCCCACGCCUCCAUGGAAGUCUCCUAGCACUGCCAUGAUUUGCAUGGUGGAUAUGUUUCGAUGGUGCAGUGUCUUCAAUAGCUCAUAAUCUGCCCAUGAUAUUCGUUUGUGCGACCGCAGCUGCAUUACCCUGCCCUUUAUCUUCACCAAAGGGUGUGUAUGCUCUACUUGAAACACCACAACCCUCCACCUUCCGUUACGUAGACCCACAACCAUAUGUGCCUUACAAUCUGCCUUCUUUAACGUGCUUCGUUUCCUUGUUGCAGUGGUCAUUACCGCUGUUGCACUCUUCUUCUUGGAUGUAGUUGCUGCCGAUGAUGAUGCAUUACUCGAUGCACUUUCUUCCUUUUCACCAGGUGUAAUCCUUGCAUGCAAACAUUCAAACUCCUUCCUUAUCAAUUGUUUAGUCACACGACUACUUCUUGAUGAGCCUAUCCUGAUACUGAAUCCCAUCUUGAAUGCAUAAGCGUUGUACACCCUCCUUGCUUCAUCUAUUGUAUCAAACUCCAUCCCUUCAAAUGGAACAAUUGGUUGGGAGCUAACAACGUCCUGUUCUUCUUCAUACACCAACUCGUCAUCAGUUAUCUCCACAUCAACACCCUCAAACGGCUGAACUGCUGCCCCGUUAGAAAGACUCUGAUCAAGAAUAGGGUCAAUGGAACCCUAUGUUACAAAUACAUUGUCAGAUUACACACGCAGUCAACAACAGCUAAUUAUUUUGAAGGAAAUAAACAAUUUUAGUUAGAGUUUUCCAAAAACAUACUUCUGAAACAUAGGCAGCCCUGUUAGUGCUUGAAGUUGCAACAAUCUGGUGAUGUCCACUAACAGAAUCGUCAUCAACCUCCUGCACGUUUCAAAGUGUCAUCAUAGAACACACAGCAGAACACACAGACAACCAAAAUUCUUGUUGCAGUGGACUCUGGUAAAUAUUUGAGUACUAUUGUAACACAAGUUUCAGUAGCAAAACAGAGGAAUUACAUGCUGAUUGGGUUGAUUUGAAUUCGUCACCACCAUCUCCUUGCCCCUGGUGAUUGCAACAGGCACUCCGUCCCUUGAUCCCCGGUUUGGGCCCUCCUUGCGCCCGUCUACCCAUAGAUCUGUCUCACGGCCCUCAACAAUCGCCGGGGGACGGCAGCCCGUGGGGAUCUCGGCGUUGGCCAGCAGAUGAGACAUGAAGCGGUCGAAGGCGACGGGGGAACGGGUUUGCCGGUGCCAGCGCGGGGAGGACCUCUGCGGAGGGGAACACGGAGGAGGGGAACGGCGGGAGGAUGGGCGGCGUGGCGAGACGGGCGGCGCGGCGGGAUGGCUUCGCGGGGCCACGCGGACGGCGGCGCGGCGGGAUGGCUGCGCGGGGCUCCGCGGACGGCGGCGCGGCGGGAUGGUUGCGCGAGGCCGCACGCGAGCGCGCCGCGAGUCGGGCCGCACGCGAGUCCGGAUUGGUUGGGUCUCUGUCCGUUGGUCGGGUGUUAGGUGCGUCCGGACACACACCUACGAGCCGGACGUCCGGGCGCUAGGUGGACGAUUCAAAGUAAAAAAAGACCGUAACUUGUGGUUCACCUUCUGGAUUACGCCUCACAUCCUCUAUUCUACUUUGCGUUGUUUCUUUUCUAAGUGUUUUUGGGCAAGAUUUUUUUAAUCACAUUAGAGACUAAGACAGUUGACAUUUACACCCUACUCCUACGAGAACAUCCGAAAGACUAAGAGAAUCACUACAUGUGUUGACGCCAGCAUACAACGUUGUUAAAUUCUUAAAUAAUCCAAAAAAGUAUGAGACCUAUGUUAAGUCAAGGACUUAAAUAGGAGUAGACAUGUUCCAUCAUAAGAAACUCAAUCAACUGUCUGCCUCUAUGUAUUAUCAUUGUAGCUUUCGUUGCUUAGUCCUCCCGUGAAUCACGAAAUAUAUAACCUGCGCUCUGAGAAAUAUGAUCAACAUGCAUAUUUUGUUUAUGACUUUAAGCUCUCAGCUAACAAAUUUUAAUAAUGCUAAUUAGGGUAUGCACGCUUUUAUGUAGAUAUACACAAAUUGUUUAGAGACCAUCGGAAACUUUCAUCUACAUUUUGAAACAUUUUAUUGGUAUAAAGGAGAUAUAUAGCAUUCAAGUCUGACAUUUGAAAACUUGAAACAUUUAAUUCAACACUUACUAUUGUAUACAAAUAAUCAUGAGUUCGUCAUUUAGGAUUUGUUCUUUUAUGCAAUGUAUUGAGAGUUUCCAACAUUGCAAAUAAACAGGAAAAAUAAGAAAACAAAUUUAUGUGGCUAGUGUGGAUGCACUUUUCUCUUGCCACUAGCACUGGUUACAGUUUCGCCAGGUCCUUUUUUUCCCACCCGAGUCCAGACUUCAAGGCUAUAAGCUCGAGUGAUACGGUUUAUUUAAAGGGUAAUAUAUAUAUAUAUAUAUAUAUAUAUAUAUAUAUAUAUAUAUAUAUAUAUUAACCUUCGAGUUGUACGACACUUUGAUUUUCACCCAGAACAAUAAAAGUGGAUAGUGAAUAUAUUCCAAACAUCAAAACCGGACAAAUUUAGUCCUUUAAUUGGUUUCAAAUGCACGUUUCUAUUAUUCUAAAAACAAUAAAAAAAAUAUGGUUUGGUAUUUGUAAAUUCAUAAUCAAUUUAUUGUGAAUUAGAAAAAUAUGAAACUAGUUAUAUUAUUCUUAUAAAAAUGUUAUAUAUUCGUUGGUGCUCUAGUAAGAAUUAUUUAGAUCUUAUUUGUUUUAGAUAAAUAAUGAGUAUCGCUACAAGCAAUAAAACAAUCGAAGCAGAAAUAAAUCAGUUUUAAAUAACUAUGCAUGUGUGUGUUCAUUAACUAUUUUAGAAAUCAAACUAUUUUUUAUUAUUUUUAAACAUAGAAAACCACCUAUAAAACUAGUCGAUCGAUGGAUCAAAUUUGUCAAGUUUCAACUGUUAGAGUGAGUUCAUUACUUGAUUUCACAAUUGAUGGUUCAAGAUCUAACUGACAUGUAAUUUAGAGGUUGAAAGAUAUAAUUUACUCUUGUUUAAAAGCUAUUCUAUUCGUCCAUAAAAAAUGCAAUUCUCAAAUGAUUUAAAGUUUGAUCAAAGUUAUAUAAAAAACUAACAAUUAUGAUAAAAAAUAAGUACUAUUUAAUUAAUUGUGAAAUACAUUCUUAUAGUAAUGUUAGUUUUGAAAUAUAAAUGUUUAUAUACCUAUUUCAUGUAUAUUGGAUUUUUUAUUUAUUUUCUAUUUUGUUUGGUAAAUUUAGAGCGUUAUAAUCUAGAUUUAUAUGAUCAAUACGGUAGUUUUAGCCCAUGAGACUAAGGAAGAUUAUUUCUUAAAACUUUACUUGGCAAAAAAAAUUAUUAGUACCUUUUCCAACAUUGAUAAGUCAUUACCAUUUUUAAAAUAAAUUUUAGCUUGAAUCUAGGUAUUCUUUUUCUUUACAUUCAUUUGGAGACCAAACUUUUAACGUCUUAUAGUUCUUAUUAGCUUUUUGCCUUAGCAAUUGUGUUUUCCAUGGAUUAUGUAUUUUGGUAUUUUUCCUUCCAACUCAUAUAGAAAUCAAAUUGUUAUUUUAUUAAUUCAUUUAUUAUCUAGGAUUUAUUGUAUAUUAAUUAUAUUAACUAUCAAUAAGCAUGGAACCGCUAGAUCAAUAAAAACUAAAAUAUUGUACGUUUUCUAUUUCUCUGAUUAAUCUCAUAAUUAUAUUAGGCAUGGACUUUUUUUAUUUUGAGGUUCAUUUCUUUUAUAAUUAAUCUCAUAAUUAUAUGAGGCAUGGUCACAUGGACUCUUUUAUAAUCUAAGUCAUUGUAAAUACAUAAUUUCUCCUAAUGAAUUUCUUAAGCCUACUAUCAGUAGUCUUGAGAGAACCACCAGUGUAAAAACAAGAUUUCUACUGGCAAUUCUCUUAAUUCUACUAUAGUAGAAAUGUAUUUGCACUAGUGGUUUUAUUAACUUGGUGCGAGUACAAAUAAUUUGAACUCAUUUUUUGAGUUUUUAAAAUGAUCUCGGAUAAAAAAAUGAUCUAAAUAAAAUCUGUAGUACUCAAAAGGAUCUACAAACUUAUAGUUGAUUACUUUUUAUUUGAAAUAAUUUAGGGUCCCAAAAUGAUCUACAAACCUUGGAUGGAAAAUGAUCUAAACUAAAGUUAUAGUAUUCAAAGACAUCUAAAACUUUUCAGUUAAACCUUUUCAUUUGAAAUGAUUUAGGGUUUCAAAUGUGUAUUACAAUAUUUACUAAAGUGAAUAUAAAAAAAAUGUAUGCGGUAGUCAUCACAAUCAACUUUGAGGUGUAGUGGUUAGGAAAGAAACGUGCGAAGUCUAAGAUUGUGAGCUCAAUUCUAGCAACCUCACGUGUGUGAAAAAAAAUCACGAUGCCUAAGGUUAGCGAUUUGAAAAGACGCUAGUACAAAACAAAAAAAAAUACCGCUACUAGAUUCUUUUUUUAUUGGUGCUCCAUAUAAUUCAUAGAAUUUCUUCUUAAUAGGAAAUGAAAAAAGAACACUCAUAAAUCAUGAGUAUGCAUUUAUUGGACGGGCAAAUCCCUUUUGUUAAUAAGCAAUAGUUAUUUUGGGUAUUCAAAAGUGUAUUUGGGGUUAGUAUGUAAGGCAACAUAUCAAACAAUCCCCCAUAUACGGGUGACGGUUAAUUAGAUCCAUUGCUUUCAGGUAUAUAUUUAUCUUUACUAUAUAUAUGCAGGCACAUUCAUUUUUUUGGUAAGACCAUAAUUCACAAGAAAUGUUAGUAUUAACUAUUACUAAAGAUAUACCCCCAAAUGCCAAUGGUAGUCAAGUCUCUUUUUAUAAGAUAAGACGUAUAUAUUAGGAUUCGGGGAUAUCCUUACAAGCACACUUUUACCACCAGUUCAUACACAUAAUCAAUUGUUACUUCGAAAUCAGUCUGUACUAAGAUAAACUCCUACGUGGAAUGUAGAAUCUAUUGAUAUUACUUUGAUGUAUACUAAUAACUAUGCACAUGAUUUGAGCAAUUGUUGUUCCAAAGUUACGGAGUUUGACCUUUUUCAUCAUCAAAUCAUAAUACGUACGCCAUGUAUUUUGAAUGAAAGAUGGAGUAUUAUUAGGCAUCAUGUCUAGAAGUACGUAAGGCAACAGUUCAAAAAAUAAACCUCGAAAUGGGAAGCUAAUAUCUUGAGAAUAUAUCUACAGACCCAUAUACAGAUUUUUGUCGCUGGGUGAUUUAUUUCAUCCCUUAAUUAUACCAUCGGCGAUCCUCGAUCAUCACGUACAGCUCCUAGUAUAAAUUGCUGGUAGGAGCUCACAUCUGGAACACAGCAAAGAAUCACAACCUAGAAACUCAUCUACUUUCGCCGCGCCCCCUCCUGCCUAGACUGCACCAUUGUCUGUAAUUGUUAGUGUUCAUCAAGAAUCAAGAAGAAGAGAUGAGGGGUGCCAUCCUCCUCGUUUCCGUUGUCCUCCUGCUCAACUCCCCGGUGGGUUUGUGCGGCUGCUUCAAGCGCAUCUUCAGCUUCGGCGACUCCAUCAUUGACACCGGCAACUUCGCGAGCACAGUCUCUUCGACCCCGAUAAAGGAGCUCCCAUAUGGCAUGACCUACUUCAACCGCCCCACCGGCCGUGUCUCCGACGGCCGUGUCAUAAUCGAUUUCUACGGUGAGUAUGCAUCCGUACGUCCAUUACGCAUGAACCUAGCUUACAUUGUUGCAUUGGCUGCAUGUGCAUUGUUGAUCUCGCUGAAUGUGCAUUCAUGUGUCGUCUCACUGUCUCAGCGCAAGCGCUCGGUCUGCCGCUGGUCCCGCCGAGCAUACCGGAGGAGGGAACUUCGCCGUUCCCCACCGGCGCCAACUUCGCCGUGUUUGCAGCCACAGGGCUGUCGCCGGACUACUACAAGACCAACUACAACUUCACCAUGCCGUCGGCAUCCCACCUGGACCUGCAGCUCCAGUCCUUCAAGACGGUGCUCGCGCGGAUCGCACCGGGAGACGCCACGAAGAGCGUCCUCGGCGAGUCCCUGGUGGUGCUGGGCGAGAUCGGCGGCAACGACUACAACUUCUGGUUCUUCUCGCGCAACUCCCGCGACACGCCGAGCCAGUACAUGCCGGAGGUGGUCGGCCACAUCGGCGCCGCCGUCCAGGAGGUGAUCAACCUCGGCGCCAAGACGGUGCUCGUCCCGGGGAACUUCCCCAUCGGCUGCGUGCCGCAGUACCUGGCCAUGUUCCAGAGCACGACCAGCUCGGACUACGACCAGUACGGCUGCCUCGUCUGGUUCAACGAAUUCUCCAAGAAGCACAACCAGCUGCUGCAGCAGGAGGUCGCCCGGCUCCGGUCGCAGAACCCCGGCGUUCAGAUCAUCUUCGCGGACUACUUCGGCGCCGCCUUGCAGUUCGUCCAGAACCCCCAGAACUACGGUAAGUCAGUUAGCUAGUCAUCUCGAUGAUAUGAAACUACAAAUUUUUACUAGUAAUAAUCAUGCAUAAUGUCCUGCAUGCGCCAGAGAGAGAGAGAGCUAAUAAUACGUUGUGUGAAUCUGCUUUUUCUCUCUUUUUUUGUCUUCGAUUUGCAUGGGGGCGUGAUGACAGGUAUCGAUGAUCCUUUGGUCGCGUGCUGCGGCGGCGACGGCCGGUACCACACGAGCAAAGGGUGCGACAAGGAUGCCAAGGUCUGGGGCAACCCGGGCGCGUUCGCGAGCUGGGACGGCAUCCACAUGACGGACAAGGCGUACAGUAUCAUCGCCGAUGGGGUGAUAAAUGGCCCGUUCGCGGACACACCGUUGCUCAAGAUCAACUGCUAAGCUAUUCUCUUAUAGCUUCUCGAUCUCUUUUAUUUGAGGAAAAACCAUACUCAAGUAGCUCCCGAUAGGAUUGGUUAGAAUCUAUUCGGAAUCAAUUACGUCCUAUAUAUGUGUAUGCUCCUCUAUAUCUUGUCAAUAAAAUGGUUCAGUCCCGACCCUUUAACAUUUUGUUUAGAGUGUUAACGAGGUGGCCAGCAAACAUGAAUAAUUAAUUUCUAUGGAGCCUAUUCAGCACCAUGUGUCUAAAACAUUUCAAUAAUUCAUAUACUCCCUCCGUUCUAGAAUGACAAGUGUAUUGUAUACAUGAAAAAAAUCUUUAUAAACUUUGACCAACAAACUAUUUUAAUUAUAUACAAUUUAUAACAUAUAUAAAACAUGAACCGAUGGAUAAAUUUGCAUUCAAAUUGUCUCUUGAGAUGAUAUUGAUAUUCUAGCAAAUGGUAGCAUAAUACACAAGAGAAAUUAAGAGUCGAAAUCUAGUUUGUAUGAAAUUUCUCUGAUCAAAAUAUAUGGAGGGACUACACUCAAUGUGGUCAGAUGGUGUAACAUUUGACCUAUAUAAUUUGGUUUGUCAGUUGUUCCUAGCGCAAUUAUGCAAGACAAUUAUGAAUUAUCCCUGCCGGAACUAGUCAAGUGAUAUAUGAUCAAGGAACAACUCAUCGAGUUCGUCUUUGAACAAGUUAACUAUAUAUGAAAAUUGUCAGUUCCAUAACUGUUCGAGCCAACCGAUUGUGAAUUCAUCUUUGAACAAGUUAUAUGAUUGAGGGACAACUGCCCUUUUGUGAUAAUCAGCUUAUGAGAAUUCUUUUUUUGUUAUUAUUCUAGCAAAUACAAGAAUACAUUAACUAAUGUAUUAAUUGAUCUUAGAAAUUCACAUCACACUAUAAAUAAAAAUACAUUGUUCACACACUGACACACAUAUGUAUAUAUAGCUCGCAAGAGUAGUGCACCAGGCCAAAUCUUGUUCCUCGGAUGAUUGUGGAUAUGAAAUAAGAUGCUGUGCCCAUAUAUGGAGUAGCUAUAAAGAGACGUGUGUGUGUGUGUGUGUGUGUGUGUGUGUGUGUGUGUGUGAAUGUUAUGUGUAUGUGUGUAUACACAAGGUUAGGGGGUAUGAAGUUUUUUUGGAUUUCGAUUGUGGCCUAUAAUUUGGAUUUAACUUGAGAGGCCAUUAAAAUGUGGCUUUGGUGAACUUAAUUUUAGAAUUAUCUCUCCACCUGAUUGUUGGCACAAACCAUACCUGGCGGUGAUGCUCUAGGAAACGGUCUUUGUCUGUGUUAACAAAGUGACCGCGCUACCCAGAAUUAAAACUGACUUUUAGCAUCCACCCAUUCAUUUAACUACUCUGAAGAGAGUUUACAAACCAAUUGUAUGAUAGUGGUAGGCCAUUUUAGUUUUGUCUUAAUAAGCCAGAUUUCUUUAAGAAAAUAUAUUAAUAACCGUGAAAUAUAUCUUGAUAGUGUAUUUAUUUGGUAUUGUAGAUAUUGGUGCUGUUAUCUCAGCGUUUUUACAGCCACAGCUGCUGCUGGAUGUGGCCCCUCUCAACAUUUCGCUGUGAAAUUAUGGUAUAUAAUUGUGCUAGUUGCUGGCUUGCAGCCAGCCAUAGCAUCUUAUAACACCAGCCGGACUGUAUCACUAAGGCUUGAUCAAAGUUAAAGGAGUUUGAUUUAGGAUGAAACUAAACAUAGGCUAUUCCAAACUUUUAGAUUAAGGGCUUGACAAUAAGGUUAACCUCUUGACUGAUUCUCCUAAUCAAUCGGGGCCUACGGUCAUUAGGUGCACUCGUGUGGACCCUCUGGCAAACGGGGGAUAACUUGGUGGGCCUUUGAGAAAAUCCCUAACGUCAUAGCGAUGAGCCAAGAGAGAUAAGUCUUGUGGUCAGGUCGCCUUCGCUUAGGAGCUCUAGGGCUCGGCCAAGGCGUAGGGAGUUCCCGAUGCCCUGGCCAAGCAAGAGCCCCCGCGGUCACCCCGAUCUUGGCUCGGGUUGAGCGCUCACCCUAGGCAAUGCUAGAAGCAACCCGAAAAUCUAUCAGGUGCCUAGAGAAUGACAGGCACAGAACAAUGGAAGUACCAAGCCAACAUUCUGUUCCUCAGCCACAACGUGUUGUCGGCCACUCCCUCAAUACAUAGCGUCACCUCUAGGACGUGACACGUUAGGACAAGGAGCUCCCCAAAUCUACGUAGUGGGGGUCUAGGGCCCGCUUGGUAGCCUCUGCAAUUGGAAAAAGCCUAGCAUGCUAAGGAAACCACAAGAAGGCACACCUAGGGAAGACACAACAACAGUAGUCUGCACCUGGUGAUCAACACCAGACAACAAUAGUGGCGUCAAAGGGUGGUUGUGAUUUUGUUGACCCCUGACUACAAGAUAAAGAAGGACCGACGAUAUCAAGAAGAAAAAUUGAAUCAUACGACAAGAAAACCUAGGAGGAAACAUCCGAUUAUUAUUCCCAUCACCUCCUCGAUAUAUAAAGGAAGACAUGGACUCCUAUAUAAAGGAUCGAACCACGAGACAUUUGACCAAAACCCUAGAUUAGAAUAGCACUCCCCCCUACAUUUUACUCUCUAGUCCUCCAUUGUAAGGACUCUCAGUAUUCCUAACAUGAAGAGUACAACUGCUGGAUGUAGGGUUUAGACACCUAAACCAAGAUAAACCUCUUGUAUUUUGAGUUCUUAAGUCAUCGGAGUUACACACAUCAGCCUAAGUUGAACUACCCGAUUACUACAGCAGUUAUGAACCCGUGACACCUACUUUUGGUUAUAUACAUGAUUCUUGUGAUGUGCUCUAGAUGGGAGGUCCUUCAAACAAUAUACACUAUAGAGCUUGGGAUUGUAUCAAGAAUUACCAAUAAUGUUAUAAUCGACGAAUGGUUAACAAACCAAAAGCAAUGGCACUGACAAUUUACUUUAAGUUAUAUUAAUAAUCAACAAUGGUAAAUAUCAUAAGUUAUUAUUUUAAAUAAAUUUAUACAUUUUAACUAAAAUAUUAUGUCAUAUCAAUAUUACUAGUUUAUUUAGACACUAUAUGUUUUACAAAACGAUGCUACCACAUAUAUAAUUUUGUGAUAUAACAAAUUCAACAUGUUGAGUGCCUCAGUGCAUGUUAAAACGACUAUUUAUGUCGGUGUAAGAACCAAGAGGGUUUAACCUAUGACCUAUAAUAUUCUUAAUAAUAAAAAUUAUUUUUUAAAAAAAUAUAAUAUGUUCGAGUUUUAACUUAACAUGUGGAUAAAAAAUUUGCAACAACUAGAUUAAAAAGUUGAAAACUAAACUAUAGAUUCAUGGUGUCAUAUGAAGGCAUGAAACAAGUGCUUCAAUAUUGUAUGCUUAGAAUUCAACUAAAUUCAUAACUAGUGGUCCCUAGUGGAGUCUCCAUGCUAAUCCAGGAAGAUACAAUAAAUUAAGAUUAAGCGGUAGGCAUCAACAAGCAUGUUGCAAUAAAUAAAAAACUAUUUCUUUUUUCUUUAUUUAUAACAAACACUCUAGAAUGUUUUAGUUUAUGUUCCUACCUAUUGUCUGGAUAUACGAAGAGAAAUCUGAGAAUACUAUGAAAUAUUUACUCAUGGGUGGGGCAAGCUUUUCUAUUCUAGUUCAUGGUUUCUCUUGGCUAUAUGGUUCAUCUCGGGGAGAUCGAGCUUCAAGAAAUUGUGAAGGGUUUUAUCAAUACACAAAUGUAUAACUCCCUAGGAAUUUCAAUUGCUCUCCAUGUUAAUCCUCACAAGGACAAUUAGAAAAAAAAAUCGUAAAAAGUCCCACAAAAAUUUAAAAACUAAAUAUAUCUUUUUUUAGGCUCCAAUCACCCCUAAUAAUAAUAAUAACCAUUUCAUCUAUUCUAUAUUAUAAAUAAUUACCUACCUCUAUGAUUAUCUAAAUCAGCAUAAGAUAACCCAUGAAUCUAUAUUAAAAUAUCCACAUAUGCCAUUGAGAAACAUGAUACAAAGUAAACUCAAAUUUCCAUCUAGUUACCCGCCUGUUAUUAUGAUAGAUAAUAUAUUUAACAUCUUUAAUUUGCAUCUGAAUUAAUAUUUCAAACCUAAAUAUCUCUAAUCAACAUCUUUUGCUAAAAAAUAUCUAAAUAACCACAAUAUAAUAAAGUAUACAUAAGUUUCUACAUUAACCCACUUCUAUUAGUAUUUGGUUAAAGUAAAUAUGUAUUGUUCCAUCAUGCAACACCAAUUAUACAUGCAUGGAUAAGAGAAAAAUAUAUGUCUUAUGUUUCAACAAUGUUGAAAAAUAUUUUCUUAACAACUCAUAUACUAAUGAUACUAACAAUUUAUUUAAAAAUACUAAUAACCAUUAUGUUUAAUUUUAUAUGAUUUAUUACUAAUGAUAUAUUUAUAAAUUUAACUAAAAUGUUUGACAUAUCCAUAUUGAUAGUAUAACCACUGUUGCAUAUAUAAUUAUUUGGUAAGAAAAUCCAAACUUCACGAGAAGUGGAGGAAGUGUAGACUAGGAGUGGUUAUAUCUUCAUGGCCUUUAAGGUUCAUUUGAAAUAAAUAUUCAUUAAUUCAUUGUAAAGCCUAAAUAUUAAUAUCUCCUUGAUAUUAGUUUUGCUACCCAUCCUAGAUCUUUCUUCAAGCUCUACCACUAAUCUUAAAAAAUACAGUGCAAGUUUUAAGUGACUAUUUAUGCGAUCGUAGCCACUUAAGAGUGUAGCCAACUAACUAAAGUCCUUAUUUUUAAAAAGUAAAAAAAGAGUGUUAAUAAAUAAUAUUAUAAGAACAAAGAUUUCAACUUAAUUAACCUAAGCAUAAAAAAUCUAGCAAUCAAUAAGACUAAUAUUUGAAAAUCAAAUUUUAGAUUAGUGACAUCACAUAUAUAGGCUGCAACAAGCUAAGAGCCACCAUAGUUUAAGCUAAGGUUUUAAAUCAUAUUAUAUUGAAGAUGAACUAUGGAUAUGAAUGAAAAAAAGCAUAUUGAUAUGUUUGUCUACUUAUAAUUUAAUAUAAGUAAUUUUUAUUGGUUAGAUGUAUUAAAUAAUGACUGAUGCUUAGGUCUUCUAAUCUAAGCUUUUAGCCUAUGUGAGAGCACGGAUUGAUAGACUAGCGUGAAGGUUAAUAUGGAGUAAUAGUAAGAUAUUACAUGUUCAAAAUCUAUCCAUACCAUAUCCCACUACAAAAAAAAAGGAUGUUAUAGCAUAUCUUGUUAAUCUUUCAGAAUUAAGUCUUCUCCUUCAAUUCUACUAGUGGUCAUUCUUCUUUGGAUUCCUCCAAAUCCUUUAUCAUUUUCUUUAAUUUCUUAACAAAGGAUUUACAAUCAUUUAAUUGUAGAGAGAGACUCAACUAGAUAUAACUACUCCUCCAUCUCAAAAUAAAUGCACAUCUCACUUACAAAUAUAGAAAAUACUAUCACAUUUAUAUCUUUGAAUAAGUUUAUUAUGAAAGUACAAUCCAUGUCCAAUCUAAUGAUACUUAUCGUUCAUCAUAAAUAUUAAUGCAUUUUUGUAGAAAUUAGAUCAAAAUUUAGAAGAUUUGACUACUUAGAAGAAGCAACAUUUAUUUUGGGAUAUACAAUCUGUCAUAUUGUCACUGCUCAAGACUUCUAUAGAAAGGUAGUCCAACGAAGCCAUCCGGAGAACCCUGCAGAAGAGCGAGAGUACUGUUCAGAGAUGAUGGGUUUCAGCUGCCAACACCGUUCCAUCUCCCUGCACAUCUUCCUCAUCUCUGUUGUCCUCCUGCUCAACGCUCCGGCGGGUCGUUGCGGCAGCUACAAGCGCAUCUUCAGCUUCGGGGACUCCCUCAUCGACACCGGCAACUACGCGCGUAGCGGCCCGAUAAUGGAGUACCCAUAUGGCAUGACCUACUUCCACCACCCCACCGGUCGCAUCAGCGACGGCCGCGUCGUCAUCGAUUUCUACGGUGAGUGUACUGCAACGAGACUGUGCAUAUAUACAUGAUGAACACACUGCCAAUUCGUGUUAAUUAACCCUCACCCACUGACCUACCAUCAUGCAUUAUUCUUUCAGCUCAAGCGUUCCAGCUGCCACUGAUACCACCAAAUCUGCCGCAGAAGGACACAGGCCUGUUCCCGACUGGCGCUAACUUCGCUGUGUCUGGCUCUAUGGCAAUGCCCCCGGAGUACUUUCGUAGGUGGAACCACGAUGUAAGCUGGGCCUGUUGCCUGGGCGUGCAGAUGGGAUGGUUCAAAGAAAUGAUGCAACGAAUUGCUCCCUGGGAUGGUAAGUACGCGUUCUUGCUAGGAGUAUAAUCCUAUUGUCCUGUACGAUGCGUCCAUGCAUACAUGCGUUCAAUCAUGUGCCUAAUCGAUUGAUUUCCCAUUCGCACACAAAUCAUUCCGCUAGACGCCAAGAGGCAGAUCCUGAGCGAGUCUCUCAUCGUGCUGGGCGAGAUCGGCGGCAACGACUACAACUUUUGGUUCGCCGCCCGUAGGCCUCGCGAGCAAGCCAACCAGUUCAUCCCAGACAUCGUCGCGACCAUUGGCUCUACUGCCAGGGUGUGCUGCUGCCUGUUACGCUUGUAUUGUACUUCGUCCCGUCGUCGUCGUCGUCGUCGUCGAGUGCGCAUUUGUUUUUCUAGUCAUUUUAACAGAAGCUUGCAUUGGCAUUGCAAUUGCAUGCAUGCAUUUUUGCAGGAGCUCAUCGGUAUGGGCGCGAAGGCGAUCAUGAUCCCGAACAACUUCCCCAUCGGGUGCGUGCCGGCAUACCUGAGCGGGUACAAGAGCAACAACCGCGCGGACUACGACGAGCACGGGUGCCUCCGGUGGUUCAACGACUUCUCCCAGAGGCAUAACCAGGCGCUGCGCGGCGAGGUCGGCCGGCUUAGGGCGCAGCACCCCAACGUGAAGCUCAUCUACGCCGACUACUAUGGUGCCGCCAUGGAGUUCAUCAAGGACCCGCACAAAUUUGGCAUCGGUGACCCCAUGGCGGCGUGCUGCGGUGGCGACGACCAGCCGUACCACGUCAGCAGACCGUGUAACAGAAUGGCCAAGCUCUGGGGCAACCCGAGCAGCUUCGCCAGCUGGGACGGCAUGCACAUGACGGAGAAGGCGUACGAUGUCAUCUCCCAUGGAGUGCUCAACGGGCCGUUCGCCGACCCACCAUUGCUUUGGUGUUAACGGUGAAAUAGGAUUAUUGUUGGUUUGUUGUCUCACAAGAGAGCUUAAAGCACCUCCAAGAGUGUUUUUUAAAAACUUACCCUCUAAAUCAUUAUUAGAGAGUCAUUUGAAUAAAAAUAGCAGAGAUUAAAAUAAAAGAUGUUGGAGUGUUUUUACCAAAACCUCUACUCUUAUCAAUUAGAAAGAAUAAAAAAAAUUCUUAGAGUUGGUCUUAGAGCAUCUCUUCACCAGAUAUUUCCUAUCCAAGCUCCUAUAAUUAAAAAAAACAUUUUAGAAGAUACAAAUCUCAUAUCUCAUAUCUUGUAUACAUGUAUUCCCUCCACCCAAAACAAGUGUCUCUAAGAUAUUUGUGCCGAUCAAAUUUUCUUAAAUUUGACUAACUAGGUUUGUAGAAAAUAUUAGUAACAUCUGUUCUUCAAAUAAGUUUAUUAUGAAAUAGAUUCAAUAAUCCAUCUAAUGAUACUAAUUCAGUACUAUAAAUAUGCAUAUUUAUUUAUAUAUCUGGUCAAACUUAGGCCUUGUUUAGUUCACCCCAAAAACCAAAAAUAUUUUAAGAUUCCUUGCCACAUCGAAUCUUGCGGCACAUGCAUGGAGCAUUAAAUAUAAUUAAAAACAAAAACUAACUACACAUUUUGUCUGUAAAUCGCGAGAUGAAUCUUUUGAGCCUAGUUAGUCCAUAAUUGGACAAUAUUUGCCACAAACAAACGAAAGUGAUACAGUGUCCGAAAACUUUUCAUUUUGCCAACUAAACAAGGCCUUAAAAUAUUUCACUUCUCGAGAAGCGAGAACGACACUUAUUUAAGAAUGGAGGGAAUAAUUUUUAAGAGAUCUCGUUACAAGAAGCACCCUUUCUCCUAAAUAAAGAAGACAAACCUCCUCUCCUUCACCCCUAAGGAAAUACUCCCUCUGUCCUAUAAUAUAAUUUAUUUUAGAAAUUUAAGACAAAUCAAGAGAGAACAUAAAAGACAUAUGUACCCUCAUUUUAUUUUCUAAUCAAACGCUAUCAUCAAUGUGACGAAUGGUGAUUGGUUGAUAAAUAAAAAUAUUUAAUGUAUAAUUGGUUUUUAUCCUCUAGAAUGCAUUGCAUUUGACAACAAAUUUUGAAUGCUGGAAUGCUCUUAUUACAGGACGGAGGGGGUAUAGGAGAUAAGUUUUAGGUAAUCUGCUAGUGCUUCCUUAUAGCUAAAUUGAUUUCAAUUACUAUCCUGAAACAAUUUAAGAAGAUGCAAGAUAUCGUAGAGAUGCUCUUAGGCCAUUUUCAGUAGAAAUUUCAUGAUACUUCAACACAUCCAUAUUUUAGAAACAGUGUAGAAGAGUUUCAUCUCCAUGAAACUCUUUAUGCUCUCAUAAAACUCUUAUCAUCUCUCUCUUCAUUAAUACGGUGCCCUAGCAUACUUGAUGUCUACAAAACUAUGAUGAAACACUAUUGAGACUGGCCUUAGUCGUCUUUAGAUUUGUUAGACAUUUGACAUUAAAGAAAUUAAAAAUUAGUGAUUUUUAUUUCUCAUAGUGUAGAGGCUGCAUUUUGCUUGGUGCAAUUUCUUCGGGAGAAAAAAAACAUGUUUACACCUUUGCUGACCCACGAUUGCUAAGGAGCUGUUAGUUUUGGUGUAACGGUGAAAGAGGAUUGGUUCUUUGUCUCACACUAAGAGAUUUUUUACACCCCUCUUCUAUAUCAUCAUUCAGCAAAUCAUUUUAAUAAAAGCCACUUUUUAUACCUUUCCAUCUUCCAAUAAUUGGUCUAUAUCAUGUACACACUCUAGAAGCAUCCCUCCAACUAUCUUUGCCUAGCAAAAUAUUCAGAAUAGAGAAAGAUAUUGGAGAUAUAAUUAAAGAAGCUAUUGGAGAGUAUUGUUUUCACCAAAAUCUCUAUUUCUAUCAAUUAGAAAAAGAUUUAAAGAUAUUCUUAGAGUUGCUUUUAGAGCACCCACCAAAUAUCUUAUCUAAGCUUCUUAUACUAAAGAUUCUCAUAUCUUAUAUCCUAUCCCUAUAAUUUUUAAGGGGUCUCCUAAAAGAAGCAUCCUUUCUCCUAAAUAAAUAAGACUCAUCUAUCCAUCCCUAAAAAAAUAUAAGAGACAAGUUUUAGGUAAUAUGCUAGUGUUCUCUUAUAGCUAAAUUGAUUUUAGGUACCAUCAUCCUAAAUAAUUUAUAGAAGAUGUAAUAUAAGAGAUCUACUAGAGAUGCUCUUAGUCAUCUUUAGAUUUUUUAGGCGUUUGUAUACUAGGAGAAUACCCCAUGCGUUGCUAUGGGAAUACAGUGGAUUACAUGGCAUGAUGACAUGGACAAACAAAAUACUUAUGUAUCUUGCUGGCGUGGACAUUAUAAUUGUAUGGCUAGUGGAUUUUAGUUGUGUGUGAUAGUGCAUUGCUUAGUUAGACAACUUGCAUGUUGAGAGAAAUAUAGUGACUUGCUGACAUAGACACUACAAUUGCAUGGGCUAGUGGAUUUUUAAUUGUGUGUGAUAGUGGGUUGCUUAGUUAGAUAGCCUGUAUGCUGAGAGAAAUAGGUAGUGGAGUUUAGCUUUAUAGGAGUAUAAGAUAAGAUUAAAAAUUAAUGGUUUUUGUUGCAAAUAGUAGAGGCAGCAUUUUGCUCUAUGCUCAUGGGCUAUGAUGGCCCCCCACCUCCCUAGCAUCAUAACAAAGUGUAGAACCACAUAUUGGAGCUUGGGAUGUUUGACCAUAAUGUGUUGUUGAGGCGUGCAAGCAUGUGAUCAUCAACCACAACAACAAAUCUAAGAUCCCAGUGGAAGUGAUGGAAGAGGCAGAUGGUAUUUGGAUGAAGGGAGCAUGGGUUAAAGGAGAAGUGACGCUGUAAUGUGGUUUCCAAGAUUUUGUUGUCUUUUAUGUUUGUAUUAUUAUUUGAUUAGUAUAUGACAUGAUGGUUAGGCUAUGCUACCAGAUCGAGUUCUUAGUCUAGGAUGUUGUCCACUGAUCGCACUUAGCCCAAACCCAACUUGUCUAGUCAUCCUCAUGUACUACUCAUAUAGCAUGCAUCUAUUCAGCCUUUAUCCAAGAUCAAUUGCAAAAGACAAGGUGCUACAUGAUCCACCACAAGUUCACAUCACAUUAAAGAAAUGUGCUACUUAAGUGUACAACACAUUGUUCCACAAAUUAGUUCAUAACACCACAAGACACAUCAUAGUCUAAGCGAAAAUCUUACAUAUGACAUAGUUUUUUGAUACACAUCCAUGGUCCAUGCCACAACCAUGAACCUACACCUCAAAAGGAGGGCCCCUAAUAUUCAUAAUCCAUGGGGGACUCAAGCACAUAGAAGAACCCAUAAGUGAGGGCGACCUCACCUGCAAAAACUCCACAAGCAGUAUCAUGAGUAGAAAAUUAUAAUAGAACUUACCCAUAAUUAAAUAAACAAGGAUCAUGCAGUAAGAUCUAGCAAGAAAAAAGUUUGGUUUCACAUAAAGGUGUUUUGUGCAUAAAGUAAAGUGGUCUACUUGACUUAUAAGCAAGCAUAAUAGAUUCCUACAACACUCGAGCAGUGAGAAAUCCAUCACCAUCUCAACUUCUACCGCUUCUAAGCAUGCAAGCAUAGAGUAUGUUCUACCAAAAGCAAAGCAUUCAUGUUACAAGGUACAAUGGAGACAAUACAAGACUACAAGCUCAAAUAGGUAAAGUGGAUUUUUAGUCAUAUGGAAACAUAAUGUAACAAAUAAUGCAUUCAAGUUAAUGCAAUUGUAAAUAGUAGAAGAAUGCUUAGGCGCCAGCCUUCGUACUUGGUGGGUGGAACAACGACUUUGAGUUCAGGUCAACAUUGUUCUUAAGCCUGGGCAUUCGGGUUACCCGAUUUUUUCGGGUCGGGUAGUUCGGGUAAUUCAAAAUUCGGGUAAUGAAAAUUGUUAACGAUAUUAGUCCCAAAAAAACACUACCCGCAAUUUCGGGUACCCGAUAAUUCGGGUUCGGGUAUUCCCGAUUUACCCGAAAUUUCAAAAAACAACACACUAUACAAAAUUUCAAUAGCAAUUUAUAUAUAAUUUUAGCAGCAAAUUGUAUAGAAUUUCAAUAGAAUUUUGUAGAGAAUAAUAUAUUACUAUCACUUGUUCAAACAAAGAGAUUUAUGUUCUAAUAAAUUGAUAAGUUCUAAUAUUUAACUAAUAACAAAUGAUAAAUACAAAGAUAUAGACAAAUAUUUGGGUAAUUCGGGUAGUUCGGGUACCGGGGGAUACUACCCGAAUUACCCAAACUAAUUUCGGGUAAUCAAAAUUGCUAUCCGAAUUUAGGAUCGGGUACCGCGGGUUUGGGUAAUUCGGGUCCGGGUCCGGGUAAUUUGGGUACGGGUAAUGGGUAUCGGGUAAUUUGCCCAGGCUUAAUUGUUCUCAUGGUUCGCCUCCUUGUGUACUUCCUCCCCCAUAUGAUGUAUGACAUGAAUGAGUAAAUGCAAUGCUUAUAUUGAUAUGAGAUGCUUGAAUAGAUGCAUGAUCAUGUAUAAAAACACAUGGUCCGUUGAUAGUGUACAAGUGCUUAAACUUGUGAAGGAUAGGUGUUGUUAACCCAUUGAUAGUAGACUGUCCGUUAACAUGUGAUAAACUAUUUAUCAGAGUUCCAUACUGUUGAAUAGGUGAUAGUAGAUCAUCCAUGGGACUCAGAACAAAAUGUGCUAAGUGUAAGGAUUGAUGGACUACCCGACAAUGUUGGACGAAUUGUUCGUCUAAUCAUGUACCAAAAUGACCUCUUUGGAAUAGAGAGAGAAAAUUCAACUAAUUGUCUGUCAUAGAAGGACAGACUAUAUGUCCAACCUUGUGUUCUGUGAGUGAAAAUGACUAAGUGUGGGUUUUGACCGACCCUCCAACACUGACUGAUGAAUUAUUCAUGGGAUUCUAUUUGGCACUUUCUAGCGGAGGGUGCUCUAGUAGAACCUCUCAAUUGCAUAAUUCUUGUGCACUAAGUGAUGUUGUGGGUGCUAAGCGUGGGUGUGGUACAUGCAUGUGCAAGGGGUCUUGCAGGUGUGUUUAUAAGGUCUCAAAGAACACAUCUACUAAGGAACAUUGGUCGUAACAAGUGUAGUUGAGAUUGAGAUAUUGGAAAGAGUUACGUGUCAAGAACUAGCUAAACUUUGGUCUCUUUGAUUCAAAAGAAGGUCUUGUUUAGGAUUCAACCUACCAAGGUAUGGAGAAGAGGCGAAGAUGGAUCUUCAGGACUUUGAUUCUCCUCUUUGACCUCGUACUCGGCCUCAUUGUUGUUUCUCCUCCUUGAAGCCUCCUCUUGCAAGGGGGAAUGAACCUCUCCUUGCUCAACUCCUAGCAAGAGUUGGUUGGGGAUGAUCUCCUCGGUAUUCCUUAAAUGCUCCUCUUGCUUGUUACCCACUCUUUCUUCCUCCUCCUUGCUUGAGAGAUGAUCAAAGGGGUGGUUGAAGCAAGAACUAGAGAGAGAGAGAGAGAGUGGAAAAGAGAGAAGGAGAGUGAGACAAGGGGGAGAGAGAUUAGUUCCUGGUGGCCUUUGAGUCAUGGAGAGCUACCAAGUAUGAUUUACAAGUGGGGCCAAGGGUGAUUACUGCUUGACAUCUCAAAAUUCAUGCGUGGUUGGGUACCGAUGGAUUGUUCGUCGGUGCUUGACGGUUGUUGACUAGCAAUAGAGCCCAUAACAUACAAUUUUUCUAUACAAGUUUCAAGAUACGAACUUUAGUGCAAACUAUAAUCGUGAUGCACAUGUGUUAAACUUAAAUGCACGACUGGAUCGUCACGGUAUAGUUCUCAAGUCAUAUGUCUAUACUCAAUAAAACCACUCACACGUCAAUGCAUUCCGAUAGGGCAGCUGGGCAGGGGUGUUACUUUGCAUUGUUUUACAUUGCAAAUCGCAAUGACUUUCUUUCUCUUUCUCGAUGAGAACAAAUAAAGGCUUUGUUGGGCUGAGUUCUAGCUCGGCCUGUGAAGCAACGGUCGAAAUAUCCCGGGCCAGGCUCCCAGCCAUCGAAAUUUACACCAUUUACAUUAGCCCAGGCCCAGCUGCGAAAAUAUUUCAACCCGCGCGACUCGUGCCAUUCCACUGCACAGGCUGUCGCCCGCAAUGCCCGCGCCGCUGCCUGCCGUCGCGCGCGAGCUGGCAGAGCUCCUCGUCGCCCUCUCCGCCGCCCGCGCGCUCCCCAAAGGACAGCAGCUCCACGGCCACCUCCUCAAGGCUGGACAUGUCCCCGCCACCGCCUCCUCCCACACGCUGCUCGGGCACCACCUCCUUACCUUCUACGCGCGCUGCGCGCUCCCGGACCUCUCGCUCCGCGCCUUCCUCGACCUCCCCGCGCCGCCCUCUCCCGCGGCAUGGUCCUCCCUCAUCUCCUCCUUCGCCCAGAACGGACUCGCCGCCGCCGCCUUCGACACGUUCCGCCGCAUGCUCGCGGCGGGCGUCCCCGCCACCGACCGCAACAUCCCUUCGGCUGCGAAGGCCGUCGCCGCUGCAGAGACCUUGUCGCGCCCUCCGUUCGCCCCUCACGCGCUCCACGGCCUCGCCGCCAAGACUCCGUUCGCGGGCGACGUGUUUGUUGGGUCGGCGAUUCUCGACAUGUAUGCCAAGUGCGGCCACCUUGCAGACGCCCGACGGUUAUUCGAUGAAAUGCCGGAACGGAAUGUUGUUUCCUGGUCCGCACUCAUCUGUGGGUAUGCUGACGCGGGGAUGCAUCCUGCAGCGAUGGGAAUCUUCCGCUUGGCACUUGAGGAGGCCGUGCCGGUGAAUGACUUCACAGUUUCUUCCAUCAUCCGAGUAUGUGCUGCAGCGACACUCUUUGAGCUUGGAGCCCAGGUGCAUGCCAGGGCUACAAAGACAGCGCUUGAUGCAUCACCUUUUGUGGGUAGCUCACUUGUUUCGGUUUACUCAAAGUGUGGGCUUGUAGAGUGUGCUUACCGGGUGUUCAAUGAAGCACCUGAGAAGAACCUUGGCAUUUGGAAUGCAGUGCUCAUUGCAUCUGCUCAGCAUGGGCAUACUGCUGCAGCAUUUGAGCGCUUUAUGGAGAUGCAGAAUGCUGGAUUCCGGCCCAAUCACAUAACCUUCCUGUGCUUGGUCACUGCUUGUAGCCAUGCUGGCCUUGUUGAUGAGGGGAAGCGAUAUUUUUCUCUCAUGAAAGAUUAUGGUAUUGAACCACAGGCUGAACAUUAUGCUUCAAUGGUUGACCUACUUGGUCGUGUAGGACGUAUAAAGGAAGCACUUGAUCUUAUUGAGUCCAUGCCCAUGGAACCACCAGAGUCUGUUUGGGGUGCACUACUCAUGUCAUGUCGUAUAUUUAAGGAUGCUGACACAGCAGAAAUUGCUGCGAAGAGGCUGUUUGAGACUGGGUCACGCAGCUCUGGGGCACAUAUGCUUUUGUCAAGCACAUAUGCAGCUGCAGGAAGGCAUAUUGAUGCAGCUCUUGCUAGGAAAGCAAUGCGUGAUGCAGGUGUACGGAAAGAAACAGGACUUAGCUGGUUGGAAGCUGCAGGGGAGGUGCAUACCUUUGUAUCGAACUGCAGGAGACACCAACGAAGCGAGGAAAUUUACAAGGUGCUAGAGAAAGUUGGUGAGAAGAUGGAAGCAGCUGGUUAUGUGGCAGACACUAGUGCAGUGGUUAAGGAUGUGGAUGGGGAUGAGAAGCGGGCAACAGUGAGGUAUCACAGUGAAAGGCUAGCAAUAGGAUUAGGUCUUUUGAUUGUUCCACAAGGUGUACCAAUUCGAGUUAUGAAGAAUUUGCGCGUGUGUGAUGAUUGCCACAGUGCAAUUAAGUAUCUAACUAAGUGCACAGGUAGAGUUGUGGUUCUUAGGGAUAAUCGUCGGUUCCACCGAUUUGAAGAUGGGGUGUGCUCUUGUGGAGAUUUCUGGUAAGGGACCAAUAUGUUCUCUCUGAUGUGUUCUUGAUUUUUUUUUUUCUCUAUAUGGAUUCAUCUAGAAGGGAAACUCAUGUUUCCUCAGUAAAUAUACCUUUUUCAGUUUAGUGGUGAUAUGAUAAUAAAGGAGUAUUGAUAUAUGAGUUUCACAUAAUUGAAAAAGACCAAUUUUUUUAUUUCUUUGGACACUGCAACAGUUCAGAGUAUUCUUUGGAAAAGUAUUAUCUUUGCACAUAGGAUGCAAUCUUGUACCUCAGGGUCCACACGGCAUUUAGGUUUCUGCUCAAUGUCCUAGAAUAUGCAUUUGGACAGUAACAGGUGCAGUAUUGUCAAACAAGAUUUCGAGUGCAGCUGCCUGAAAAUCUGUAACUUAUGGUAUUAUCUUAUGGCUCCAAUUAAUGGUGCAUGUUUUUCAAUCAUGCGCUCGUCGCAUUACAUAUCUCUCAGUUCACUUGUUAGUGUGUCAUGAUGAUCCCAUUCUGUUUUGCGACAAGGUUAAAGCAGGUUAAGAAAAAGCACUAAACUGAACCUAGAACUAACUGCUUACAGUUUAGGUAAUAAAACUACAAAAGUAUUGUUUCCUUUGGAUUGAAGGUCAUCACCUUUAAUGCAGAAUUACAGGGAUCAUAUGAUCAUGUAAUACUAGUGCUCAGGCAGGAUAUUAUAUGUUUAUUAUCAAGCUCAGUUUAAUGAGCAAAGCAUUGUGUAAUACUUGAGACUGUUCUGUUACUUUCUUGUGCAUGGAAGUUGGAAGGUUGUAUUUCUUCAAAUGUUUGAUGUCUCAGGGAAGUACUUGCAAGUUUCUCUGCACAGAUCUGGGAAGCACUGAUGAAGUGACCUUUCAAUUUAUUUGUGUUGUUAUCCUUAAUUUAUAUUGCAAUAGUUGGGACUUACAUAAAAAGUUAAAAGGGAAAACAAAGUUGUUACUUUGAAUGCAUGAUGGUUCCUUUAUUUUUGAGGUGUAUUCAAUUAAAUUAAUUGAUUGAGGUACUAAAUUGUGUGUGUUUGGUCAAGGCUUGAUAUUUAAUGCUGAUAUACCAACAAAACAUUCUCCCUCGCCCCCCCCCCCCCCCCCUUCCAAAAAAAAAUAAUGUUCUAGGAUUGUCCUAAGUCUAACAUCCAAAGUUUGACUAAAUUUAUACGUAAAAGUAUCAACACUUGUGACACCAAUUGGUAAUGGUAUUGCUCCUUAUUAAUAUCAAUUGAUCAAACACAAUGGUUUGACUUGGGACAAUCCUAGAACAUAAGUUUGACAGAGGGAGUAUUUUGGAAAGUGACAGGUAGGUUAAUGAGGUGUAUCUAUGUUAUUAUCAACCCCUGUUUCCAAAUACUUGACACUUUUGACCACUUUAUUUGCUUCUGAAUACUUGGCACUUGCUCCUAUAAAAGUACUAUGUAAGUAUUCUAUAUAACUUUAUGAGGGCAUUUUGGUCAUUGGUCAAAGUAUCCAAGUAUUUGGAAACUGAGGUUGGUAAAUAUUUUUAUAAGGCUCUCUAGAAAGGAAACUGCUGAGACCAAAAAUCUUCAAACCAACUAGACCUGUCUUAACCUGAAAAGGACAAAAUCUUUGUUGGGAUACAGUGAAACCUAAGCUAAUCAUGCUACUCCUUACCAAGUUAUCGCGAUUAGUGCUUUAGGGCAGCUUUCCUGUGUCUGUAUGUAUGUUGUUUAUAAAGGAGACUCCUGAGUUGGUUGCAUCCAUCCUUUGCAUGCAGAAUUGCUGAUUUUUGUAUGUUCGAUGUUUGCAAUUUUCUUUUGGUGAUGACAAACGUAUCAUUGUACAUAUAUCCUAAAAAAAGCAUGAUUAGUAAAGAUUUUCACUGUCCAAUGCUUUAGCUUUCUGCAUGAUUUGAUGGAUGCAUCUAGUUUGGAUGAUGGUCCGGAGGCUGCAAACUGUAUUUUACCUUUACACUGGCCUGUUGGCUGGAGAGCAGCAGAAGGUUCAAGUUGGUCCACUGCUGGCUACUGGUCCUAGAAGGUAUUUGCCUAUCUUGAGAGGGACGCAAAGAUAUGGAAGGCUGCACAUUAUUUGCCUUUCCCUACUUUGUCUGGUUAGUACAGGUGGCAUAAAGAUAAUUGGUCUAUUUCUUUUUAGGUCCUUAUUUGAUCCGUGCAAGCUUCUUUAUGCUUUGAAAUCCAGGAUGCAUGUUGCCCAUGUUGGCCGGCAGAUUGAUAAGCUGAAAGAAUGACAGGGGAGCUUCUAUUCUUCAUGCAUACUGAACUGAAAAUCUGAUGGACAAGCUACCACCUGCCAUACCUAUAUAUGUGCAGGUGGAACAUGAAGUUCUGUUUUCUUGUAGCACGUAGAAAACCAAGCAAGAGAAAGAGAGGCACACACAGCAAAGAUGAGUCUUAUAAGAGGGAUGGGAAACAUUGCCAAAAGAUGGAAAGAACUCAAUGGCUUGAAUUAUUGGAAGGGCCUGGUUGAUCCUCUCGACCUCGACCUUCGUAGGAAUAUCAUCAACUAUGGUGAGCUCUCCCAGGCAGCCUAUACUGGGCUAAACAGAGAGAGAAGAUCAAGGUAUGCUGGGUCUUGCCUCUUCAACCGCAGAGACUUCCUCAGCCGGGUGGAUGUAUCAAACCCAAAUUUGUAUGAGAUUACAAAGUUCAUAUAUGCAAUGUGUACUGUCAGCUUACCUGAUGGAUUCAUGGUUAAGUCUCUUUCAAAGGCAGCAUGGAGCAGGCAGUCAAAUUGGAUGGGAUUUGUUGCAGUAGCUACAGACGAGGGUAAGGAAGUGCUUGGGAGGCGGGAUGUGGUGGUGGCAUGGCGUGGCACAAUACGGAUGGUAGAGUGGAUGGAUGAUCUUGAUAUUUCCUUGGUGCCUGCUUCAGAAAUAGUUCUUCCAGGCAGCGCAACUAACCCCUGUGUGCAUGGAGGGUGGCUUUCAGUCUACACAAGUGCUGAUCCAGGGUCACAAUACAACAAAGAGAGUGCAAGACAUCAGGUAACUCAUUCAAAUUCUAGAAUAUUUAUUAAACAAUACAAAAUUUUCUGAUCUGAGGAAAAUAAUACCAAUCUGUGAACAAGUUAAACAGCAAGGUCUAUACUCUAGAGUGUAUUGUGCUUUCUAAUCAUGUAUAUGCUUGAAGUGAAAGUGUUGCUUCAUUAGAGUUCAAGCAAAGGAAAGAACAACAUGGUAUCUGUAAAGAGCAUUGCUUAAUUAAAACAGCAUGAUUUGUAAGCACUAUAUCUAAGUGUCAAGGACUGCUUUGCCUUUUGAACUAGGUAGGUGUUCUCUAGUUGAGUAGUGGUUCUUGAGAAGUGCCGUUCAGGUCACUCAGAAAUGAGCACAAGGACUAUUUUACCUUUUUAAAUAGACUAGGUUAAUGCCCAUACGUUGUUACGGAUUUUAAAAUCCAUAUACUCUAUGUUUCUUUAUUGUUAUUUUAAAUUUUCUGUCUAUAUUCUUCCUUUUUCAUUUCUUUUCAGUUUUCGUUUUUUGAUUUUAUUUCAUUUCCUGUCCUUUUCUUAUUCUUUUCUUGUUUUAAUUUUACCUUUUAUUUUCUUUUUCUUUUUCUUUUGGUUUUAGUUUUAUUGUUCUUCCUUGCUUCUAUUUGUUUUUCUUUUUUCUUUUCAGGUUUUCUAUGUUUCUUCAUUCUUAUUUUAUAUUUUAAUUUCUUUUAAUCUUCUUUUUAUCCUUAUUUAAAUUAUUCAUUUAUUUUAUUUGCUCUAUGCACUUUUUAUCAUUUGUUAAUCAUGUUUGUUUUUAUAUUUUUCUUCUUAGUAAUUUUAUUUUUUAUUUUUAUUUUCUAUAUAUAUGCGAUGUUUAUGUAGUAUAUAUUUAGUGUUCUAUGCUGUGUUAUGUCAUGUUUACGUAGUAUACAUGUGAUGUUCUAUUUUUUUUAUGGUGUUCACUUAGUAUACAUGUAAAUCUAUAAUAGAUGUGAUGUUCUAUAAUAUAUUUAAUGAUGUUCUAUGAUGUAUUUAGUAAUGUUAAUGUUCUAUAAAUAUAUUUACGAUAUUUGAAAAGUAACCCUUUGACAUUAUUUGAAAUUUUUCUCUAUUUUGUGUUUUUAUUUUUUUCUUAUGCUUUUUACUCCAGAUUUUUUUUUAUUAUUAUCUAUGUCAUGUAUUUAUGUAUGUUUUAUGUAUAUUGUAAUAUCAGUUUCAUAAACCUAAACCCAAAAUACUAUUCUUCUAAAUUGAUAAUAUUUUUUUACAAAGAGAGAACAUUCUCCGUUGAACCUAGAAUAUUGUCUCUACUUAAUAAAAGAAAAUAUUUUAUCUUUAUAAGAUAAAUAUUUAUUAAUAAAAUUUUAUCUAAAUAUAUCCAUGUGUGAUUUUGUUUUGAAGGAUUUGUUAUAAUAAAUUUAAUGGUGUAAUCGAAAUUUAAUUUAUAUUUUUGGUUUAUGAGUUAUGACUUUUUUAACUCGCUAAAAAAAUUUUGCAUGGAUAUGUGAGUGGGGCCUAGGUGAGUGGGGCCUAGGUUGAUGGGAUAGCCUAUCAUGACACGGUAAAAAUGAGACUUGUGGCUUUACCAUGGAUAUGGUAGAUGAGUCCUUUCUAUAAUUUUUAGUUGUAGAGAUGACCCACCGAGGCUGCAUCUUUGGGAUUGAACUAGGGCGGUGUAGACCCCUUCACCAUUGGAAACUCAUCAAGGUGUCAAUAAAUAAACACCCUUCAACAAUGCACAAAUUUUAGGUGGUUUGAUUUAAUAAGUAACUAUAGAAAUUAGUUAAAGUGCCUUGACAGGUAAUGUUAAAGGUUAGUCUGCCAUCUAAGAAAAACAAAUUUCUGAUUCCCACCAGUGGGAACAUUGGCCAGGUCGUGGGGAGCUAUUUAACCUCCCACCAGCCUAGGUUGAAAACCUGAAGCCGAUUUAGGUGCCUUUUCCUUUAGUGAAUACCAAUACUUGUAGCUAGUUUCAAAAAGGAAUGAGGAAAAGAUCUUGGGUAUUUUUCUUCUGAUCCAUCUCAGCACUAGGGAAACAUCAUGACGAUUUCAGGUGGAAGAUAAACCACUUGUGAGCCAACCAAAGCUUACUCUGCAAAAACACAAAUAUGGUACAAGCCACAGUAUUCUAAGAUAAAAGAUUUGAUUCUGUUUUGUUGAGAAGUCAACCGGCGUCCCUCUGAAUAAUUUUGCACUGAUACCAACGAGGCCGGGAAUGGAGGGCGCUAGGCGCGAGCGAGAAAAGAACAUGAACUCAAAAAAUUUGUGAUUGUUUCUUCAAAAAGCAUCAUUGUCUCCUUGAUUGUGCAUAUUUGAUAGCUCCUUCAUUUUGCUCAUCAUUUGUUAAAAAUAUAAUAAACAUGUGUUGAUCAAACUCUCAAAAAUUAGCAGGUGUUAAACGAGGUCAAAAGGAUACAGGAUUUGUACAAGACAGAGGAGACGAGCAUCUCCAUAACAGGUCACAGCCUAGGAGCAGCACUUGCCACCAUCAAUGCAAUUGACAUUGUCUCCAAUGGCUACAACAGGAGCUGCCCUGUGUCCGCGUUUGUAUUUGGAAGCCCCAGAGUCGGUAACCCUGAUUUUCAGGAAGCAUUUGACAGUGCAGCAGAUCUGAGAUUGCUCCGAGUCCGGAACUCUCCUGAUGUGGUCCCAAAAUGGCCAAAGCUAGGAUACAGUGAUGUCGGCACAGAGCUAAGGAUCGACACAGGAGAAUCACCCUACCUGAAGUCCCCUGGAAACCCCUUGACAUGGCAUGACAUGGAGUGCUACAUGCACGGGGUUGCAGGGGCUCAGGGGAGCAGUGGAGGGUUCGAGUUGGCUGUUGAUCGAGACAUUGCUUUGGUGAACAAGCAUGAAGAUGCACUGAAAAAUGAGUUUGCUGUCCCAUCAUCAUGGUGGGUGGUACAGAACAAAGGUAUGGUGAAAGGCAAGGAUGGCCGGUGGCAUCUGGCGGACCAUGAGGAUGAUGACUGAUGUAGCCUGGCAAACUAUCUUUUACCAGUCUGUUACCAGAACACGUGUGUCUUUGUGUUUAAAAUUGUACUACCUGGCUAAUUUUCUGUAUUCAAAUCAUGAGUUUCAUUGACUUUUAUCGAUUGUAAUAAACCCUAAAUUUGUUGAGCAGUGGAUCUUUGGACAAAAAAAUCAGCGUUGGAUGUUUUUCACCAUCUUUGUUAUUUUUAUUUUUGAUUGAAAGUGCACAUUCUUGGAUAGUUGGAUUACUUAUUAGGAAACAGCUUUUCCAUUUAUAUAGUGCGGCAAAAGUAUGGCUUACUAAAUUUUGAAGGCAACGUUAUGUCUUUAAUGAUACAGUUAUGGUUAUGUAUUUCUAUAUCGAUUUUAAGGUACUGAAUUUGUGGAAAACAUAAAAACUCUAUAAGGCCUUGUUUGGAUGUAGGAGUCACAUCAAUCCAUGUGGAUUGAGGUGAAUACGACAACAUCCAAACAAGACCUAAGAGGAAAACUUCGAACCUAAGUGAGAUAUUUUAAGGGUGGUGCGGGGAGAGACUUUAACAUUCUCGUUCCGGUUUGGCCGAGUCGAAUCCUCUGUCCCAGCACAUCUUUCUCCCUUUCAUGGAUCUCAUCUUGGCAUCCGUCAUGGACUACAUACAGACGGACCAUGGGCGACCAACACCUUCCCUUGUCAAGAUGCUCGAUCGGGAGAGGUGGUUUUGACAUGCCGCCACCCCCAUUUCUCACCCCCACCAAAUUGUUCAGUUUCUUCCAAAGCGGAGGUGAUCACCUUCUUCCCAGUGCUGGAUAGAUAGUUUUUCUUUUUCUCCCCCUCAACACAGUGGAUCGGAUUAGGCAUAAGCAUAAUGUUGUGCUGUGCGAUUUUUUGCUUGUUAUUUCAGCAUGCAUCUUUUUGCGAUCAAAAAGGGUGCCCAACAGCCCAUGGAUCUCAUUUCCUUUCGUCUUUCCAUAGUUGCAGUUGUUGGUCUGAUAGAUCCAGAACUGCUUUUUAACCCUCUCUUUCUGAAAAGCAAAAUCUGUUAUCUAAUAUGCCGCGUCAUUGUGGCCGUAGACUGUAACUUAGUCAAGAAAUGGGAUCUAAAGGCUAUAUUAACGUCAAAUUAUCAAUUUCCACUGAAGACCAAUGCAUAGCGCGUAAUACUGCCAGAUAGUCAGUUCUACUAGCUGGCAACAUAUUCAAACAAUUUAGGCCUUAGUUCGUAAAUUUUUUUUGCUUUUGGUUACUGUAGCAUUUCGUUUUUAUUUGACAAACAUUGUCCAAUUACGGAGUAACUAGGCUCAAAAGAUUCAUCUCACAAAUUACAGGUAAACUGUGCAGUUAGUUUUUAUUUUCGUCUAUAUUUAAUGCUCCAUACAUGCGACCAAAGAUUUGAUGUGACGGAGAAUCUUGAAAAUUUUUGCGAACUAGACAAGGCCUUAUACAUCGACAUGUGCCAUGUGUUUGAAUUCUUUCCCUCUGGAUCCUUGAAUUCUUUCCAUGAUGCCUGCUGUCAUGUCAUGUGCCAUGCGAGCAAAAGAAUGCUCCACUUGUACACACACCUUGCUAGCUCCGAGGUCAGGUCUUGUUUACUUUCACCCAAAAAAACAAAAUUUUUUAAAGAUUCUCUGUCACAUCGAAUCUUUAGACGCAUGCAUGGAGUAUUAAAUAUAGACAAAAAUAAAAACUGUGUGCACAGUUUGGUCGAAAUUGACGAGAUGAAUCUUUUGAGCCUAGUUAGACAAUAAUUACCACAAACAAACGAAAGUGCUACAGUGUCGCGAAAUUUUUUCCUUCACCAAUUAAACAAGGCCUCAACUUAUAACCUUGCAGUUGCAGUACCACACAGGUUGGCAAAGGGGGAGGCACAGGACCACAAACCUCCAGAACUCAGAUCGAUAGCCAAACGCCCAUAACAAAUGUUCUCCGGCGACAUGGCCGCCGGGCGGUGGAGGGAGCUGCACGGCAGCAACCACUGGGAGGGCCUGCUGGACCCGCUAGACGUGAACCUCCGGCGCUGCCUCAUCACCUACGGCGAGAUGAUCAUGGCCACGUACGAGGCGUUCAUCGGCGAGAGCCGGUCCCCGAACGCCGGGAUGUGCCGGUACCGCCGCGCCGACCUGUUCCGGCGCGUGGACGUGUCCCGCCCCGGGUGGUACGAGGCCACGCGGUACCUCUACGCCACGGCCAGCGCCGAGGUGCGCGGGAAGGUGCUCCUCCGGCCGCUCUGCCGGCAGGGCCGCGCCAGGGAGUGCAACUGGAUGGGGUAUGUCGCCGUGGCCACGGACCAGGGCGCCGCCGCGCUCGGGCGCAGGGACAUCGUCGUGGCGUGGCGCGGCACGCAGCGCGCGCUCGAGUGGGUGGCCGACCUCAAGCUCGCGCUCGCCUCGGCGGCGGGUAUCCUGGGUCCGGAGGGCGCCGGCGGCUCCGACCCGUCGGUGCACCGCGGGUACCUGUCGCUUUACACGUCGGCCGACGAAGGCUCCAACCUGAGCAAGCAGAGCGCCAGAAUGCAGGUGUGUGACCUGCUCUGCCGCUUCUUUUUGAACUCUUGCAGUCCAGUUCAUGUGUUGUACAGUAGUACUAUUGCAUCUUGUUUUUGUUGCAGUUCAUAUUAUUUUAGAGUUUUAUAAACUGUUAAGAAGAGGGUUUAUAGUUUUCUAACUUAUUCUUUUAGAGUGGAGUCUUUAACACUCCAAAAAGACUACAAUUUCAAUAUUAUGGUUUUCAAAACUAGUUUACUGCUUCCAAACACUUCAUGGCCAUUCAAAACCAAAGUAUUUUACAAAAUCAUAAUAUUUUUCUAAAACUCCAAAAUGCUUUGCAUCAAAACAGGGCUUAAAAUGCUUUCUUUCCCCAAAGACAGUGACUGCCUUCUUCCACAAUCAGCAGUUGGAGACUCCUUUUGAGUCUCCACUUUAAUUCUUUUAAUAGACACACAUGGGAAAAAGUACAAAUGAGAGAAUUUGAGCUAUUGACAUAUCAAACACAGACCGAAGAGCGAUGCUAAGGAGAGCACAAAAAAAAUAGAGGUGGAAAAUACAAUAAUUUGUAACUGAAAUCUAUCCUGAUUGGAUAAAAACAAAGUAUCUACAUGAGUACUACCUUAGAAUAUGGGCAAAUAAGGGAGAGCGAAUGAAAGCAAUUUGAUCAGCUAUGACCCCAAAUUUGUCUAUGGAUGUCUAAUAUUUGUCUCUUAGAAUUACUCCCUCCAUACCUGAAUUACUUGUCGUUUUAGCCUGUUAGCCCGUUCUCUCAAAACAUGACGCUGUGCACAGUUUGGACGCGAAUGCCCCUGUCCGUCCGCCUUCUACCAUCAAAAAAAGUGUGCUUGCGAAGAUUCGAACAGUCAACCUCCAGCCUUACACCAUAGAGAACUAGCCAAUCAAACUAUGCAACGUUGUUGUAAAAGUAACACAUGUGGUUUUAUUUAAUAAGGGCAAAGGAGGAAAAAUACCCUCUAAUUAAUCACUCCUUGGUAAGCACAAUCAUGUCCUAAAUGUCAACUAAUUCAGGUAUGGAGGGAGUAUUACUAAUCCGUGCAAAACAAGAGUGCUGUCCUUAUGCUUGUUGAGUUCACUACAACAAAAUGUAUUGCCGUUUCAAUUCAAGAGGAGAGGAGAAAAUUGUGACAUACAUAUUGCUAUUGUCUUAACACAGUGACAACUUACAAAUCACCAAGUUGGGUCGCAAAACAUCUCUUGGUGAUGAAGUUGGUCAUAACAUGAUGCCCUAUAUAUGUCCUAAAUAACAACUUAUCACUAUGCUAUGCCCAGUAGCUAAAGAGGUCUGGUGCCUUGUGUUGGUGUGGGAGCAUUUUGACACGGACUUAAUCCGACAUCAGACCCAACCGACAGAGAUAAGAAUGUGGUGGGAACAAGCGGCAACCAAAGUUCCAAGAGAGCGACGACGACACUUUAACUGGGUGGUGAUAUACACGAUGUGGAACAUUUGGAAGGAAAGAAACAAAAGGAUUUUCCAAGACACAGUCAUAGAUGCUCGACAAGUGGCCUUGAAAGCCAAGGAGAACAUUAACAUGCACUUUAGAGUGUUUAACAACCAGACUUAGCCCCACUGUGUAGGAGCGCCGGGUGUUUCCUGUUUUUAUGUUUGCCCAGUGCGGCUAGCUGGAUGUCUCGAUUUUCUUGUACAUAUAACUUAUUUCCUUUCUUAAUUGAGAAGUAGAGCUCCUGCUAAUUUUUCAAAAAAAAAACUUAUGGCAUGCACUUCUACACCUUGGAAGCUAUCCUCAUCAUGACGCAUGGCAUGGAUUUUGCUUGCCUCAUGACGGUUGCGUGAAGAUAAGGUGUUGUUUAGUUUUCUCGUGAAGAUGUGAUUGUCGAGUGGAUUGUUGUUGGUUUGGUUGCAUCAGGUGUCCUAGUUGAGUAGUAAGUGUGAUUCAUGCUUUGUCUUUAAGUACAAGUUCAGCAAUAUAUAUAACUGAUGAAAACAUCAAUCAAAUACUACAUGAGCAGUUAAUUAGCGCAUCAGUUGUCUAGGCAAAGCAAUCCGAUGACUGCAAACAGUUGAUUAGAUUAUUAGAAAUAUUUGAGGAAUUCUUGGCAAAUUCUCGUUUCUUAUAUAUAGCAACUUGCUUUCUUCCACCAAAUCAACAUCAAUCAUUAUUCUAAGAAAUAUGUGGGUUCAUUCUAGUCCUUAGAUCACAGAUCACUCAAUGCUGAAAUCAGAAUACAUGCACAUUCAUGAUAUGGGCCUAGAAUUGCAUGCUAUGUAUACAAGGAGGCGGGUAUUGCUGCCAGGAUAUGGGCCUCAUACAAGCCCUUAAAAUUCAGGCAAUGCAAUUGCAGCUCCGGAAGAUUCAUAUUCACAAUGCAUGACAUACAAUCUGCAACUGGAACUGAACACUGUUCUUUUAACUCUUUCCUUACGAAGUGCAUUGCCUGGAAUUAAAAACGAAAAUAAUGCCAAGAUUUUGGUAGCGCCAGCGGUGAGUAUUGGCCGUCCAAUAAUGGUCCUUCUCCAGAUGUAUUGUUGAUGUAGCAAAACUCUACUAGUUCUACAAUGGCAACCCCAGGGGAUCCCUAUUCUGUAUGGACACUACAGAAUCUGAAAAUUUUCAGACCGGCAAUAGUCCCUCGAUUAGUAGUACUUUGAGCCUUUGAGGUAAGUGUCGCUGUGUCAAGCAGGCGUGGCAGAGUUAAGGCUGCUAAUGCAAGUUGAUAACAGAGUGCCUAGAGAAGGAGGAGGGCAUUGUGUGAUAUGGAGAUAUAGCCAAAAAAAAAGUUUGAUGAGAGCUGUGCUGAAGGAUGGAAAACAAAAAUGAGAUGCUAUUCACUGUUGAGGAAGGACAAUGAUUGUCAACCUUACGGUGCCCAAAGAAAAGGGCAAGAUCGAUAAGCAAUGCUAUAACAGCAGUACUAUGAUUAACGAUGUUUAAGGCGAUGCAUGAUUGAGAAAGGUGUGGCAGCGGAGUCAGGUAAAAGGAUAUUGAAGAAGCUCGAAUGUGUGUGCAUUUAUAUGUUAUACUAUUCUUUUUAUUUUUUGAAUAGUUGUGUGUUUUAAUACUCAGUGAACAUCGGUUUAGAUGUACUAUACAAGUAAGUCUAGAGAUUAUUAGAUUAUUAUCUCCUAGCUUCCUUUUUUUUGGCAUGUACUUAGCAAGUUAUUAAUUGUGCGAGCAUGCAGGUGUUGACAGAGAUCGCAAGGCUAAUGGACAAAUACAAGGACGAGGAGACGAGCAUCACCGUGGUUGGCCACAGCCUCGGCGCGACCAUGGCCACCCUGAACGCCGCCGACAUCGUCGCCAAUGCCUACAACAAGACCCCGGGCUACGACAGCCGCCGUGCUCCGGUGACAGCCAUCGUGUUCGGCAGCCCACGCACGGGGGACCGCGACUUCCGGGACGUCUUCCACCGCCUCCCGGACCUCCGGAUGCUCCGCAUCCGGAACAGGCCGGACCGCAUCCCGCACUACCCGCCCGUGGGCUACGCCGACGUGGGCGUCGAGCUGCUCAUCGACACGCGCCGGUCGCCGUUCCUCAAGCCCCACGGCAACGAGUCGCAGUCGCACGACCUCGAGGUCCACCUCCACGGCGUCGCCGGCUGGCAGGGCGACCACGGCGGGUUCGAGCUGGUGGUGGACCGGGACGUUGCGCUGGUGAACAAGUUCGACGACUGCCUCGCCGACGAGUACCCGGUGCCCGUGGGCUGGAAGGUGCACCACAACAAGAAUAUGGUGAAAGGGCCCGACGGGAGGUGGGUCUUGGAGGACCAUGAGCCAGACUACGAAGACGAGGAUGACAACGUCGACUUGUAGAGCAACCAGAAACAAGCAUGAUUUGGACGUCGUCCAGUCCCGCCAGGCGAAGCCAGCCGAUUGUGUUUUGUGUUGCUACUAUUGAUCUUAUCCCGAUGUUUUGAAAGGUCUUGGGAGCACUGAAUGGUGAAAUGAAUUAUAUGUCUAACAAUAAUUAAAGAUAUUAAACUUAGAGCUCAAAUAAAACUAUCCGUAAAAAACUAAUAGAGUACUAGUUCUAACAUGAUGUGUACCUAAGAUUGUUCUAGCGUGCUCUAACUUACAGAGACGGAAAAGUAAUAAAAUAUUUUUUGAUACAAUUAUUUAUAAAGACGGGCAUCCUAAUAUGCCUGUGGAUGCUUAAAAUGACCACCUAUGUUUUUUCUCGAAUACUUAAAAGGUUUGUGCAUCAUUGUAUUAAGAUUGAGAAAAACAGUUUGUUACAUCGACGUGCCUCUUAGGCGCACUAGGAGGGGCGAAGGUUAUACAAUGACUACCGUGCUAAUAAUAAUUUAUAGAGGCGGUCGUCUUAGGACAUUUGUAUCUAGUAGAUGAUUUUGAGAGGUGGGUAUUUCUUGGAGGUCUCCGACCACUUACGGAGACAGUAUUUCUCAUAAUUUUUUUAUAAUGUGUUUUUACUUACAAUGUACUAUCGCUGCAUUUGUAUAUUUUUUAUAAUGUGUUUUUACUUACAAUGUACUAUCACUGCAUUUGUAUACUUACUUAUAUAGUACGAUUAUACACUAUCUUAAUUUAGAAUUUUAUACUUUGAUAUACAUGUUAUCUGUUCUGUGCCUUGUGUGCAUGCCCCAAGUCAUUGCCCUGGCUUUAUUUCUCACACACUACUAACCUAUAACAUGUAGCUAGCAUACUUCCCCACUCUACAUUGACCCCACCCAUCACUAACCUUAAAUCAAAACUGAAGUUGAUGGCGCCCUUGCUACCUUGCUACCCAUCGACUUACCAAUCGAGCAUUUAUAUAUGAGCCUAAUUAAUCUUAACCAUCAUUGCUGCUAAAUAGAAGAAUCUACGGAUGACGAUUACUAAUAUUGCAUCAUACCGGCAUGAGCCUAUUCACUGGUGUUUAGUGGCUCUUUAUGGAGCUGCACAACCAGAGUUUUUUUAAAAAAUUCUGACCGAGUUAAUUCAGGCGUGCAGGAAAGUAGGUAGCUGAUGGGUAGAGACUUUAAUAUUAUCUAGAAUCCAAGUGAGAAAAAUAAUGACGUGUUUGACAACCGAUAGCACUUUUUAUUUAGGUUUUUAUGGGUGAAAAGUUUUUGGAUACCGUAUUAUUUUUAUUUGUAUUUAGCAAUUAUUAUCCAACCAUUGACUGACUAGAUUCAAAAAAUUCGUCUCAUAAAUUACAGGCAAACUGUACAAUUAGUUAUUUUUUAUUUAUAUUUAAUGCUUCAUGUGCCGCAAGAUUUGAUGUGACAAGAAAUCUUAAAGUUUUUAAAUUUCGGAUAUAACUAAACAAGGCCUUAGUGCCAUUAUAGAUAGCUUGGAUCUAAGGAAGAUUGAAAUUUUAGGAAGAAAUAUCACUUGGGCCACUCUAAAAAUAUACCUUAUGGAAAGUUAAACAGUAUGCUUGCCAGCAUGGAGUGGGAGCAAAUAUUUCCCUUUCACUGUUGAUGCAUUGAAAAUAGGGAAAUUUAGGAUCAUACACCCAUGCAUUUAAGCACCGGUGAGAAGGUACACGUCGACAGCCAACCUGAGUUCAAAUUUGGGCUUAGCUGGUUCCUCAGGAGGAUUUUUUUUAGAAGGUUGCCAAGGUUUGGAAAAGUGUAGAUUAUAGAUCUACUCCUAUAAAGAAAUAGCAGAAUAAGAUCAGAAGGCUGAGACAUUUUUAGAGGAUGGACAAAGAAUGUGGAUGGAAAUUUCAAGAAAGAGUUUCGGCUAGAUGGGGAACUUGAUAGAAAAGCAGAAUCCCAAGUCCUUAGCCAACAAGAACUAGACUUGAAGCAGUCUGAAAGAAAGAAUUGCACAAAUGCAUCAAGAAGAAGAGAUUAGAUGGUUCUAAAGGGAAAAGACUAAAGAGCUGCUAAAAGGGGAUAAUACUACUAAGUAUUUCCAAAUGGUGGCAAAUGGAAAGAGAAGGGAAAAAGAAUCUUUUGGCUAGAACAAGAAGGGAAAGUGAUCGAGGUGCAGAAAAACUUACAAAUUGUCAUAACAAAAAUAUUAUAAAGAUUUGUUUGGAUCAUCGCAUAGAAACGAUUUCUCUCUUGAUGAAUCAGAAACAUAAUAAGGCUCGGCGGAGUUCUUCCAAGUGUUUUGGUCUCUCGUAAAAAAUGACCUAAUGGCCAUGUUUUCAGAGUUUCAUGUAAGUAAUCUACCCCUCUUUAACCUUUAUUUUGGUACGAUCACUCUAAUCCCAAAGGAACAAGAAGUCAAGCAAAUCUAGCUGUACAGGUCUUGUUUAGUUUGUGAAGGGAAAAAAUUUCACGACACUGUAGUACUUUUGUUUGUUUGUGGUAAUUAUUGUCCAACCAUAGACUAAUUAGGCUCAAAAGAUUUGUCUUGUCAAUUCCGACCAAACUGUGCAAUUAGUUUUUAUUUUUAUUUAUAUUUAAUACUUCAUGCAUGCGUAUAAAGAUUCGAUGUGAUGGGGAACCUUGAAAAAUUUUGGAUUUUUUGGAUGAAAGUAAACAAGGCCUAAGGUCUUGGCUGAUAGGCUGACUGUAGUUGAUAAAGUAGUGAGAAAGUCAUAGACGGCCUUUUUGCCAGGGAGGAAUAUUCUAGAAUGAUUCAUGAAUUGGAUAAGAAGAAGGAUGGGGUAAUCCUAAAACUGGACUUUGAAAAGGCUUAUGAUAAAGUUAAUUGGUCUAAAUGUGCAACAAACUCUCAGGAUGAAGGGCUUCUCACCGAUCUGGUGUAAAUGGAUUGAGGAGAUGGUUAGUAGAGGAAGCGUGGGGACUAAGGAGAACGAGGAAAUUGGUUGUAAUUUUCAGACCAGAAAAAGACUUGGACAGGGGAUCCCUGCUGUCUAAGGAGGAAGAGAGAAUGGUUUGAAAGAAGGCUGUAGGCAUCUUAAAGACGUGGUGUUAUAAAUUUUCGAAGCCUAUCCGUGAAAAAACCAUAGAAGGAUAAGAAUGUAGAAUCAUAUGGCUUUUUUGUAUCGGCACUUUAUUUGGCUAUAAGUGUUCUGGUCUUUGGCUCUUGUUUUUUACGCUUUCAGUGGAGAGGGGUCCUGAUCUUAGUGCCCUUUAGUGUCCGUUUAGCGGAUCUUGGUCUAAGUACCUAUCAUCUUGUAAUGUUGGCCAUAAGCAUUCACUUAUGAAUGUGAAGGCUCGAAUGUUUCUAUUCCUUAAUCCAAAAAAAUGAGCCUAAUAGUUUUGUAGAAGACAAUAGCAGAGAUGACGAAAGUGUAGUUGAAACUAUGCACAAACCUUCCACACAAAAACAACUCCUGCUAAAUUGGUGAGGAUGUUUGCAUUGAAGAUAUUCACAAUUGAGUUUAGCUCAUGAGUUUGGGGCACUUCCCUGCAAACCUUACAUUUUUCCUCAUUUCCCACAAAAGAAUAAAGUCCAGGAAAUGUUUGCGCAGAGAAUCUGGCACCAUUUCACUGAAAACGACUCCGCACAUGCCGUUUAGCUCAGGAGACUAGCAAACUGACAACUGCAAGAGCUGCCGAUUUCAUUAGCACCCACUCGCACACACAUCGAUCGGUGUUAGUGUAACCUCUUUGCGCGGACAGAAACAAGAUAGAGAGGCGAGGAAAAGUGCUAGAGUCCAUGGGCUACCAAUCUCAUGGACAGCAGAUCCGCGUCACGCAUUCAUGCUCUUCUGGCCAGUUUUCCAAUGCUGUUCUUUCAGGGCCCAGCGGCUCCAUGUACGCACAACUCAUGCGGUCUUUUCAUGCGAGCGACAUGGGUGGACGCUCUCGGCGCCGCAUGAUACGUUCUGUUGCCUCAUGGUCAUGGACAUCGUGCUGGUAAAAACGAAGAGGAGAUGACUGUGCGAUGCACAGGAAGUCAGGAAUGUUCAGAAGGAAGUUCAGGUAGUGUGAUUCACAGACAUCGCUCUUUUUUUAUGUACGGCACAGAGGCAGGGACAGUGCUGAGUUUUCCGCUACCUUGUUGGUUAGAUUGUGUCCUUGGAAUCCUUGGAGGACUACCUGGCAUCCAUCCAUGCCCCCAAUUUAUGGUGUGUGGAGGUCGCCAUAUAUAUCCAUCAGCUUGCUCUCUCUCUCUCUCUCUGCUUCUGCUGCUUGCUUUGCUUCAGACACUUGACACUACUCACUAGCUAGCAAGUGCCUCCUCAGUCCUCACCAUGACCCUCAUGAGCCUGCUGCGGCUACCGGGGGAACAUUGCUCCUUGUCGCCGGCGACGCUGGCGGCGUGGUGGUCUCUUUUGCUCCUGGCUGUCAUCGGAAGCAGCGGCUCACCGGUGCUGGCGGGUUGCUACACGCGCAUCUUCAGCUUCGGCGACUCGCUGACAGACACAGGAAACUACGUCCACCUGACGGCCACCAGCCACAGCCCCUACGGCGCGCCGCCGUACGGGAGGACGUUCUUCGGCAAACCUACUGGCCGCGCCAGCGACGGACGCCUCGUCAUCGACUUCAUCGGUGAGCAAGCUGCUGACUUCGUUUGACUCUUGAUUGAGUCUCUUUUUUUGCUCCUAGUUCUUAUACGUUGGUUUCUCUGCCUGAACCAUCCAUUCUCUGUUUCAAAAGAGACGUCAGUAUCGUCGACCCCAAAAUUGCCAUCCUGUUAUUCUUCAGUAAAGCAAAAUGAUGGGUGACCUUUACGAAUUGCCUCAAUGUGCAUGGGUUUCUACUUUCUAAUGAAAGAAAUAGAAUGGAUGCCUGAACUCAUUGCUGGUGCGCUCAAAUGAACAAAAACAAGGCCAAAUGGGCAAAACUGCUCGACCCCCAUACAAGUAAACUCCAUUGCACUGUUCUUUCGCCCUUUAUUAUUAGUAAUUCAUGAUUGAAGUGGUUUGUGAAUUUAGUCGGCAACUCACACUCAGGCGGUUAAAGUAGCAUUCUUCUGUGGAAAAGACUGUCUUGGCGUCCAAUGCUAACGGUCCUCGCGUUUAAGCACUGCAAAACUCUGUUACAACUUACUAGCUACUACAUACAACAUGCAGUACAUAGUACAGACUGGUUGUGCGCAGUGUGGCUGUGUAUUGGUAACGGGAAAAGUAGAUAGAAAGUUCAAUGAUUAGCUUGUUCUUGAUUUGAUUCUCCAUCUAAUAUUUAUGAAUUAGAACCCCAGAACGACAUGGUUUUGUCUGAGUGCCAGUUCAGUUUGCUUUUGUGAAGAGAGUGUGUGGACGCUUGUUGCACCUAAAUUAAGCUUGCGCGAGCGAGUCCUGUCCUGUCCAGGUACAAGAGUCGUAACUUGUGUGCGCUUGCGUGAGUAGAUAGUACAGCUGCGCACUUUAAAUUGGGAUUAGUGGCAUCCAUGGUCCCUAAACUGUGCGUGUUUAUGAGCGUCGAUCUAUGCACAAUGAAUCAAUGAUCGAAUUCAGAGGUAGUCCCCUCGUCGCCUAAAGAGACUAGCAAGAAGCCAGGUACACGUCUUCCCCCACAGGAGGAAGAAGAAGAAGAACUUGGCUGCAACUUGCAAGACGAUGAUAACCCAUCACAGACUUGAAAGGUGCAAUGCGUUGCAGGUUUGCAACAUGCAAAUAUGCAAUGCAAAUCAUUGGCCCAUGCUUUCCUAGACAUUCCCAAAAUUGGCAGCAGCACCAGCACCAGGUGAAGGCUACAGUUUACCUAGCUGCCUUUAUAAUUGCUGCUCCUUUCUAAGAGUUCGUGCGACGCGCAUUUUGAAGCACCUAGUAGUCACUGAAAGCAAAAUUUGUAUCUUGUAAAGCAAGCCAUGCACGCAUGAUCGUCUCCACGUACGCCAUGCAUAUACAGACAGUAAAAGCAUUUGCUUGGGUUCGAAUGCAGCGGAAGAGUUGGGGCUGGCGAAGGUGACGGCGAUCCAGGCGGGCACGGCGCCGGGGGACUUCCAGAGCGGCGCCAACUUCGCCAUCAUCUCGGCCACCGCCAACAACGGCUCCUUCUUCGCGGGCAACGGCAUGGACAUCAGGCCUUUCUCGCUGGACACGCAGAUGCUGUGGUUCAGGACCCACCUCCGCGAGCUCGUGCAGGCGGCGUCCCCAGCGGCGCAGCAGAACGGCAGCGCCGCCGCCGCGCUGCUGAGCGGCGCGCUGGUGGCGCUGGGCGAGAUCGGCGGCAACGACUACAACUUCGCCUUCUCCCGGGGCGUGCCGCGGGACGAGGUGCGCCGGUUCGUGCCGGCCGUGGUGGACAAGCUGGCGGGCGCCAUGGAGGAGCUCAUCGCGCUGGGGGCGCGCGCCUUCGUGGUGCCCGGGAACCUGCCCUUCGGCUGCACGCCGCUGUACCUGCAGCGGUUCCGCGCCAACGGCGGGUGGUGGGACUACGACCCGGCCACGGGAUGCCUCGCCUGGUUCAACCGCUUCGCCCAGUACCACAACCGGGUGCUCACCGCCCGCCUCGACAAGCUCCGCCGCCUGCACCCGGACGUCACCAUCGUCUACGCCGACUGGUACGAGGCCACCAUGAGCAUCUUCCAAGCCCCCGGGAAGCUAGGUACGUACGUGAACGUGACGCCCGUAGUACAUAACCAUUAAUUCAUGUGUAAUGUAGAACUGCGCCGCCGCCGUUGUACGUGUGCUGCCCGCCCACCAUAGGCAUAGAUAGGCCGUGCGGCGGCGAGCUCUGUUUGCUGCCCUUGAGGUUGGGGCUCUGUUUGCUGCCCGUUGCGACGGCGACGGCGACGCCGCACCAAACAGCGAGGCAGCUCUUGUCGGAUCGCGCGGCAAGUAGGCCCCUUUGCAAUUGCAAUGGAAGCACGGUCGGGCCGGCGACAAAGCACAGCGAGUACGUCUUGGUCUUCCUUCCAUAAGGUGUCAGUCAGGGUGAUAGGGAGAUGGGCAGUUAUGGCUAAAAAAGGCUAUGCGCGAACAUGGCCCGGGCCCGGCACCAGUUGUGGUCGUGUGGCCACCAGCCGCAUGAGCCAACAAACGCCAAGGCCAUCAUGGGUUCACGUGCAACAAAUGGCCCGUCGCGACCAGCUGUGCACUGCCUAUGGUUUUUGGGCCUGGUACAGAUCUUACCUUGGCUAGCAUUAUCCAAAGUGUCAGCCCAGGAUAUAUGGAAAUAACUGACUGGUGGCGGGGGCUCGUCGGGUCCGGCCGUUCGGACGGAGUCCGUCUGUCCGGCAGACUCCCGCCAAAUUGUUUUCAGAUAUUUAUCAAUAGAUUUUCCCGCCUAGCACCUACAGACCAAGAGUAGCACACGACAGAUUUUGACUCACACUCAUCUCAUCCCACGUCAUCUAAACUGGUGCAUGCAAAUAGUUUUAAACGGAUUUAAAAAAGCUAUAACUUUUAUACUAAUCAUUCAAAUUAAAUUCCGAUUACACCAACGGUUUUGUUACAAUAAAUCCUUCAAAAUAAGAUCCCACAUGAAUAUAUUUAGAUAAUAUUUUAUUAACGAACAUUUAUCUUAUGAAGAUAGAACAUUCUUGAGCAGAGAUGAUGUUCUAGGUUUAUAGAAACAAUGUUCCGUCUUCAAUAAAAAAAUGUUCUCAGUUUAGAAUAAUAAUAUUCUAGUUUAGAUUGAUGAUAAUAUAAUAUAAAAAUAAAUAUAGACAGAUAACAUAAAUAAAUAACAAUAAAAUUUAGAGUAAAGCAUAAGAGAAAACAUAAUAAAGAAAAAUAAAAAUGAAUAUAACACAUAUACUUUUUAAACGUCCUAAAAUAGACUAUAUAAUAUCACAUAUACUAAGUGAACAACAGUAAAUACACCAUAAAAAAUCACUAAAUAUAUUAUAGAACAUCAUACAUUGUGCAAACAUAGAAAAUACAAUAGAACAUAUAUACUACACGAACAACAUUAAAUAAACCAUAGAUACAACUAAAUACAUAAUAGAACAUCAUUUAAUGUGUUAUAGAACAUCACAUAUAUAUUAUGUGAACACCAAUAAAAUACAUCAUAUAACAACAUAUGUGUAGUAAGUGAACAUCACUAAGUAUAUCAUAGAACAUUACUAAAUACAAUAUAGAACAUCGCAUAUAUUAUGUGAACAUUAUUAAAUACAUCAUAGAAAAUAAAAUGUAUAUUAAGUGAACAUCACUAGAUAUAUCAUAGAACAUUACUAAAAACAAUAUAGAACAUCACAUAUAUACUACGUGAACAUCAAUAAAUACAUACCAAAGUAUUAUAUGUUUACUAUGUGAAUGUGAGCAUAAAAAAAACACCAUAGAACAUCUCUUUUAUGCUAUGAGAACAUGACAUAUAUAUUAUGUAAAUAUUACAAAAUACAUUAUAUUAUAUGUAUACCACGUGAAUAUAAACAAAAUCACAUGUAUAACAUAUGAACAUAAAAAAACAUAAAAAUCACAUGUCAACUACAUAAAACACCAAAAAAAUAACAUCAUAAAAAUAAUAAAUAAAAGACAUAAAUGAAAGAAAAUAUAAUUAUUAGUAAAGAAACAAAGAACAUUACAUGCACAACAUGCGAGCAUCAAAAUAAUAAGAAAAUAAAAAAAUAAAAGAAACAUAAAAUAUAAAAAGUUAAAAGAGUAAUAAAAAAACAUAAAACAAAAAAAUAGUGAAGCAUGAAAAUAUAAAAUAAAUGAAAAGAAAAAACUAUAGAAAACAUUAAGUAAAAAGAGAAAAGAAAAAAAAAGAGAGAAAAAAGAAUAAACAUAAAACAAAAUUAAAUGAAGUAAACAAAAAAAAGAAAUACGAAAACAUAAAAAAAAAGUCACAUGAAACAAAAAAUAAAUUGAAGCAAGGAAAGAAAAAUAAUAAGAAAAAAGAAAGGAAAGAAAAUAAAAAGAAAAAGAAAAAAAUAUAGAUAAACAAUUUAAAAAAUGGAAAGAAUAAUAAAAACACAUAAAACAAAAAAAAUUAAGCACAAAAAGAAAAGAAAAACAAAAAAAAAUAAAUGAAGCACAAAAAGAAAAGAAAAAAAAGGGAAGAGAAACUUACUUUUAGUUACGUACCUGGAACCUGGAAGGCCGAAGCCUAGCAGGCCGAAGCCUAGCGGGAAACUUCACGUCGGGCGGAGGGCGGGAAACAUCUCAUUGCCCAGCGCGGGAAACGUCGGACGAGUGCUCGGGUCCGAAUGUUCGGACCCGAAGAAUUCCGGACUGGUGGCUUAGGUUUCUUCUAAGGUCCGUAUUUGUAACUCCAUAGGUCACGACGACUCAUCAGUUGAAAAAAAAAAUCAGUUGAAAUCCCAGCAAAAUUAAUUUCCACACUGAUCGACCAAUAGCUGAGCUCGACCAAUAUUGUGGUUGACUACUUGCAGGGUUCACAAACGCUCUGCGGACUUGCUGCGGGAACCAGACCGUGCCGUGUGGCAUGCCGGGGUGCUCCGUCUGCAAGGACCCGUCCACGUUCGGGUCCUGGGACGGGACGCACCCGACGCAGGCGGUGUACAAGGUGAUCGCCGACGGGGUGCUGCACGGGCCGUACGCGUCCCCUGUUCCUCUCGCCGAGACUUGCCCUCCCACCACAUGAUGAGAGCAGCAAUCAGACAAUCAGCAGCCUGAUCUGCUUGGAUGGUCGUCGUCCUCUGAUGAUGCUUAGAAGAUUCAUAUAUAAUUGUCAGCUUUUAUAGAGUGGUAACAUCUGAAUUACACACUUGUGAAUUUUUAAGGACGGUACAAUAGCUUUGUUUCAGAAUACAGGUGAGGUUGACAUAUUUCAAUAGCAUACACACGAAGCAUUGAAGUGAUUUUUUUUUUAUGAGAACGCAAUGAAGUGAUGAUUGGGUUUAUAAAAACAUUAUUGUUAUGGUCCUGCACCCCUUCCUCCGAAACAUCAUUGCAACAAGAACCAUUCACGGCUAGAGCAGCUUGUGUAAUUUUUAUGAUUUUCUCUCUCCUUUUUUGUCUCUUAAUCUCUCUAUGUCUCCUCUUGCGCUCUGUACCCGGUGCUGUGUUUUUUUUACGUUUUUUCUUGUUUUCUCUUUUGUGUUUCUCUGCACUCUGGUUUAGUAACCUUCUAGGUUACUUUUAAUAAAUUUUCCAGUAGGGGCUCGUUGGCCCCUCCUGUUUAUUCAAAAAAAAAACCAUUCACUGCAAAUGCAUAUUUUAUUCAUGAGAAGAUCAUUCUUGAUGUUUGUUAGGAGCAAGACAACACGACCAUGCUGCAUGGUUCUUGGUUGCGAUCACGACAUUUUUAUGACCUAUGAGCCAUUGCAUGCUCCUGAAUUCAGGUGUUGGCGUAUCCUCACAAUUCCCUCCAACCUGAUAUGUUCCUUGCAAUGUCAGUAUAUACAUGCAUGAGACAUUGAAGUGACAAUGCAAUUGGGUUUGUGUAAACAACAACAACAACAACCAUUCAGGAGCUAGCCAUGUCAACAGUAUACACAUGAAGCAUUGAAGUGACAAUGCAAUUGAGUUUGUACAAACAAUAUUGUUAUGAACUUAUGAUCAUGCCCACCCACUAGAAAUAUCAUUUUUUUUAUUUUCUUUGUGAUCUUUUUUAUAUGCCGACCAGAAAUUUAUUAAAAAGGGAAAGUACUCAAAUACAAAGCUGAAGAAACAAAAAAGAUCACAAAGAAAAUAAAAAAAAAAAAAUUCCAUAAAACCAUCUAGCGAUAAAUCUAUGCGGGGAUGAUAACUUGCUUUUGCUCGUAGAAUAACUAGAGGAAACUCUUGCUUGAAGACAACCUUACAGCAUUGUACAGAAUGUUGAAGGUUGCCGAAAAAUAUUAACAUUAAAUCAUGUCCAAAUGACCUAGUAUAUUGUGAUGAUAAUCUCUAUGAAGAAAGGGAGCUGAAUAGCUGAUCUUUGAAGCUAUAGAUGGCCAUCGGGCUGUGCCGGCCCGGCCCUGCGGGCUGCGGCACGUUGGCCUGUGCCGGCUUGACACGGCGUCGUGCCUCCACGGGCCGCCGUGCUUCGUGCCUGGCCAUUGGCCCAAGGCACGACCCGUGGGCCGUCGGGCCGGUCCAAAAGCACGUCGUGCCAGCGUGCCAGGAUGGUUGGAUGGGCCAACAACAGGCUAACAAGCCUACAUUUCUUUUUUUUUAAAUUAGCAGGUUGUAUUUCUUACCAGGCCAUUCAGGAUGGCUGGAUGGACCAACAGUCCUACAUUUUUUUAAAAAAAUUAGCAGACUAUAUUUUGUACUGGGCCAUUAACCACCGGACCGUCGGGCCGUGCCUGAGCCGUGCCACGGGCCAUAGUGGCGGCCCAGGCAUGGCCUGGUGCCUCAGGCCGUGCUGGCUCGCGCCCGGCAGCCGCCGAGUCGUGUUGGGCCACGGACCGGGCCGACGGGCCAUGGGCUGCAUGCCAACUAUAUUUGAAGCACACUAGGACAUCAAAUUAAAGGGUCACUGGUGUUAGGUACAAUCAAAUUCAGUGUAAACCAACAAGCUGAGGCAAAAAGGGCAGGCAGUCCAACAACAAUAAUCGUUCACUCCAAAGACGUACUUUAUACUCCACAUGAUACAUGAGAAGGCCGUGCUUGCUGCCUAUUAGCAGCUGGACACCACAGCCAUGUUGUGUGCAUCUUGGUUGUGAUCAUGACAUUUUCGUGAGCCAUUAUGCGCUCCUAAAUUCAGGUGGUGCACGAUUCACUCGAACCAUUAUCGGCUAGAGCCUGCAUCACCCAGCCGCGACGAUCCACAUGACCCCGUAGCCCGCGCUGCUAAAUCUGUGCCUCAGCAGUCAGCCAGCCAUACCCGCACCGCACGUAUAUAUAUACGUGCGUUCAUAGCGCAUUCAAGGACGUGAUCGACUGAUCGUGUGCGCCAGCCAUGCCGGCCCUCGCCCUGCCCACGAUGGAGUCGGAGCUGAGCGCUCUCGCGUGGGCGACGCUGCUCGCCCCGGCGUGCGCGGUGUACGCACGGUUCGCCGCUCGCCGCCUUCGCCCGGGCAUCCCGCGCCUGGCCGCGCUCUUCCCGACGUUCCCAGUGCUCGUGUACAUGCCCUGGAUGUUCAGCUCCCUCCACCUGCGCCUCUUCUCCUCCUUCUUCCACACCUGGCUCGCCGUCAACAAGCUCGUCCUCCUCGCGCUCGACCUCGGCCCACUCCACCCACGCCUCCCGCUCCUGCCGUUCGUCCUCUGCGCCGGCCUCCCCAUCAAGGUCUGCCGUCUCAGGCAGCAGAGCCAGCAGCAUCCUCCCGGCGCCGAGUUCUUGAGGCCGUGCGCCCGCAGCGCCUUGCUCCUCAGCUGCCUCGCCAUGGCGUACCCCUACACGGGGUGGCUCCCGCUCUACGCGCUCCACUAUCUCUACUGCGUCCAGAUCUUCCUCACGCUGGACCUCGUCUUCUCCUGCGUCAUGCUCGUCUCCGCGGCGCUCAUGGGCGGCGCGAGCCUUGAGAGGCAGUUCAACGCGCCGCUCGCCGUCGCGUCGCUGAACGGCUUCUGGGGCCGGCAGUGGAACCUGAUGGCCGUCGACCUCCUCCGGGAGUCGGCGUACGAGCCCGUGCGCGCUAGGUGGGGACGGGACGCCGGCGUGCUGGCCGCGUUCCUGAUGUCGGGCCUGCUCCACGAACUCCUGUACUGGUACCUGACGCUGCAGCAGCCCAGAGGUGAGAUGCUGCUCUUCUUCAUGUUCCACGCCGCGUUCCAGAUCGCCGAGCGAUGGGCCAGGGCGGCUGGCCUGUGGCGGCCGCCCAGAGCGGUGGCGUACCUCGUUGUCACGGCCUUCAUGGUGGUCACCGUAUCGGAGAUGUUCUUCGGGCCAUUUGUGAGAGCCGGCACAGACGUGCGCUUGAAGGAGGAAACCAUGGCGGUGGUGGAACUGAUUUGGGGUGCCAGGAAGUAUCUACUCCGUCCGUUUAGGGUGCCUUCAAGCUAGAGGCAGGUAGGCGGGGUAUGGCCGAUUUAUGUGUUUUUUUUUUAAUGAGAAGCAAAUUUUAUUAGUGGCAGGAUACCUCAAUGAUGGUGAAGAAUUCAACGGUUACAAAGUUCAAAGCUGAUAACAAAGGGGCAGCUAUUUGCAUGUGCUGGAUUGGUACAUGAAGGUAGGAAAUCAAAGUUAACUAGCCCUAUUUGUGAAGUUGAAGGCCUCAGUGGCUAGGACAUGUGCUGUUGUAUUAAGCUCCCUGUGUAUCUUGAAAAUUCUUGCAUUGUUGCUUGAAGUAUUAUUGAUGAAGCACUGUGUAAAAGGCUUGAUGUCCCAAUGUGGUGGAUUGUCGUGAUCGUUUCCAUUGAAGAAGUUCACCAAUUUAUGCAUGGUUGAUACACUGCAGAGCAUCAACUCGCGGAUGAGCACUUGUAUAUGUAUAAUAUAUUACUACAUGAGAUCUUUUUAUCAAAUAAUAUGAAAAACAAGAUUGAAGAGACAAAGAAGUUGAGCUAGCUCAUAUCCUAGUCUCCUUUGCAAUCAAUUUCAUCUCUCACAGAAUGUACCGCGCCUAUCAUCCUACACAAUAUAUCAUGUUAACCUAAUACAUAUCCAACCCUUUCUGUUAUAAUUAAUGAAUGUGAUUCCAUUCUUUAAAACUUCACUCAUGUUCAUCUAAAUCCAAUCCUUUUCCAUCUAUACCUUUGAGCUCUCAUAUAUUUUAAAUUGUAACUCUGUGUUUUGCGCUCACAUGGUUGUAGAAACAAGCCAUACGCAUUAAUAACCUUUAUAUCUUGUUUUUCUAACGGUUAGUGUACAUUUUUUUAGGUUCAUUUGUGGUGCUUGCACUGGUUGUUAGUAUCUACUAUAAGAGAGAAGAUAUAGGGGUUGCCAAGAAUCAGAUAUUUGAGGAAAAGAAUCAAAAGCAAAUGUUUCACGGCAACUGCUCCGGUACUCCCUUUUUUAAAAUUUUGCACGAAUCUCAAAACACAUAAUUUUAGGAAUUAAUUGUUUCAUUAUUUUGCAUUUGGGUCUCGCUUGGGUUCAGCCCGUCCAAGCCAAGCCCCGGUCCAGCCCGUCCAAGCCCAUCCCGUGGCUUCCCAGACGCCGUCCGACGGCGUUGGCAGAAAAAAAAGAAAAAAUCUCUACUCCUAGAUGCCGAAUCGGACGCAUUCCACUGGCCGCGCAUUCCGCCAGCGUCGACUGCAGCGCCGCUGCCGAACUCAUUGAAGACGCCAUGCCACCAGCUGAGAGAGGCGCUGGCCCUCAACCGGCUGUGCCACCGGCGGCAGGAGGCGGCCGGCCGCGGCCCGCUACGACACCGUCGACUGGAGGAGGUUCGCCGCGCCCCGCCACGACACCGGCCGGCGGAGGCGCCGCCCCUCACCCCACCGCGCCACCGGCGUCAGGAGGCGGCUGGCCGCGCCCCGCCGCGACUCCCGCGGCAGGACGCGCCGGUCCUCAGCCCGCCACGCCGUGCCACAGGCUCCGGCGACAGGAGGCGGCCGGCCGAGACACCGGCGGCUGGAGGAGGUCCGCGCCCCGCCUCGGCCGUGGGAGGUGCCGGCCCUCACCCUGCGCACACCCCCGGCGGCAGGAGGCGGCUGGCCGUGAGCCGCCGCGACACCCGCGGUUGGAGGUCCGCCGCACCCUGCUGCGACACCGGCCGGGGGAGGCGCCGCCCCUCACCCCACCGCGCCACCGACGGCAGGAGGCGGCCGGCCGUGCCCCGACGCAGCAUCCUCCACACGCGGGACCCGCAGGUCGGAAUUCGUCAGGGGGAGCUCUGGCGGGCUACUUCGGCAUCCGCUUCGGCGCCAUGGUGUUCGUCAACUGGUGGGGCGAGACGCGACAAUUGAAGAGGUUCAGACUUUUUUCUGGAAACAGUCAUGGAUUUAGUAUGAACUGAGCACCAUGAACUGAGCACCAAUGCCUGACCAAAGCCUAUAGCAUGUCUCCAGUUCACCUGCUAUCAACUGCUAAGAUUGGUUUCGAUAGGAAUCUUCGUGGUUUGUAUUCGUGCACCCCUGAAAUGUGAGCAUUGACUGAUUGGGUAUGUUCAAGGUUGUGUUCUCAUCUCAUAGUUUCUGAUUGGGUCAUAAUCUAUAUGUAAACCUUUGUUUUUUACAACAAGAUCAGUUUUAUUUCAACAACAUGAAGAAUGGGUAGAGUCUGUAAGUUCAGAAGUCAGUGGAAAUUCUUGUUGUGCUAAUUUAUGAGCAGUUUGGUUUUGGCGAGUUUUCAUUGUUGAGUUGAUGAAGUUGUAUGACAGAUGCUUGAUCCUCCAGUCAGUUGGCGGCAGGGCAUGCUGCCGUCAGUGUCUGCAAUUGCUGCCUUGAUGUGGAUAUUUUUUGUCAUCAUGGCAGAUUUUAUCUCAAAUAUGCAUGUCGAUGUAAAAUCAUAAUCAAUAAGAAGUGUACAAACAUUUCCAGAUAGUACAAUUUCAAAUUUGUCACCGAUAGUAUAAAUUUGGAGGCUCAAACGCACAAGUUUAAGGCUAAUCAUAAUCAUAAGUGAAGUUUUUGUUCAUUGCCACUAAAUAGCAGCAUGCGAGUUCCAUCCAAAGCCUAACAAUCCAUUCAAACUAAUCUUAUUUGUAAUCCAAUAAGUGACAUGAGUCUCAAAGAAAGGUUGCAAACCAUUACAGCUAAGCUAACCAAAAUAAAUAUCUAUUCUCUAACGCUUCAAUUCUCGCAUGAUGCCUUCAACGCGCUGUUUGGAUUCUUCAAUAUCAUUUGUCGGGGAAAAUAUAAUGUCCGCAAUCACACUCAUCCGAAAGAUGUGAACGUCAUCCUGAUUAUAACAAUUCCGUCAUGAGUAUUCCCUCAAUCAGAAAAGUACAAUGAAUGUGAAGUACAAAUCAAGUGUUGGCCUAAUGACUGACCUGUGUGAAAUCUCGGACUAGCCUUGUUCCAUCCCAGAGCUCCAUAUACUUGAGCACAAAUAACCCACAGGAACAUCUGUGAGUAGGAAAAAAAUAAGUUUACUCUAGAUACUAGAAGAAUAAUAAUUAGUGUUGCAUUGUACUGACCCAUCAGUUUGUUGAGGCAGAUUGUUUAUGGGUUGGAUGUUCCAAGUGCCUACAUUAGUUGGUAGCUGGGGGGAUGACCGUCUCGCAAAUUUGGUCAUACGUUCAAUUCCAGUUCUCUGUAUAGGAAUAAAUAGGGAUGUUAGUUGAUUAGCACAGCACUUAUAAGUUGUAGUAAUACUAAUAUAGUAACAUACCAUGCUCUCAAUUUUUGUAAUAUACAUAUCAGGAGUCCACAGAGAAUCUAAUACUUGAAAUUCUCGUUUCUUAUUGUUCAUGACUACCAGUAUCCAAUGGCUAUGUCCACGAUGGACCAGUUGUAAGGGAAAGAAUACCUAAGAAUUGAAUGAAAAUUCUUCAUCUGACACGAAGGAGAAUAAAUAUGAAGAAGCAGCAAAGGACAGUAAUUAGAAAAGUUUAGACUUUACCAUGUCAUGAUCAUAAAAAUUUGCCGCAAAGUCUCUAUAGGAGUCACGAUUAUCUGGCCUGAGGACGCGGUCAACUUGAACUUCAUUCGAUAGGAUGAAAGAAUGCCACGCAGGGCUAAAACUGCGGCUGUCUGUAAUAUGAAGAGAAAGAUAGCCUGCGUAUGCAUCAAUGACCUACAAUAUGUGAAAAUACAAUUGUAUUACCAGAAUAUUAAAACCAGGAGAAUACAUUCAGGUACAGUUUUUCCAAGGGAAUUCUAUAACUUACGCCAUUGCAAAUAUAUUUUUGUUUGUCGGAUUUUUCAGUAAUUCGAGGAAUGAUGUGCCCCUUCAUGUCAUUUGCUGAUAAAUGAUGAUAAGUAGUAGCUUGUGUCUUCACCACGCGUGUUUUACUUGUUUCAUUAUGUGCGCACAAGUUGGAAAUAAACUGUACUGCUGCUGCCUCUCGAGGAGAGAGUGCUUCCAUAUCUUGUUUGUUAUAAUCCAUCCCCACUGAAAAGUUUUGUGCAACUGAUGUCCAAUUUAGUAAUGUAUGAUGUCAAGUAUUGAGUAAAAUAUUGGACAUUUUCAUUUGCAGCAAGCUGACACGUACAAGAAAAUGGAUGAGUUCUGGAGCAUAGCAAAUCAGACUUUUUCAAGUGAAGAUGAGGCAUUCACAUUCUAUAAUAAUUAUGCAAGGGACAAGGGUUUCAGUGUUAGAAAGGAGAAAGUGAGACGUAGCGAGAAGUCAGGGGCAAUUGUGUUCAGGCGGUUUGUGUGUCGUAGAGAAGGCGAGCGAGAUGGAAAAUGGCUGGACAAGGAGGAGUACAGCCGUAGACCACGAGCCCUAACUCGAUGUGAUUGCAGAGCAUUACUUGAUAUUAGACUACACAGAUCCCGUGGAGUAUGGUACGUGAAUAAUUUUGUGGAUGAGCAUAACCAUCGCCUAGCUAUGCCUGAUGAAGUUCCGUUCCUAUGGUCUCACCGGAAGAUUAAGGAUUUCCAUAGAAAUGAGAUCAUGUCAAUGGAAGCUGCUGGAAUCCGUAAGCAUGUCAUAAGAGAUGUUCUUCAAUGCAGAUAUGGAGGAUAUGACAAAGUUGGCAUUGUUACUAAGGAUAUUUACAACUAUUGUUCCAAGAACAAGAGGUCAAGAAUCGCAGAAGGUGAUGCAAGGACAGUUCUAGGUUUGCUGCUGAAGAGGAGGAACACCGAUCCAGAUUUUUACUUUGAUUAUAAAGUAGAUGAUGACAGUCGUCUGAUGAGCUUAUUUUGGUGCGAUACUCAAUCUCGUAUGGACUACCAAUCAUUUGGUGACGUGGUCGUCUUUGACAGCACUUAUCGGAUGAAUAGGUAUAAGAUGCCAUUUGUCCCAUUUGUUGGGCUGAACCAUCACCGCAACACAACUGUUUUUGGUUGUGGCAUCAUUUGUGAUGAGCGGGCUGAUUCGUAUAUAUGGGUUCUCCAAGCAUUUCUGAAAGCAAUGUGUCAGAAGAAACCACAAUCAGUAAUUACUGAUGGCGAUUACUCCAUGAUUAAAGCUAUUCGGCAAGUGCUUCCUGGUGUAAGUCAUCGCAUUUGUUCAUGGCACGUGGAGAAAAAUAUUCUGAAGCAUUUGCAUAGCAACUGUUUGGAUGGGUUCCGCACACUUUUGUAUUAUGCUAGUUCAGAAACAUUUGAAGCCAGAUGGAAUGCCUUUCUUUCAGAGUACGAGACUGCAACAAAUAGAGAAUGGCUUGCAAUGAUGUACAAAAAUAGAAAACUAUGGGCUGCUGCUUUUCAAAGGGACAAGUUUUUCCUGGGUAUGAGAAGUAAUCAGAGAAGUGAAAGUCUCAAUUCCAGUCUUCAUAGGCACCUGGACAUAUAUAUGUCAUUACUUGACUUGGUUGAGCACUAUGAGAACUGCGUAUCGCGCCUUCGUGAAACUGAGGUUGAAUUUGAUUGCCGAUCUUCACAGUCGAAGCCAGUGCCUUUAACAAAAUACAAAGAGAUUGAAGUGGCUUGUUCCCAUAUAUUUACGGCCGCUAACUUUUUUUUUGUUGCAGCAUGAAUUAUUGAAGAUUAAUGAUUAUCAUAUACAUGAUAGGAUUAUUGCUAUGGGUUCAUCAAGAUAUUUUCUAGUACACAAUGAGAAGAAGAAAUCAGUGUUUGAGGUGGACUACUGGUCUGAUACUUCAGGCCACACAAUUCACUGCAGCUGCCGUAAGAUGGAACGUGAUGGUCUCCCUUGCGCUCAUAUUUUUCAUGUUUCGGAUCAUCUAAAAAUAUAUGAAAUACCAAAGUGUUGUAUGUUGCAACGACACUUAAAAGACGCCAAGGGUGGCCUUCCUUCCAAGAGAAAAAGUGCUCUACAUGUUUGGACCACGAAGAGAUCAAGGUUCAGUGAACUUACUGUGCUUGGGGCUGAAGCAUUUGAUGUUGCAUCAAAGAAUCAUGAACAGUUUUGUGGAGUUAAGCAGUACUUGGGGAACCUCAUUUCAAAAAACACAAUACUCACCAUGAUGCUAGAGAUGAGCAGAGGUCGGUUCAUUUUAAUGAUCAAACUUGGCAUACUACAAUCGGUUCAGUUUUUGAUCCAAUUAUUGCUGCCACCAAAGGUGCACCCAGGAAGAAUAGCAAUGUGCCAAACAAUUCGAACGUAGAUGGUUUGUCCAAGAAGAGGUACAAAUCAUUUGUUGAGAAACGGCAGUACAAGUGCACUCUAUGCAAGCAGCAGGGCCACAACAGAAAGACAUGUGAGAAACAAGUAAGUAAUUUAAUUGUGACAUAUAUGGUUUACAUGCAUCUGCUGGUUGUUCUAUGUAUGAGGUGCCUGUCUGUAUAAUUUGAGUGAAAAAGUGACAUUGCGUUUUUUUUGCUCAGGUGCAACAAGGGUGCGACUGAUCUGCUACCACUGGAUGUGAACUGAUAUGCUUACAGCAGUUCUUGUAGUAGUUGUUUAAAAAAAAUUCUUGUAGUAGCAUGACUUGCAGUCCACAUCUAGUUCUGUAAUACUUCUGGGUUCCUGUGUGGUAAUAGGUUGGGUUUAGCCUUCCAAAUAUAUUUUGUUCAUGUGUCUGAAGUUUCUGCCUUCCCAUGUAUUGAGAGGAGAUACACUGGUACUGGACAAUUGGUUGUGUAUCAUUCAGUUCUUAUCCAAGGUGUUAGGCUUUGGAUGGAACUCGCAUGCUGCUAUUUAGUGGCAAUGAACAAAAACUUCACUUAUGAUUAUGAUUAGCCUUAAACUUGUGCGUUUGAGCCUCCAAAUUUAUACUAUCGGUGACAAAUUUGAAAUUGUACUAUCUGGAAAUGUUUGUACACUUCUUAUUGAUUAUGAUUUUACAUCGACCUGCAUAUUUGAGAUAAAAUCUGCCAUGAUGACAAAAAAUAUCCACAUCAAGGCAGCAAUUGCAGACACUGACGGUGGUCAUGCCUGAGGCAGCAUGCCCUGCCGCCAACUGACUGGAGGAUCAAGCAUCUGUCAUACAACUUCAUCAACUCAACAAUAAAAACUCGCCAAAACCAAACUGCUCAUAAAUUAGCACAACAAUAAUUUGCACUGACUUCUGAACUUACACUUACAGACUACCCAUUCUUCAUGUUGUUGAAAUAAAACUGAUCUUGUUGUAAAAAACAAAGUUUUACAUAUAGAUUAUGACCAUGAACAUGCACGUUCUACAAACUUCACAAUGACGGCAGGCAGCUUUGGGCAUGGAUGGGCCUUCGGAACCAGAAUAUGAGCCAUGUCCAGAUCCUUGACGACAUCAGCAUUAACCUCCAGGGACCCUUCACACGAGACAUGCUUGAUCUGUGUCCAUGUAGGGAGCACUUCUGCAUUGAUUCACCCUGUUAUAUCCUCUAAUCAGUGGUUCUGUCAACCCUGGAAGAAGAAUGUGAAACGUUAGUCCACGUUUAGAAUACCCAAUCAGAAACUAAAAUAUGAGAACACAACCUUGAAGAUACCUAAUCAGUCAAUCCUCACAUUCAGGGGUGCACGAAUACAAACCACGAACAUCCCUAACGAAACCAAUCUUAUCAGUUGAUAGCAGGUGAACUGAAGACAUGCUAUAGGCUUUGGUCAGGCUUUGGUCAGGCAUUGGUGCUCAGUUCAUGGUGCUCAGUUCAUACUAAAUUCAUGACUGUUUCCAGAAAAAGGUCUGAACACCGCCGGAGCUCCCCCUGACGAAUACCGACCUGCGGGUCCCGCGCGUGGAGGAUGCUGCGUCGGGGCACGGCCGGCCGCCUCCUGCCGCCGGUGGCGCGGUGGGGUGAGGGGCGGCGCCUCCCCCGGCCGGUGUCGCAGCGGGGUGCGGCGGACCUCCAGCCGCGGGUGUCGCGGCGGCUCACGGCCAGCCGCCUAAUGCCACUGGGGGUGCGCGCAGGGUGAGGGCCGGCACCUCCCACGGCCGAGGCGUGGCGCGGACCUCUUCCAGCCGCCGGUGUCGCAGCCGGCCGCCUCCUGUCGCCGGUGCCGCGGCGGGGUGAGGUCGGACGGCGUGGGAGGAUAGAUGCACGGGACUACGAGAGGUUGAAGUAGAGACUCUUUUUUUUUCCUGGCGACGCCGUCUCAAACGCUCCAACGGAGCCAAGCGGACGGGCUGGACCCGGGUCUAUGCUUGGACGGGCUGAGCCCACGCGAGACCCAGAUGCAAAAUAAUAAAACAAUUAAUUCCUUAAAUUAUGUGCUUUAAGAUUCGUGCAGAAUUUGAAAAAGAGGAGUACCGGAGCAGUUGCCAUGUUUCACGAAGGUAAAUGUAACCACCUAAUAACAGAUAAUAAGGACAUGUUUAGGACCACUAUGCUCCAUCUUUUACAACCCUGCUCUCAACUUCAUUUGGCAAACAUGCCAACUCUACAAACUCUAUGUCCUAGCGCCACUGCCUUUAACUAACCCUUAUUGCUGCCGGUAAAUCCAGCCACCACCGUCCCUCCGUCAAUGAGUUGAUCACCAUAAUAGACAUUGUCACCACCUAUUGCCCAUGGGGAAAUCAAACCGUGGGCGUGAGUCAAUCAUAGAGGAAAUCGGAGAAUAGUAUCUCAAUAAGGAGGAGGAAGAACAUCUUCCUGACUUGUUCGUGUUUCUGAAUAUUUUCUGUGCUCCUGUUUGUCUCUAGCUUCUCUCCUAUAUAGCCAUCACUUGCUGGUACAAACCCACAAGACCUAAAGCCCAUUAUAUAUUUAUAUCGAGGCUUAUAUAUGCUGUGGUACUGGUACAGGGUAUGACACAGAUCCGAUGAUCUUCCAUUAGCCGGGCCCAUUUAUACUUCGGGGUUGUGGGCCGUGGGCAAGGCAGACGAUGGCGUUGCAAUGGGGGCUUCUCGUUCGAUUAUUCGAAUUCAACUUAACACACCGUAUAAAGUGGCCAACCGAGCGUAUCACUAGUUAGAUGGGGGUUAUUAGUUUGAAUAUAUGCCAUACUUAAAUUACUCCACCUGUCCAUCUAAUGUUGCUAGCAUGGUGCACACGCUGCAGAGCAUGAAGUACCAAAGACAUGCACGAGGACUCACGUUCAUGAGUAUCUUCACAAACCUUUUUUUUUUUGACAAGUCUUCACAAAACAUUGUUCUUUUCGCGGAACCAUAACACAAUUCUUGUACCCACGAAAUCCAUUGACGAUUUCAAAACCCUUAAGAGCCUGCGGACUGCGGCUGUGUGGCAUCACCAGGCUCUCACUUUGAGGCUUAUUACAGCAUCCCUCUUUAUGCUCAAAAUUUAUUGCAGUGCGCUUGGUAUCCAUAUCCUCCUGCAAUGCAUCUGCAUGCACACCGAAAAAAGCUGCUAAAGCUGCUAGGGCCUUGUUUAGUUCCAAAAUAUUUUGCAAAAUGGACACUGUAGCUUUUUCGUUUGUAUUUGACAAAUAUUAUCCAAUCAUAGAUUAACUAGGCUUAAAAGAUUUGUCUCGUCAAUUCCGACCAAACUGUGCAAUUAGUUUUUAUUUUUGUCUAUAUUUAGUACUUCAUGCAUGUGUCUAAAGAUUCGAUGUGACGGGGAAUCUGAAAAAUUUUGCAAAAUUUUUUGGGAACUAAACAAGGCCCGGUCAGGCCUCGUUUACUUCCAAAAAAAAAUUUGCAAAAUUUUUCAGAUUCUCCGUCACAUCAAAUCUUUAGACGCAUGCAUGAAGUAUUAAAUAUAGAUAAAAAUAAAAACUAAUUACACAGUUUGGUCGGAAUUGACGAGACGAAUCUUUUGAGUCUAGUGAGUCUAUGAUUAGAUAGUAUUUGUCAAAUACAAACAAAAGCGGUACUAUUCAUAUUUUGCCAAAUUUUUUGGAACUAAACAAGGCCUUGGAUUAGAGAGAAUUAAUUUCUUGAUUUUUUUUAGUAAAAAAGAAUGGGUAGCUUUGUUUCACGUUACAUAUUCCUUCCUUGAUACACACAUUUCCCCUACACAAUUAACUGCUGUGCUUCCAUACACACACCUGUUGCUUUCCGUCCACCUGCAGUUGCAGCCCGGUGCAUGCAGUACACCCUGCACGCGCUGCCGUUCACAUGUCCACGCUCCACAGGUCCAUAAAUCCACGACAGCCAGUUCGUCCAGUCGUCGCAAGCAGCAGAAGUCUCCAAAAUGCACCGCUUCUUCCUCCUCGUUUCUGCACUCGUAGCCAUAGCCACCACCACGCUUUCCGCCGACACCACCUCCACCAUUGCCGCUGCCCAGAGCCAGAGGUCAUGGGCUGAGCUCAGCGGGCGGGACAACUGGGACGGCCUCCUGGACCCGCUCGACGCCGACCUCCGCCGCGCCGUCAUCCGGUACGGCGAGCUGGCGCAGGCGACGUCGGACGCGUUCAUCGGCGACCCGGCGUCGCCGUACGCGGGCGCGUCGCGGUACGCGCCCGGCGCGUUCCUCCACAGGACGCAGGCGCCCGGCGGGUCCGACCCGGACGCGUACGCCGUCACGAGGUUCCUCUACGCGACGUCGAGCGCGCGCGUCCCCGUCCCCGACACGUUCAUCACGCGCCCGGCGCCGCCGGGGGCGUGGAGCGCCGAGUCCAACUGGAUGGGGUACGUCGCCGUGGCCACGGACGCCGGCGCCGCCAGGCUGGGGAGGCGGGACAUCGUGGUGGCGUGGCGCGGGACCAAGCGCGCCGUGGAGUGGGCCGACGACCUGGACAUCACGCUGGUGCCGGCGACGGGCGUCGUCGGGCCGGGGCCAGGGUGGUCGCAGCCGGCGGUGCACCGGGGUUUCUUGUCCGUCUACGCGUCGAGGAAUUCCACGUCGCGGUUCAACAAACAAAGCGCGAGAGAGCAGGUAAUGUAGCUUUGACUUACUCAUGUCUUACACAGGUAAUUUUGCAGUGAUAUUUGUGAUAAUGCAUGUUUUCAAGCGCGCAAGAUAGGACACUGAUUAGAUGUUGCCGAUCACUGCCGUUCUUGUGAGCUGUACUGUACCAUAAUAGAAUGUGCCAGCGUGGCGCAAUUUGUUCACACGUUUGCACCAAGAUCAGUCAAAUGUUGGACCUUUUGCGUCGUCACAAUAAUAAAUGGUAGUAUGUUUUUUAGGAUACCGACAGAGACAUUUAAAGAGAGGAUAGAACUGCAGUCAGUGUACACGGGGACAGGCUUCUGUGUUUCACACACUGUAGGGAACCAGCAACAAAUGAUUUGGCAGGUGCAUUGUAGGAGUCGGCAUUUGUGAAGUUCGCAUAUUGUACUGGCCUUGUUUACUUCUCAAAAAAUUUUGCAAAAUUUUUCAGAUUCCCGUCACAUCGAAUCUUUAGACGCAUGUAUUGAGUAUUAAAUAUAGACGAAAAUAAAAACUAAUUACACAGUUUGGUCGAAAUUGACGAGACGAAUCUUUUGAGUCUAACUAGUCCAUGAUUGGAUAAUAUUUGUCAAAUACAAACGAAAGUGCUACAGUGUCGAUUUUGCAAAAUUUUUUGGAACGGCCAGAAUCUUGUUGGGACUGGAACAUCUCGAUGUUGAUGUCCACAAGAAUUUUCGGAGAAGCAACAAGGGCCUUGUUUAGUUCAGCCUGAAAACCAAAAAGUUUUCAAGAUUCUCCGUCACAUCGAAUAUUGUGGCACAUGCAUAAAAUAUUAAAUAUAGACGAAAAUAAAAACAAUUACACAAUUUAGCUGUAAAUCACGAGACGAAUCUUUUAAUCCUAAUUAGUCCAUGAUCGAAUAAUAUAUGUCACAAACAAACGAAAAUGCUACAGUACCGAAAAGUUUUUACUUUUCGAAACUAAACAAGGCCAAGAUAGGAGUAACAUGCUGCAAACUGUUUGGAAUUAUAAUGAUAGGGAUAUAGGAUGGACGAAACGACAAACCGGCCUUCUUGAUUGGAUUGGAAAGGAGACGCAAAUCGCUUUCCUUGCACAAUUGAGCUCAAUUUCUUAUUCUUUGUUCGCCUUCUGGCCGCACAUACAAUUGCUGAACGAAUCUAUGCAGGUGUUGAGUGAGGUUAGACGGCUGCUGGACGCGUAUAAGGGCGAGAACUGCAGCAUCACGCUAACCGGGCACAGCCUCGGCGCGGCGCUCGCCACGCUCACCGCCAUCGACAUCGUCGCCAACGGCCUCAACGUCCGGGGGGGCUCCAACUCCAACGACACGGUCCCCGUCGCGGCCAUCGUCUUCGGCAGCCCGCGCGUGGGCGACGACCAGUUCAAGAAGGCGUUCGAGUCGCCGUCGACGCCCGGCGGCGGCGCCCGGCUGCUCCGCGUCCGGAACGCGCCGGACAUCGUGCCGACCAUCCUGCCGGCCGCGUUCUACAGGGACGUAGGCGUGGAGCUGCUGCUGGACACGCGCAAGUCGCCGCACCUCAAGAGGCCCGGGCCGGGCCCCGCGGCGUGGCACAACCUCGAGUGCUACCUGCACGGCGUCGCGGGCACGCAGGGCGCGGGGGACGGCGCCGGGUUCCGGCUGGAGGUGGACCGCGAUGUGGCGCUGGUGAACAAGGAGGUGGACGCGCUCAGCGACGAGUACCCCGUGCCGGCGGCGUGGUGGGUGGAGGGGAACAAGGGCAUGACGAGGGACAAGAGCGGGCGAUGGGUUCUGCAGGAUCAUGAGGAGGGUAAUCUCGCCAUGUGAGAUGAUUUUUUUUUUGGGGGGUAGCAAAUAAGAAUUUUCUUCGACUAUGUUCGCUGUUCUAAAAAGUCAUGAUUUGUGAGAGAAAAACAUUGCUGGCUGGUAGAAAAAGUAUGGCUGGUAAAAGAAGCGAAUGGGUUCAUGUCGCAUGGAUAGUUAAAGGAUCAAUGAUAAUCUCGCGAAUAUUUCAGCAAAGUCCAGAGUCAAUUUGAGUCAGAUUGGUUCAAAUUUGAAACAGUCUCUAUCAAUUCAAAAUCAUCAUCAUCUCACUGAAACAUGCCCACGUUAUAACGGUAUUUUGGGCUAACGUAUUGGACGAUAAUAAAAAGGGCCAACACUAGUUGGGCUCCUGAGCCCAGCAUACCCUCUCUUUGCUUUUGAAAUGCUCAGCAUACCUUUUGACCAAUAAUAAUAUUGGGCCGAAACGGGCUGGACCAAUUAACAACCUGAAACAUCUUUUUUGCCGAGUCGUAAUACUGUUUAUCGCGUCACCCGGGCCUUGUUUAGUUCCCGAAAAAUUUUGCAAAAUUUUUCAGAUUUCUCGUCACAUCGAAUCUUUAAACGUAUGCAUGAAGUAUUAAAUAUAAAUGAAAAUAAAAACUAAUUGCAUAGUUUGGUCGGAAUUGACGAUACGAAUUUUUUGAGCCUACUUCAUCCAUAAUUGGACAAUAUUUCUAUUUUGUAAAAUUUUUUGGAAGUAAACAAGGCCCUAGAGUACGAUGCAGUCUUUGUUGGGAAGAAAAAACAUCAGCUAUAUGAUGCAACUUGACACGUAAUGCAUGCACAGUUGCAAACAAUAAGUUGCAGCAAACUCUCUGCUCGCCUUUCUGCUCUCGAUCUCGGCUAGCUGCCUAGUUGCAGGCAGCUGCCGCUCGCAGCAAGAGAUCCAAGAGAUUCUUCGCUUCGAGAAUACGCCCUCGCCGGAGGUGCGUCACGAGACAUUUCCACACCAAAAGUCGGUUCGCAUUUACUACUGUAGUUCUGAGAGGAAGGUUGAAGUAGAAGGAGAAGGGGGCAGUGGUUUCGCUAGACUUGGCAUCACAGAAAGCAGCGAAGGGCGUCUCAGGAGUACGCUGCCAUUUGGGGACGUUUGUUCGUGGUGUCUCCUUCCGCCUUUGUAGCGUCUGUUGGCAGCGUGCUGAGAGCAUCUUUGCCGGGGCCCAAAGGACGACGACGGGCGCGCCCACUGGCUGGACAGCGUACGAUGCUGCCAUAUCUUGGGGGCACUCCAUGCCAUGCCAUGGCACAUUGGCACGAGCGUGCGGCAGCGGCACACGGGCUUUUAUUAGCUUGGGGCCUCUCUCAUGGCCAUGGCACGAUCUGCCGGCGCACCACAUAUAUAGCUGCUCUCAUCCACAGACUACACACAGUCUACAGGGCACCACCCAACCAAACCAUGCAAUGCAAGGUCAAUUCACAUUCACUGCCGAAGUGUCAAACCGUGAGAGACUGAGAGCCACCCACUCUCGAUCGUCGGGUGGGAUCGGAGCUCCCUGUUCACCGCACGCAUGGGCGAAGCUCCCUCUUAAUUUCUUUCCUGUUCCUUGGGUCGUGCACAGGUGAAGUGACACGGCGGUGUGGCGCCGCCCGCGAUCAUUGAGACGCCUACGCGUGACAACGACCGUCCACUACCCCUUCCCGGCCGCCCGCAAUGCGGCUUGGUCCGAGAUCGCGCUAGUGCACCGUGACACAGCCCGGCGAUUGCGCGCGCACCGCGGCGUUGAUUCGAUUUCGCGUUGAUGAUGAUGUUGAGACAGGGCCCGGGCGGCUCUGGAGGGUACGUACAAGAGCUCUUAACUUCUCAAGGCCAUGUUCGGUUGGCCAGGAUUGUGGCCAUCCUCCGUAGGUCACCCUGGCCUGGAUAAAAUCCAGGUCCUGGGUGAAACUCAUGUUCAUUUAGACCACGUGAAGAUUUUUGUCUUAUCAAUUAUCGGCCAAACCUCCUCAUUCCAACCUGGAACGGAUCCACUCAUCAAGGGUAAUCGAAUGAAUCCUCAUGCGGGGCCGUCAGGAUAGCUAGCUAAGACCUGCUUGAUGGAAUCCUCGCCCUGGAAUGAAUCCCCGCACAUACUUGCCAAAAUAUCAGGGGCAGCUGGAUUAAAAACUCUCCAAACCGAAUAAAGCCUAAGCCGGCCGCGCAGCAUGUCCUUAAGAAACGAGCAUCGCCGUCGUCCUUCUCGUCACCUGACUCGUGAGAGCCACGCCCGCCCGGCCAUAAGCUGGUCCCCUUGCACAACCAAACCCUUCCUUCUGUCACGAACGUCGAACGUUGCUAUGGCUAGGAACGAGGCCUUAGUUCAUCCCAAAAACAAAAAAAAAUGUUUUAAAAUUCUUCGUCACGUUAAAUCUUGUGACAUAUGCAUGGAGCACUAAAUAUAGACAAAAAUAAAAAUUAAUUGCACAGUUUAUCUGUAAAUCAUCUAGUUACUUUAUGGUUGAAUAAUAUUUGUUAAAUAAAAACAAAAAUAUUACCGUUCUAAAAACUAAAAAAUUUCGAAAGUAAAUAAGGCCGGAACAACCAAGGUCAUUCGCUCCUGUCAAAAAAAAAAAAAAACCAAGGUCAUUCCCCGGGACGCGUGGAAGCGAGAGCAAAAGCGGAGGGGCCCACAUGUCAGCCUGGGUUCACAUGUACUCCUGGAGUAUAGUACUACGCUGGUUGUUUACUGAUCGCCAGAACGGAUUCAUCAGGCUGUUCAGUGUCGUUAUUCUCUGGGGACGAAAAACAAGCAUGAUAGGCCUAUGCGUGCCGCCCAUGCAUCAAAAGAAGGGUCCGCUCGGCAACAAGGUGAAUCGGUCCAAAAGAUUCACUACCGUACACGGUACACCGGAUAGUUACAACGAUCGAUCGGGCCGGGGUGGCGUGGCGUGGAGCAUGCUGUUGCUGCAGGCAUAUCGCCGUCGUCACUUGUGGUCAGUAUAUAUAUAUAUAUAUAUAUAUUCAGUUGUACCGUGGAGCUGGCACGGCACGCACGCGAGCAAUGCGUCUCUACCAGUACCCAGAGAUGGGCGCCACCACGUUGACGGAUCUGAGAUGCAUUUUCGCGCAUUCAUUGGGAGCUGCGGUCGUCUCCGGCUCUCCUCCACCGCUACCACACCGUCGAUAUGAUCUCCACAAUGAAUUCCACUCAUCGUCCUCUCUCGCGUACCGGCCCGUGAACUGCCAACGCAACAAUUCUAGCCAGCCGAUCGAUGCGUCUGCAUGCCUGCGUAGGUGCGUGUACUACUGCGUAGCGUACCCCCAGGUUGUAGUACGUGGUGGCUCAAAAGGCUGAAGAUAGCUUGCCAGUGGCGGAAAAACAGGACGAGACCGCAAUGUUACGGGCUGCGCGCAUGCAUCAUCUCCAGGCUGCUGCGGCAUGCGACGCAUUCACGGCGGCAUGUCAUGUUGUUACGCCACACUCGUCGUCCGUGGCGCAGUGCAAGGACCAACAACAAGGCUGGUGGAGGCCAGGCGAGGACCGCGGGUAGCUAGGUGGGUGCAUGCAAGUGUAACUCGGCCGGGCCGGGGCUCGCUCGCUUGUAAAUCCAGCCUCACCAGGACGGCCUCCCCGGCUCCAGGUAGUACGUACACGUACGUAGUAGCUCCUUUGCAGAAAGUCAUCAAGCGUACCCAGUACUAUAGGCCUCUCUACCCUCGAUCGACUCGUUGUCGGCUCGGGGGCACCAGUGCAAAGCCGCUGCAAUAUAAUGCAACGAGCAGCAAACUCAUCGAGCAUUAAGGUGCGCCAACGACGGAGCGGUGGCACGUAGGCUGCCCCGCCCCGUGCCCACGUCAACAUUUAAAUCCGGGUCUCUCGUGUGCAUUAGUGCAUGGACCAUCCAUCAGUCAAUCACACACGAGUCUCUUUCCCUGCGCGCGGGCGCGUCGUCGUCGCCGGGCCGGUUUGGACUGAUUUUGAUUCGAACAGAAGCGUGUACGUACUCCGUAUCUCCAUAUGGUCAUCACAAUGAUUUUGAUAGGCGAUCAGCUAACUGCCUUCCAAACUAUUUGUAUGUUGUUAGACGAAAUGAUGACUUGAUGUAUAAGUUGGUCAACACUUGCUCUCUCAAAUUUAUGUGGGAUCAAGUAUAUUUUUAGUCUAUUUUGAGGUUGGAAUAAAAAUUCUUUUUCUCAACUUGAAUACGAGCACAAUAAUUUACCAUGGAGCUGUGGCUGUACGAGCAACGGGUAUGUGAACCUCAACUUGAAUACGAGCACAAUAAUUUACCAAUAUCCAGUACUGUAGCUGUCACGCUUCGCUAGCUAGCAUUAGAUACAACAACGAUCUUUUUUCUAAGAUACAUGUAUGUAUAUAAAACAGGGUGUGGGUGCUCGGCUUUUUUUCUAGAUAACGCAUAGAUAUAGAGUUUGGUUGUCUCAAAUGUCAUGGCUAAAAGUAUUAUUCGUUAAUCUAUUAUAAAAGAAAAAUAUUACUAAAUAAUAGAAAAUGUAGAAAUUUCAACUUUUACAAACGGAAUUCUCUCCGCUUCUGGAGCUUUUCAGCUGGUACAGCCGUACAGCAAGCAUGCAACGAUCACACACGCGCGUCUCGGCGAUGACACACGGGGAGAUUUGACCCGUAGCGGUGGCUUUGCCAGUCGCGUCCCUAGCUCUGUUAAUGCUGGUCCCUCCCCGUGCCACGCCGGCCGAUUGUAGAUAAAGGGCGUUUACCAGCAUCACCCAUCCAAUCAUCCACUGUGACGCUGUGUAGUGUGCGUACUGCUGCUACUGCUCGCACCUCGGCUCGCACUCGCAACCCGCUCCCCGCCACCUCCUUUUCAACCCAAAGACCCGUUUCUCGGACGCCGCGCCCCGCGCCUUCCGCUUAAACCCCGCAGCGCCGUGCAUCACCGCCGCCGCCGCCGCUCAGCAGUCAUGCACGAGUGCGCCGUGGCGCAAUCCUAACCGCACCGCGCCUAAGGUCUCUCCACGGUGGUCUGAAAGUCAAGUUAUUAGUACGACGCCAUGGUGGCAGGCCGUGUCAAGGCGGCCAUGGGCUUCCAGCGCAGCAGCCCAAAGUCGCCGGCGCCGGAAGCGGCGUCUCCAUCUCCUUCCCGGACGCCUAGCCGGGCGCCUCCCCCGUCGGGCUCCGCGUCCACCACCGCCGGCUCGGCGCCGUCCAAGGCGUCGGCGCUCGCGCGGUCCUUCGGCGCCUACUUCCCGCGGUCCUCGGCGCAGGUGCGCCCCGCCGCCGCCCGCGCGCCGCCGCAGGUCGCGGAGCUGCUGCGCGCCAUCGAGCAGCUCCAGGAGCGGGAGUCGCGCCUCCGCGUGGAGCUGCUGGAGCAGAAGAUACUCAAGGAGACCGUCGCCAUCGUCCCGUUCCUGGAGGCCGAGCUCGCGGCCAAGAGGAGCGAGCUCCAGCGGUGCAGGGACACCGCGGACCGCCUCGAGGCCGAGAACGCGCGGCUGUGCGCCGAGCUCGACGCCGCCGCGCUCGAGGUCACGAGCAGGAAGCAGAGGAUCGUCGAGCUGGAGAAGGAAAUGGCGGAGCUGCUGAGGAAGCAACAGGAGGCGGCGGACGCCGACGACUGCUCCUCGUCCGCUUCGGCGCCGAAUAACGAGCAUCUCGAGAGCUCAUCCACCGCGGCGCCAAACCGUGCGAGUUUGGCUCAGCUUGGUGCGGAGCGGCCGUACAUUCCGCCGCCCCCAGCGCCGCCGCCAGCAGCGCCUUUCAAGCCCAACAAGUCCUACUUCUCCGCGUCGUCGCACCCUUCGCCCGCUACAAGCUCGUCGCCACCCUCGCCGUCUUCCUCCACGUCCACCUCGUCGUCUUCACCGGCGCACUCCCGCUCGUCGUCGGAUACGGCAGCCGCUCCAAGACCCCGCGUGAUAGUAGAGCUCUCCAAGCUGCCACCCAUACCUCCGCCGCCGCCGCUAUGCCAUCCUCCGCCACCGCCACCUCCACCUCCCAGCAGGAGCAAGAGAUUCUCUCCCUCGAGCUCAGCCAGAGUCGACGGGAGCGCAGCCGCCACCGCCGCCGGCCCACCUCCCCCGCCUCCUCCCCCUCCGGCAAGGAGGCCGCCGUUCGGCGCCGCGCCACCACCGUCGGGGCAAUGCGACGUCAGGCGCGUGCCCGAGGUGGUGGAGUUCUACCACUCGUUAAUGCGGCGGGAAUCCAAGAGGGACGGCGGUGUCGGAAGUGAGGCCACGAACGGCGCCGGCGUGGCGACGACGCGCGACAUGAUCGGCGAGAUCGAGAACCGGUCGGCUCACCUCCUCGCGGUGCGUACAAACUGAAGCAUCCAUCCAUCACCUCGUUUCCGUUCUCGUUUUUCUGAACCGUGACCACCACCGGCCGGUACGCAAUUAGGUUUGGUAGUCGUCGUCCUCUUCAGCGGCUAACCACUGCUCGAAGAAUGCUUCGUGUAGGAGAGUUUGGUGACGCACAGUCGGAGAACAGUGGAGGCGUCGUUCUCCGUCGUUUAUUGCAAGAUUACAAGCGGUCUCCCGUCGUUAUUGCAAGAUUACAAGCGGUUUGGUUGGGUAGAUACGGUUAGUUAUUGCUGCGGCGGUGAAAGCAUCUGCAUUGCAUGCUCUGCCAAACCUGCAUUGCAUGCUCUGCCAAACCUUGAUCCAUUGCAGGUACAGUACAGCAAGUAAAACGGAGACCACCCGUUUGCUCUCGAGUUUAUCCUCCUCUAUCUAGUCCUCGAUGUCCAUGUCAGAAUUCCAUAGGUCAGGAGCGAGGACCCAAGAUUUUGUUCUGAUGGCUACGCUCUUCAUUGGCGUAGGAGGACGCGACGGCGAGCUCAGCUCGGUGAAUGAUUCGUGGUAAUGCAGAUACAGUGUGCUUAGUACAGGCAGUUAAAGCAGAAACGUACGUAAUCUGAGGUGGACGUGUCAUACUGCUAGGUGGGGCCGACCGGACGAAGCGCAGUGAAGGGUUGGUCUCGUUCGGUAGAUGAGCUUUAGAUGUGUGUGUGUGUUACGGUCUCAAAUUUAAUCCGAGCAUUGGUAGGAGGUUAGCUAACCGGCGGAGUGAUUCGUACUCCUCCUACUCGAGUGUGAUAUACCACUGGUGUCUCGAUCCGGUUGACUUGGAUCUCAAGGCAGAUGCUACGUCACUUGUGUUGUGAUUCGAAUUCUGAAGCGGUUCAAAAAAAAAAAAAAGAAUGACUCAACGAGUUAAACUGCUUUGUGGUUGACUUUGGUUUGGCAGAUCAAGUCGGACGUGGAGAGGCAGGGCGACUUCAUCCGGUUCCUGAUCAAGGAAGUGGAGGGCGCGGCGUUCGUGGGCAUCGAGGACGUCGUGAGCUUCGUCAAGUGGCUGGACGACGAGCUGUCGCGCCUGGUGGACGAGCGCGCGGUGCUGAAGCACUUCGAGUGGCCGGAGCACAAGGCGGACGCGCUCCGCGAGGCCGCGUUCGGCUACUGCGACCUCAGGAAGCUGGAGGCGGAGGCGGCCUCGUUCCGCGACGACGACGCGCGGCAGCCCUGCGCCGCCGCGCUCAAGAAGAUGCAGGCGCUCUUCGAGAAGUAAGCGACGACGAUCUCUCUCGCGGAGCACGCACCGCGAUCACAUACGUUGCUUUGCGUGUGUUCUAAAUGUGUGUGUGUACGUGUGCCGCCGGCCGAACUGAAAUUUCAGGCUGGAGCACGGCGUGUACAACCUCGCCCGCGUCCGGGACGCCGCCACGAGCCGGUACACCCGGUUCCAGAUCCCCUGGGAGUGGAUGAAGCAGGACACCGGCAUCGUCAGCCAGGUAAAAACUUUGCAUCGCAUUUCACUCGCCGUGCGUGGUUCCGUUCGUUCGUUCCGUCCGUGCGUCCGUCCGUGCAGUGGCAUUCAUUCACGUAUGCAUAGUAGAGACUGUCGUCGACUGUACUUUUUCGUACAGUGAGUGAAUUCUACGCUUGGAUGGAGAGGACAAACAAACAACUUUUUUUCGAUGCCGACCGUGUCCGUCCGCACAUGUAUGUCGGGGGUGUCACGUAGUACGCGCAACCGUACAAGUUGGAAGACUACAGUACAGCCCCCGCCUGGCGCCCUCCCGGCGCCCGCGCGUGAUCCGUCCGGCACGCCUCUGCUAAGUUCACGUGCAGAUCGAGCCCGCAGCCCGUAGAACGGUGGUGCGUAGCGUACCCUCCCGUGCCGGUCCCGGUACACAACAAAAAAGGGAAUUCGAGGUGGAAAAUUCGGAAGAAGCACGGCGUGGUUCUCGUCUGUUUCAGCGUGGGGCAUCUGGUAGGAUGCGGCGUGAGCGUGCACCGGUGCACGUGAGCCGGCCGGCCGGCCGGCGGCGGCAUCUCGUGAGCGUGCCGCGCCAUGCGCCCGUGCUUGCUUGCUGCGUUCCCCUUUCUCUCCUGCCACCGCUGCAGCAGCUAGAGAACAACAAUCCCGGGCACGGGGCACGGGUUGCCGGAAUCGUUCCUCGUCAACGUGGCCCCGCCCGGGCUAUGCCUAUGCGAUACCCAAAUUGCGCUAGCGAUUCGGGGAUGCGAUGCGUGAUCCGAUCCGUGUUGUGUUUUCCAUUGCCAUUGCCGUGUUCAGCAGGGCGCUAUGCCGGGGACGUGCUCUCUCUCUCUCUCUCUCUCUCUCUCUCUCUCUCUCUCUCUCUCUCUCUCUCUCUCUCGUCUGUUUUGCUUUGGGUGGGUGGGUGGGUUGUGCACUAGUGCUGCACCCACUCUUUCACCAUCACUUGACCUACGUGUCGCGCUCCGUGGAACCGGUAGACUCAGAAAAUCAUUCUUCACUUCAUCAACGAAAAUAUCGAAAAGCCCCAUGGAUAUAUAUAUUGGAGUGAUACAUGUAGGCGUAGUGGUUGCACGGUAUUGAUUGCUCGUUCUGCCGUCCUUACACCGGGUGGUUGUGUUUCUGGUUUCCACACUCUGGACCAUUUUCCAAACCCGAUUGAAUUUGUAGAUGUACGUACUCUGCUUUCUUGCAUCUCACUGCAAGUCAGUAUGCUGUUGUAGUUGACUGAAAGUUUUGAAUGCUGGUACAUGAAAGAAAUAUACUCCCUCCAGGUUCUUUAAAAAAAGAGUAAUUUUGAACAACGUUUAUGUCAUUAGAAAUAUAAAUCAUAAAUAACGUUUAAGUUUUUGAAUUUAGAAAUAUAAAAAUCGUAUGAAUUGAUUUAUAUUGAAAAAUAUUUUUAUAAAAAUAUAUAUUGCUCUUUUUUAAUAAGUAUUUUAUAAAAAAUAAAAAGUCCAAGUUAUAUUUUAAAUAUCGUGCCGCUGUCGAAACGACUUCUUUUAGAGAUCUGGAGGGAGUAUGUUUUUUAGUCAAGACGUAGACUUCCGCAGAUGAUUUUCCAGAUAAUCUAUGUUAGCACCUCUUUGGAAAGGCUUUUUCAUCGGUUUUAUUAAAAGCACUGCCAAACUGGUAUACAAGAGAGAAGCUAAGCUGAAAACAAGCCAAAAAUAGUGAAACCGAAGCUGUCUAGAGGCUAAAAGCUCAAGCCACCAAAACAUGCCUUUUUCUGUCUUGUCUGUUUUUUUAGAAGCUCAAUCCCUACCAAAGAGAGCCUUAAAAUACUGUUACGUUUUUUAGAAGCUCUGAGUAACUUGAUUGCACUGAAUAGAGGCUCGUGAGGGGCAAUAAAAUGUCGACGAGUGGUACCCCUUACAUUGUAUGUUUUUUAGAAGCUUAAGAAUCUUGCUUUGAGAUUAUCUGCUGCCAACCAUUCAACGGUGUUUUUCUCUCACAACAAAUCAGCGAACAAUACUUUCAACCAUGAUAACAAAUCAGCGAACAAUACUUUUAGACAUGAUUUAUCAACCAAGCGAACAUGCUGUGUUUGUAACCGUUUUUCUGUACAAAGCAUUGAUGGGAGCGGUGAUGUGCAGAUCAAACUCCAGUCGGUGAAGUUGGCAAUGAAGUACCUGAAACGGGUCUCCUCCGAGCUUGAGGUAAUCAAGGGAGGCCCUGAAGAGGAGGAACUGAUGCUUCAAGGAGUACGGUUCGCCUUCAGAGUACACCAGGUACAUGCUUGGUCGUUACUCCUACUUGUUAGCAUGCAGCUAUGCAGCAACGCCACUGUGAAUCAGAGAAGAACUCAUGCUUCCAUUCCAUGGUUUGGUUAGGCCACUUGACACUCCUCGCUUCAUGCAGUUUGCAGGUGGAUUCGACGUGGACACCAUGCGAGCCUUCCAGGAGCUCAAGGAGAAGGCGUCCAUGUGCCGGAUACAACGGCACAAGCAGCACCGUCAUCUGCGGCAGCACAGACUUGUCGCCAGGGCCUGAGGAGUGAUGACCAGAGCAUGCAGUUCUUAUAUGGUCGAUCUAUCUAUACGCCAUCAUCUCGUCCGUCGCCAGUGGCAUAGUAUGAUUUGUCGAUUGUUUUUUCUUUUUCUCCUUUUGCUGCGAGAAAUAGUUGAGGAUUGUCUAUUCUGCUGUAAACGCUCCAGUAAUGUAACUAAUGAACAACCUCUGUAUCUUUUUAGGAGAAAUCUGUGUUUAUUACAGGCUCAUCCUUCGUUCUUCCAAUAUCUGUUUUUGUCAAAAGCAUUGUGCUUAUUACUGAUUAUUGUAUGUAAAAUUUGCCGCUAUUUGUGUGCCGUGUCGUAUACUGCCCUCAGGAAAGGUUUACAACUUUCAGUGCUUUUUUUUUCCCUCUCUGAACAUUGCCAUCUGAUUGCAUCGAGCUUCUUGCUACAUAAGCGAAGUUCAAAAUUACUGUACUCGUUAUACUGUCUCGCUAAUUGAUACUAUUACUGAAGAUCAAAGAAAAUACACCCCCUACUGUGCACUACUUUGGUAUUGAAAAAUAACUGAAUCACCACAGGUUUCAAUCAUGUAAUACAACAUUGUAAACUCGCUUGCUGCUGCUGCUGCUUCUCCUUAUAUAUAUGAUGAUAUGACAUAACAGUGUUCCUGCGUUUUUUUUAAAAAAAAACAAUUGAAUCACCAAUUUAAAUACGAAAUGCCUAUAUAGGUUGAGCCAAUUGGUAUAUAUAUAGAUGUUUCUUUCUUUUCCCCCGGUCCUAUGCCAGGAGCGAGGCGUAGAGGAUCUGGUUCCACGUGUCGGGCACGCCGGCGAGGCACCAGUGGCUGCAGUCGUUGCCCGGGUGGCCGCCGCUGUAGGCGGAGGGGUGGCCGUCCCGCCUGAGCUGCGACAGCAGCGUGACGUCGAGCAGGUACACCGGCUUGGACAUGCCGCCCAGCGCGGCCCGCACCGCGCCCUGCGCCGGGACGGGGCCGGCGGGGUACGCCGACCCGGCCACCGGCUGCGUCUGCUGCGCGCAGCUCCGCGAGCCCUCGCCCCAGUCGGCUCCGCUGCAAACGAAACGAAAGCGUCUUUUUAGUUGUUGUUGUUGGGCCUUUUUGAAUCUUGUGGAGUUUUUGGGCUCUGGUGGGUGUGGGUUUUGCUUACUUGUAGUGGGUCGGCGAGAUGCCCUGGAAGUAGACCUUGGUCCUGGAGGUGUCGACGUUGGAGUCGACCCACCUGGCCCAUGUGGACAUCCCCUUGGAGAAGGCCGUGAGCCGGUCCAUGUCCUUCAUCACCUGCCCUCCGUCUUGGACGUAGUCCCACCUGGAUCACCAUCGGAACAAAAUCAAAACGACGAUGCAUGAAGUGUGUUUUGUUUCAUCAAAAAAAAAAGAAAAAAGUGGGUGCGGUGGACGACGUACGGUUGGUCCCUGCCGGUGUGCGUCCACCAGUGCCAAGUGUUGAAGACGAGGACGUCGGCGCCGAGCCAGGCGUCGCCGGUGAUGGAGUCGAGCUUGAGCACCCGGCCGACGGACUCCUCGACGAUGUCCACGAGGUAGGUGCUCCGGUAGUAGGCCACCGACACCCCGUAGUCCUGCCACCACCACAUUGACAGGCGCACGUUAUUAGCUGGCGUGAAGGCGGCCAGGGAGGACCCGGCGAUCGGCCGGCAACAAACUUUAGGCGCCGAUCGAUGCCCGUGCGCGCCUCUCAUCCGUAUCCGUGUACCACCAAAUAAAACAGAGCAGCGCGAUUAAAAGCCGAUCGAUCUCGACGAUGCAUGCAUGUUACGCCUACUGUAGCACACGUUCAUGGACAUGGCCGCACCGACCGUAUCAAUCAGCCCAGCACGCACAAAGGUCCAAAGGUGUCGGCACCCUCCUAUUAGCAGUGGACGGACGCGGCCUUCAACUGGCAGAUAGUAUAGUGCCAAGUCUAUUCAGUGUAGUACUAUAGUCGUCUGCGACAAAUCUCUCUGUUUGUCUGCGCCUGCGGCUACCACAGUGUGCCUCGCAGCGGAGCGGAUGCGAUGUCACUACUGCCGAAGCACAGCAAUAUAUUUUGUACGGCCCGUCCGUCAGCUCGUGGCAUUGUAUACCUCCAGUCUGCAAAGCAGUAGUACAAGUAGAGCGGGCAGCAAGAUGGGCACGUGAAACGGCAAGCAUCCUGCUUCCUCCGUGUUAAAUUAUAAGCUAUUUCAAAAAUCUUAGUUAAAUCAUCUUAAAUUUAACCAAAUUUAUAUAAUAAGAUAAUAAUAUUUAUGGUGUCAACUUAGUAUCAUUACAUUAUAUAUUAAUUAUAUUUUUAUAUUAUACCUAUUUGAUGUUAUAAAUUUUUGUAAUUAUCUCUAUAAUUUUGGUCAAAAUUGAAAUACUUCGACAUUUCAAUAUUCUUGAAAUGAUUUACGAUUUGGGAUAGAGGAAGUAGAAUUCACGGCAGUGAAUAAUUGGACUCAUGGAAUUCAUGGCGAUGAUCAUUGGUUACCAAUAGGCACCCGCGAAGUGGAGUGACUCUAUCCUGUUGCACUGAAUCUGCAUGUGAGUGGUCGUUGCCAACAGCCAUGCAUGAUAGGGAUCUGCAUUUGAGGUGGGAUUAUUGCUGGGACAGUGGGACGACGACUGCAUCCUACUCGACAGGAACUAGUGGUUCGGCUGUCCGGGUCAUCUGGAAUGCUAAAUUGACGUCUGAAAUGCCAGGUUCUCAUAAUAUCUUGCAUGGCAUUUUUAUUUCUGUGCAACAUCCGCUAGAUCUAGCUAGCGCUUCAGACCAACAUGGGCAACCAACAGGGGAAGGAACUAUAACCUAUUAUUUAUCGUCUAAUUUCACUUCGUUUUGACCUUUAUGUCACUUUUCCCCCCUUUUCAAAGAAAGUUCAUUUCUGCUCAGUUUUAACGUAGGCGUCAGCCAAAAAACCAAAAACUUUUUAAGAUUCUCUGUCACAUCGAAUCUUGCGGCAUAUGUAUUGAGCACUAAAUAUAGACGAAAAUAAAAACUAAUUACACAGUUUACCUGUAAAUCGCAAGAUAAAUCUUUCAAGCCUAGUUACUCUAUAACUGAACAAUGUUUGUCAAAUAAAAACGAAAGUGCUACAGUCUCGAGAACCAAAAAAAAAAUUCAAAACUGAACAAGGCCGUAGCACGAAUAAUAGCCGGUACAGUACAAGCAUGUACCACGUCCUACAAUGGCUGGCUGCCAGCUUCUGUACACAAGCUAUAAACCUGCAGACUCCCCCCGAAAGUCACCGUUGCACAUCCCAUUUUUAGACGUACAGGUUCAGAUAAAGUCCAUCUGUAAAAUCCCGCACAGUCCGUAUUGGAAUUUGGAAGACCAGCAGGGGACUCGGACCCAUCUUUACACCAUCAGCUGCCUAAUGCCCUGCUUUGAUGGACGGCUAGACGCAGACAGUCUUCUUCUGAUUAUAAUAACAGAGGACGAUCCUAACAUUCACAAAGUACCAAUCUGGUCGGCACAAGAAGUAAAAAGUCCCAUUUGCUGAUUCUCUGCAGCCUACUAUUCGAUCUAUCUAUACAUAAUAAUAAAUAAACAUGUAAAAAAAGAGGGAUCGCAUCUGGAGGACAGAGCAUGAGAGGAUCCAACAGUUUGACCCUUGUCAGCGUAUCACGGGUAAGACUAAGACCGAUGGUUAGCAAAGGGACGGGACCCGUACCCGUAGCAAAACGCCAACAAUGGGACGGGCAAAUGAUGCUCUGUGCACUGUGCUGUCCCGCGGCCCGUCCAUGGCGCCGACGACCCCUUCUCCCCGUCACGGACCACCCACGAGCGCCCCACGAUCGCCCAAUUCCUCUGCCACUGCCACCACCACAUGACCCAAGCAAAUUGGCGCGCGCGCGCCCAGUUUUCUCUGCUGGUGGCGGUGCGAUUUGGCGCUGGUGCGCUACACACACCACACUGCCCGCCUCCAUCCGCGCCAGACAAACGCGCCGUUCCACCCGUAGGGCCCGAAAGCCUGCGGCCGGAACUCCCAAAAGGCCAGCACGGGCCACGGGCACAGGCACAAAGCCUUUUCGAAAGCUUUGUAGACUGUCUAUUUCCCAAUCUUGCUUUUAGUUGCUGCUUAAAUAAAUACUAGUAAUUUGAACAUCCCAUGACGUGAAUCCCUUUCGCUACAACGUCGAGCCUAAUACACCUAUCCAGGGCCGUGCUACUUCUCACUAAAACCGAGAGGAACCGUAACGUAUGAUGUACUAGGGCACAUGACGGCAGGGGAGCAAUGGUCUGGUAUGGUACUAGGCGUACGCACGCACCUGGAACGUGACGCUGGAGACGGGGUUGCCCCUGGCGUAGGCGACCUUGGACGCCGGCGCGGCGGCGUGCAGCAUGCACGCAAGCGACUCCCACUGGUUCAGGCUGAUGGAGUCCCCCACGAACAGUAUCUUCUUCCCCUUCCACCGCCUCAGAAACUCCUGCCCGUCGAACCUGGCAUUGGCAGGGCAGCAAUGGCGGCUCAGAGAGACUCCAGCACUCAGCUUGGCGCGCCAAGAUUUGAUCGAGGCAAUGGCUGAUGACGAGUGAUGAGAGACACACAGACAGAUGCGUACCUCGGGAGGUCGCAGGAGGUCGGGCGCCACCGGUACUUGAGGUACAGCUUGUCGGGGCGGCCGUACUUCUGGCAGUCGAACUCCGGCUCCACGAAGGGGCACCCCGCCGUGUCGUACAUCGGCAGCGUGUCGUCGUACACCCAGCUGCCCUGGAACAGGUUGCACGACGCCAUGCCGGUGCCGGGGGCGGCGCCGCCACGGCCACGGCCACGCUGGUUCCCUCCCCCGUGCCGCGUGCCGUUGUGCUGCCGCGCGGGCUUGCUAUGCCGGAGGCCGAGCGUGCCCGUGCCCGUGACCUCGGCGGCGGUGCCGCACGCGCGCAGCAGCGACCACGCGACGGCCGCGGCGAGGAGAGGCAGGAGGCGCAGCUGCCGCUGCCGCUGCCGCUGCUUGGCCGCCAUUGCGCGGCGCUGUGGAGUGAGCAGCGAGGAGCUGCGGCUGCUGGUGCUGGGCCUUGCGGGGACGGGCACGGACGGAUCAGAUGAGGGCGGCGCGCCGAACUUUUUAUAAUAGAGUAAGGAGAGCGACGGGUUUUACGCCUUUUAACCUGGCCUAUAUCAGUUUUUUUUUCUGUGGGCUGGCCCUGGGUGGCCGGCCGGACUUAUCUCCGGUUAGAUUCUCGGCCGGUCGCUGGCCGCUGGGGUCUGCGCGGCUGCGCCAUGGAUGAGGGAACCUUUUCUGUCAGAUAGGUUAUGAUGCGAUGGUGACUCUGUUUCGGCAGCCGGCAGGGUCAUAGACAGCGGUCGCCGGAUGAGGAAGUCCACGCCGCCGGCCCACGGCGUGUCACCCUGUCACUGCCGGGCGCGUACAUCGGCACGGGCCGUGAAAGAAGUCCCACGGACCGCGGAACGCGUACUGCGGUCAGGUAGAUCCGCGCCUAGCCAGAGCCCAAAGAUAUCUUGCAUACGAGCAUUCGGUGCUCGAUGUUGUUAAGGCCGAGUUGGGUCACCAAGGUAAGGAGCCAGAUCGCUCGUGCAAAGCUUAGGUUUACUCAAAAAAACCAAAAACUUUUCAAGAUUCUUCGUCACAUCAAAUCUUACGACAUAUGUAUUAAGCAAUAAAUAUAGAUAAAAAUAAAAACUAAUUACACAGUCUACCUGUAAAUCGCAAGACGAAUCAAGCCUAGUUACUCCAUGAUUGAACAAAAUGAAAGUGCUACCGUGUCAAAAUUCAAAAAAAAUUCGAAUCUAAACAAGACCUUAGCCAACUUGGGUUCGCCCAUGUCUAGAGUAUGCCCGCACUCCGAUCUUGUGCUCCUAGCAACAAGUACCAUAAGCAAAACAUAUUAUCUGAUGAGCUUUACUUUUUUUCUCAAAUACACGAGAGGGUUGUAUAUUUUUAUAUUAAGAAGGGAGAAAUUAUUCAGUACAAACCCAGCCGAGGCCGAGCACCCUAGUGACAUUGAAGGACUCGGGUGGCAGCUAGCUACACCCCCGACGCUAAACACCAUAGAUUUUUGGCGCCUGCAGUCGCCCACUGCUCUGCCUCCGCCUUGAUCGUUAUUAGGGGAUCUAGAAUCGUGGUGGCGGCGUCCCUGAAGCAAUGCACAUUCCAUUAAUUCCAGAUGGUCCAGGCGGUCAACGUGAAGAGGGAAUCGAAGCCCUUCCUCGAGUUUCCUUACCAAGUGCUCCUCAGACGAGUCCAUUAGACUACGACUGAAUUCUCUGCGGCAGGCAAAGGUCACCCAAGGGCAUGACACAAGUGAUGCCAUACCUCUCUUGUGAACGGGUAGGUACAAAGGAUGUGGUCGAUCGUCUCCAGAGAUUGGUCGUAGAGGUAACACUCCUCUCUAGCCUCGAGUCCAUGCCGUGCGCGUCGAAUGUUUGUCCAAUGUCGUCUUUGGAAGGACAACUAGAAGAAGAUCUUUACCUUUAAAAGGGCCUAGGUCUUCCAAAUUAGUUUGUGUCUGCAGAAGGGCACCCGAGGAGCUUUAUCAAGAGCACGAUACACAAGACACGUCGACAAUGUCUCUUGAAACAUGAAACCCCACACGUCCGGAAUGGACCCUGUUGGGGCAUGCGGCGGUUGUGAGCUACUGUAUCCGGCUUGACCACUCUAGAACUUCGUCAUCAACGAUCCUCCAGCCAUUCAUCACCGACGAAGAACAAGUAGAAGUAGAGAGAGUAAAAACUUUUAGUAUAUGUGUUUUUGACGAUUAAAAGUUAAGAUCCUCAAUCAGCCAUGGUUCCCACUGUUUUACAUAGAGGGGAGGUCUUAUCCUAAUAAGAUUUCGUGUGGAAGAAUUUGUGGAAACUUUCUAUUCCUAGCAAGGUGAUACUUUUCGCAUGGCGGGUGUUACAUGGCUGCAUCCCUUGUCUUGUGGCUUUGGCAAACAGGCAUAUCACCAACGCAGUAAAUUGCCUGUUGUGUCAGGUGGCGGCAGAAGAUAUUAAGCAUGCUCUAUUUACAUACACCCGCGCAAAGAAUGUUUGGGCGUUGUUGGGAAUUGAGGAACACAUUCAGAGAAUGAUGGUCGCUCACAGAUUGGGUUGGGUUCGGUUAUCCUCCAGGAGGUUAUCAGAAAAUGGUGGUGAGGUAAAGGAGCUCAACCUUGGUCGAGCUGAACUCAUCUUGACAGGUGCUGGUAUAUUUGGCGACAAAGACGUCAGCUUGCUCAUGGUGAAGAUAUCCAGAAUCCAUCAAGAUCGACCUUGUCAAUAGCAACAAUUACUUGGAAUUAUGCGGCAACAUCAAAGAAGGGAGCAUUAAUCAACCAAGGCAUUGAGGAUGUGAUUGGCCACUUGUAUACGCUUGGAUGACGAUCAUGGGGGAGAGAAAAACGAGCAUGGCUCCGAUGCAUACUGUAAGCCUGAAUUUAUGACAUCGCAAAAGAUUCUUGAAUAGUGUUACCACGUUUACCUUUACAAGAAUAUAGAAGAGCAGGGUCGUUUAGUUCCCAAAAAAUUUUGUAAAAUUUUUUAGAUUCUCCGUCACAUCGAAUUUUUAAACGCAUACAUGGAGUAUUAAAUAUAGACGAAAAUAAAAACUAAUUGUAUAGUUUGGUCGGAAUUGAUGAGAUGAAUCUUUUGAGCCUAGUUAGUUCAUGAUUGGAUAAUAUUUGUCACAAACAAACGAAAUUGCUACAGUACCUGUUUUACAAAAAAAUUUGGAACUAAACAAGGCCUAAGUUUCUAUUUGGUAGGACUUCCACACUAUCUUCUUCUCUGCUCUGUGGGCAGAGUCGGCAGAGCCACGUCGUGUAGAGGAAUUCAAUUGGCUAGCAAAGCACAGAGUCAGAGCCAUUUUGGCCUUGUUUAGUUCGCAAAAAUUUUUAAGAUUCUUCGUCACAUCGAAUCUUUGGUCGCAUGCAUAGAGCAUUAAAUAUAAACAAAAAUAAAAACUAACUGCACAGUUUACCUGUAAUUUGUGAGAUGAAUCUUUUGAGCCUAGUUACUCCGUGAUUGGACAAUGUUUGUCAAAUAAAAAUGAAAUGCUACAGUAGCCAAAAACAAAAGUUUUUGCCAACUAAACAAGGCCUUUGUAUACGGACGCGAAGCUGCAAAAACUGGCUCCACAUAAAGGGCGCGUGUGGAGGAGCUGCACCAAAUAUGUCCUUAGAAAAAAAAAUGCUAAACUAUAGUAGAUUCCAAGCACCAGAUAUUGCGCUCAUGGUCCCGAAAACCCAAAGUUAGACGCCACGAUUGCAGCAAUGCAUACUUUGUUAUAGUGACGAACCUAUAUUGAAGGCGCGAUCACAUCCCAGCAAAAAGAGAAAGACAAUAAUAAAAGCUAAUUUCUUUACCAUACUUACACCUUUAUUUGAAAAGCCCCGAAUCCAUAAGGAAAGUACACCUCUCUUUUUUUGAUUUGCUUAGCUCUGUCAUAUUGUGUUCAUGCGUUAUCAGUGAUGAACUCGGCCCAAAUUUGAGGCAUGGGGCUCUUGACUCGUUAUUCCAACAGAAACGUACUGAAGUGUUUGAAUUGAGCUCUGGUUCCCACCAGCAGAAACGGAUGCUAAGUGCCCCAUGGCCUCACCUCCCACCACAACUUCCAUUCCCAUCACCUGCCCCUCUCCUUGUGUCAUAGCUCCUGUCGUCGUCCAGCGCAUUGCACAGUCUCUACCGCUGCGUGUGCUCCUACGCAGUCAUUUCGCUUGCCAUUGGCGCCCAAGGAGGGCGGAGAACAACAACACAUGACCCUAGGAUGCAUCGAUACCCAAUCAAAGCUCCCCAAGGAGAAGAAGCCCGUGAAAGCUUGAUGUUUCGGUUCCUCUAGCUCAUGCACACCUAUCUUAGUACGAGUUUAGGAGAUUCGCAUGCGGAGCUGUUGUCAUGCCCUUUGGUAGGGUUGCGCUUAAAGCUGGUUCGAGGGCUACUCAAGGGGGGUUACCAAAUAUGUUCCGAAUUCCUCUCAAGUACCUAUGCAUCCAAACAACAUAGAUCUAAGGCCUUGUUUAGUUCCAAAAAUUUUUGCAAAAUAGGAAUAGUACUACUUUCGUUUGUAUUUGACAAGUAUUAUCCAAUCAUGUACUAACUAGACUCAAAAGAUUUGUCUCGUCAAUUUCGACCAAACUGUGCAAUUAGUUUUUAUUUUCGUCUAUAUUUAAUACUUCAUGUAUGCGUCUAAAGAUUUGAUGUGACGGAGAAUCUGAAAAAUUUUGUAAAUUUUUUUGGGAACUAAACAAGGCCUAAAUUUUAGUUGUCUAAUUUCUACAUCUCAAAAACAAAUGUAUUUCCGGAGUUGAAACUUUGGGGCUGUUUGGCAGGGCACCUCACGUGAGGCUUCUCUAGAGGAGCCGGAGCCGUUUUGGUGAAGCCACAGAUCGGGUUCCGGCUCCUCUGCUUUUUACUCAAAAACGACUUCUCCAGCAAAACGUUUGGCAGGACUCAUCUGGAGGAGCGAGAACCAGAGCAAGAGUCGGAGAGGAACCUUGCCAAACAGGGUUCCCACGAUAAGUAUCAAUAUAAGGGUAUACAUAUUAUUUUUUCUAACACUUAUUUCUUUAAUAAAAUUUAAUUAUACUUAUUUUGGGGCAAAGAGUAAACUUUAUAGCCAGCUAAAUUUUCGGAUCCAUGUAUUUCCAAAAAAGAAAAAAAAAAUCGGAUCCAAAUAGAACCUCUUUUUUUUUGAGAGGGGAUCCUGGAGACUGGAGUUGCUCUCAUGGGCCUAGCGAGCUGAACCUUCUGUUUCCCCUACCUAGCUGCGGAAUGCGGACCCCGAGAGGUGCCUCUAUUUCGGCUACAGUACACAUUGCUAGACGCUCCCGCCGUUCCGCGCGUCGUCGCCGCCGCCGCCGCUGCCCGGGUCCUUACGCAAGACCGCGACGUGCAUCUGUGGAUCCAACUCAAGCCACGCUGCGCCUGGAGCGGCUCCCGUCUCGCCGGCCUGGAACCCUAGGCUUGACUCGGGGACCCCAUCUCAUCUGCGCUGCCGCGCGUAGCCUAACGUUGCCAGAAGUAAAGGUGAGGAGUCCUCAAGCUUCGAGUUGCAGAAACUUUUUGUUAAAGCUACUGCUUGUGUAGGAUCAUUAGUGCAAUUCCGGUGCUUGCGCGUGCAGGCCGUGCUACCCACGCUCCAAAAUCUCGCCCUUGUUGGUAAAUACUACUGGUUUGCCCCCAAUUAGGGGACUGCAAAACUUCAUUUUAAUUAUUUUGGUCCUCUUUUGUGAUGCUCAUGGACAUCAUGCGAAUUGUGUAGUUGAAUGCCCCUUUAGGGCUUGAUAAAAGGAGCCAAGGAGGUGAUCAUGUUACCCAGCUGUGUGAACAUGUAAUUUCAUCUCGUUUCAGGGUUUAGAGGUGCAUGAUGUCUUCAGAGGAGCUGAGAGCAAGCUUUUCAGAUUUGGUGGUGUGUUCACCAAUCCGGACAGAGGGCAAAACUUAUUCUUCAGGUGAUUUGUCAUCUGAGGAGGGCGUACAAGUCACUAGUUUCACAGAGGAUCUUCAUGAUGUAACACUUCAUUUUCAGAUAAUGAGGUUUUCUAAACAGGUAGACAAGGUUUCUUGGCUCGAAUUGAAGUAUCAAAUUGAAAGUUGUUCAAAUUCAUGACAUAGAAGGAAUUCAUUGAUAUUUAUAUAUAUAUAUAAAAACUUAUGCUACUUCUGAUGAUAUAAGGCUUUCAACUUUGUUUGUGCUCUACCAGCUGGCUGUGUACUUUCAUUCAGUAAAAUAAGUAACUAGCAAUCUAUCAUAUCAUCUUGUGACCUGCAAGCAUGCUAGCUUUAGCAUUUGGCAAGUUCAUCCUGUCCUUGUGACUAAGGUUGUUAACAAUGUCACCUGUAUAGUUAGCUCCAAGUCUUUAAUCUGCCUAGACAAAAAUUGAUGUGUUGCUGUACUCUCUACAUUCAUCGUAUUUUUAGAUGUAUAUUUGUUUGAAUCCUCACAGCUUGUUUUUUUUUUGGAAGAAUAUCCUCACAGCUUGUUUGCAGCGUGUUACCUCUCAUGCUUUAAUUGGUGUAUAUAGAAUAUUUUUGUGAGUAAUCAUAUUUGAGCUUUUCCUUUUAUUCAUUUUGAUGCAGAUCUAUGUGUGGGUUGGAUGCAACACAACAAAGUUUGGCCAUUUAUAUGCUGCUGCAACCACUAGGCCGGUAAGCUGUAGUUGUUUCAUUUUUAGAAGAUGCUGUUUAAUUAUUUCUGUUGUCGUUUGUGCCAUGUUGUCUUUUUAAUUCGUGUCGCUUUACAGGAUAACAGAGUGAGCGUUACUUCUGUACUGGGAGGAACGUCUGAUAACACCGGAUCAAGUAUGGCUCGCCGUCUAGGUACUGUUUUUGCUGGCAUUUACAGUAACUAAUUGCUCUUCAUUCGCGGUAGCUUUUAGUAACAGAAAGGAUGCAUCCUUACAUGUCUCAGUGCUGAAGACUGGUCUGAACAUAGUCCUGGCAUGCAACAUCCCAAAAGACAGCCCCAUUCUUGAGGUACAUACAGUUACAUGUGGGCUCAUACCUGCAUAAAACAAUCUUGUGAAACAUAUCUGACGCUCACUGGUUCAUGGUUUCAGGCUGCUGCGGAGAGGAAGCUGGUGGAGAAGCUGAAAGGUUUGGGCUACAUUAAAACUGCAGCUGUGGAGGCUAACACUUCCACGGCACAAUGAUCCUUGGUGAGCUUUCGGUCGACGUGUACCUUCAUCAUUGGAUGCAGCAGGAACAGUUGUUAUUUUUGGUGGGCUUGAUUGGCUAACUGUUUUCUCUGUCCUCUCAUGUGGUAAAAAUUAUUGUGAACAUGUUCGUUGUAAUGUACUCCCUCCAUUUAAAUUGUGGACAUGUUCGUUCUUACUUUUUUAGAUGCAUAAUCUGUACUUUUAUCUAGACAUAAUGUAUAUCUAGAUAUAUAUAGCAAAAAAAAUCAUGUAUCUAGAAAAGCUAGAAUUGGAGUAACACCGUGGAAUGCAGAUUAUGCAAUGCCUUGCAACUUUGAGAUCCUCAGCUAAGCAUAAAAUCGGCAUUCAGAUCAUUUAGGCCUUGUUUAGUUUCCAAAAUUUUUUGAUUUUAGGUAUUGUAGCACUUUCAUUUUUAUUUGGUCCAAUAAUAGACUACUAGACUCAAAAGAUUUAUCUCGCGAUUUACAAGCAAACUGUGUAAUUAGUUGUGUCGAAAGAUUCGAUGUGAUGGGGAAUCUUGAAAAUUUUUUUGUUUUGGGGUGAACUGAACAAGGCCCAUGCGUAUGGUCAGCAGCUUGCAAGGCUUUCUGUGCUAUGGCCUCUGCUCUGUGGCGAGCGAGCUACAAUGACACAAUGGUCUGCAGGCUGCAGAGAUGUGAUUAUUCGCAGCCGCUGAGAAUCGCAGACACAAUACUUUUUUUUACUACACAAAAUACUGUUGAUACAAUUUAGAUAUAUACUAUGCAGCAGAAGGGCGACUGAGAAAGGCAGCCCAACAGGCCCAAAUAUGGGAUUUCUGCUGUGCAGGUGUCUGAUGGGGAUGGCUACCACUGUAGGGCAAUAAGGGCGAUUGUCAAUGAAUCCAAGUUGCAUUUUAUUUGUUCGUUGGGUCGUCCGUGAUGGUGCUAGCUAUAUAGCUAAAGACUGUUUUAUAUUUCUUUCAUCUAUACCUAUUUAUAAAGAGAGAAAAUUUCAGGCUGCCAAUAUUUUUUCUGCCUGCCCUGUCCGGCUUCGGUUGUCCGGAAACCUCUAUCCGCGAUUAGAUUAGGUUAUAACACAAGUUACAUCCGCAGCCGACAGCAGCGAUCCUCCCAAAGUCUCGAUCGACCGUCCGGUCCAUGCACGCAAGCCGCACACGCCGGCUUCCAUGUACUGGCUUGGUCCGUGCAUAGCUCCGAGCCUCCGACGGACAUGGCACAAACUUAGGGCUUAAGCUAACCCUAUAUCCAUUAAUGUGAUUGAAUCGAUAUAUUUUAGGAUUGUUUCUUUUUUGUGAAUUAGUAUUUUAUAAGAUUAAUCUAUGUCUAUACUUCUAUAUCUUUUUCUAAUAUAUAAUUGUAAAAAAUUUAGUCCAUCAUAUCUUUAUAUGUCCACUGGUCAGAUUAAUUAAACGAUGCCUGGUCCAAUUGGGUUAGGGGAAAAAAGAAAAGUUACGGGCUGAAUCUAACUCCGAAGCCUAACACAAGUUUAAACCAAUUUUAGACCGAACCAAGCGAACAGUUAGGCUUGACUAAAAUCCAAAAUGACCAGAAAAAUUUCCUUUUUAUUAUUAGAGAAGGAACUAUAGGACUUUGAUUUUUUUCCUCCGAUUGACAUCUAAGUAAGGGGUGCUUAGUUCCCCCAUAGAAUCCAAAAUACAAAAUACCAAUUACUUUGGAGUGAUGAAAUACAAAAUGCCAAAAUCAGGGUCAUGGUUAGUUCCAUUCAAAAUGCAGAAUUUAUUGUCCUCAUGAGAGCCUCUUGAGGCUCUUUUUGAGGUUUUUUGUCUCUUAAAGUCAAAAUACAAAAUGGAGAAUAACCACCUUUUUGCCAAAAAAAAUUGCAUGGUGUUUAGUCUAUUUUGCAAAAUGAUGGACCAAAACCCAAUUUUUUUGAAAAAAGGGAAACUAAACACCCCCUAAAUAAAGCAGUGGAGCAAAAUAAAGAACAUAAUUCUUAUCCUUUUUCUAUUUGACUAUUAAGAAUUCUAUUUAGAAUACUUAGGAUGUGAGGAAUCUAUUUAUAUUAGGACUUCUACUCCACAUAUUGGUUUAGACGUAAGUUAUUCUAACUCGUAUGAGCACGGGUUAUAUAUAAGUUUAGAUAAAAGAAACUUUUCAUUGUUCGGUAGUUAGAGGAAGAUAGACAAAAAAAAUGGACAAAAAAAGAACCUAAAAUUUUACCUCUUUAUUAUUAGGUAUAAAUAUAUAUAAUUAGGUAAUAGAGAUAUAGAUAUAGAUUUGAUAGCUUUUUUCUCCCGUUGCAACGCACGGGUAUUUUUGCUAGUAUCUAUAAAAAAUCAUUUUAGAUAAGGUUUAGGUUAAACAUUGCGAAUAUAAAUCAUGAAUAACUUUUAAGUUGUUAAGUUUAAAAAAUAUGAAAAAUAUACGAAUAGAUUUGUCUUAAAAAAUACUUUUAUAAAAAUAUACAUGUACCAUUUUUCGAUAAAUAUUUUUUAUAAAAAUAAGAAUUUAAAGUUAUGCUUUAGAAACUGUGUCGCUGUCCUAAAUAUUUUUUUAUAGGUAUGCAGGGAGUAUAUAUUUAUUUUUCUAUGUAUUAUUAGAUCCACAUGUUCCUCUCUCAUAUUUUUGGAUUACCUGAAAUAAGUAGGCUAUUCACUCAUCGCUAAUAACUACUCUCUCUUCUAUUUUUUUUCUAUAGCUAACGAAAUAGGUAGGUCUUGUUUAGUUUCUCAACAAAUAACUUUUCACUCAUCACAUCGAAUCUCUGGAGAUAUAUAUAGAGCACUAAAUAUAGAUAAAAAACUAAUUAUAUAAUUUACGUGUAAAUUGUGAGAUGAAUCUUUUAAAUCUAAUUAGUUAAUGAUUAGAUACUAUUAUCAAAUAAAACAAAAAUAAUAUAGUAGUCAAAUUAAAAAAAAUCAGAACUAAAUAAGAUGUUGGAGACGCCCUAAGGCCAGUCUUCAGUGGAGGUUUUACCAGGAUGUCAUGCACAUUUAUUAGAGCGUCAUGUCAGUAAAACUGCACUUUUUGCAUGAAACGAAGAGGAGAGAGAAGGAAGUAGUUUCACCAUGGUGAAACCCCGCGGGCGUUGUUUCCCACGCGGUGAAACGAGAUGAAAUCCCCACUGAGGGCUAAAUCGUUUCACCAUCUUGCAUGUGAUCCAAUUCAGAGUGGGCAUAAUUAACCGAAACCGAAAGAACCGGUUCCUUAUUCGGUUCCAAGUUUUGAGGAACCGAAAUAACCGAGAACAAUUCGGUUCCUACCCUCGGUUAACCGAAAGAACCGAAAUUCAUGAAUUUUACUUUACUUACUAGUAUUUUGUAAGACAAAGUUUGAUUUUUGUGUGACGUCUCAUAUUAAAUUACUGUAUUUAUGUUACUAUAUUGCUAAUGUAAUCUUAUCAAUUAUUAUUAUCGUUGUAUUAACCUUUCCUAGAAAAAUUCGGUUAGUUCGGUAAGAACCGGAACCGAACCGAAAUAACUUAGAACCGAAAUGUUCGGUUUCUAAUUUUUUUUGGAACCGAUCGGUUCUGAACCGAAUUUUAUAAAUAACCGAGGGAACCGAACCGAGAACCGAAUGCCCACUCUGAGAUCUAAUUAUUUUGUAGUAAUUAAAUGCUUUGUCCAGCCUAGAAAACGUCAAGAUGAAACUCAUAUAUUGUGGAGAUUGUUUUAUUAUUCAUUUUAUUUAUGCUUUAUCAGCAGAUUUGUUUCGAAAGCAGUACAUUCAAACGGAUCACUGGCCUAACUGCAUGACCAGUGACCACGCGUAUGUGGAGUGUGGGCCAUUGUAACACGAUGCCUAUAGAAGUUAGUGCACGCAGAUUUGACCCAAACCGUAGCGAAAAGCCAUUUUGGCUUUGGGGAGUGGGGACCUGCAGCAAAGCAGCUGCACAUCUGCACAAAAAACUGCUGGGAAGAAAAAUGCAAAUUCUUCAGUGCAUUAGGGUGUGUAAUAAUCUUCCGAUGACAAAUGGCUCGCGUUGAUUUGCCUUUUAAUACGAUUAUUAUUACUUAGAAUACUCCUAAAUUUAAUUCUUCAUUCACAUGUAGGGGCAUCCUAACAAAAAAUACUCUCUUAAAUAUUUCUAUCUAACAGUCCCACAUUCCAAAUAACAUAUUAAUGCGAGGGCGUCACACACUCUCAUGACCGCGUAACGAGUCACACGAUAAACUUCAUCCAACUAAAUAUGAGAUGAUAGAUAUACAAAUAUUGUUUGAGUUUUUUUUAUAAUUAUUUAUGCAUAAAACAUUAAAUAUAAAUAUAAAAUAACUAAUUAUACAGCUUAGAUGUAAUUCGCGAGGUAAAUCUUUUAAAUCUAAUUAAUCCAUAAUUAGACACUAACUAAACAAAGCCUCAUCCAUUCGCAUCCAAGAACUUUUUUUUUUUGGUGCUUGUGCUACUAGGAUGUGACUGUCCUACUGUCACCAACUUUUCUGCCCUACAAUCCCACGCAUAAAAAAGCUCACGGACGCAUCUCCGGAAAUCCCCUCUUUCCAGCCAGCCACCCUCACGCUUCAGUAGCCCCUUCGCUCCUCCGAAAUGGCGGCGGCCACCUCCUCCUCCACCUACCUCGCCAUCGCCCGCAAAACCCUAAACCCCGCCCCCUCCGUAGGCACAGCCGCCGCCUCCGUCUCCUUCCCCGCCACGCAGCCCCCAUGCCUCCUCGCCGCCUCCGCGGACCGCCGCCGCGCCGUGGCUGCGAAGGUCUCGUCGCCGUCGGUUAUCGGCACCGCCAUGCCAUCGCUCGACUUCGAGACCUCCGUCUUCAAGAAGGAGAAGGUGUCCCUGGCCGGCCAUGAGGAGGUACGAUUUGCAGGCCUAGCCCGUGCUUCCGUGAUCCUUUCGUUGUUUAGUUUGUGCGAACCCACACACACGCUGCUGAUUUUGCUGGUUUGUGUUGCAGUAUAUUGUGAGGGGUGGGAGGGAUCUGUUCCCGCUGUUGCCGGAGGCCUUCAAGGGAAUCAAACAGAUCGGCGUAAUCGGCUGGGGCUCGCAGGUUAAAAGGCCUGCAAACUCUGUUUUGUCUGAUGGAACUGUUCUUGUCUCUACCGGCGUUUACUUCUGUCGGAUGUAUUGGGUUAUUCUAUUUGAGUAUAGAUAGAAGUCGUUGUAAGUGCCCAAAUGAUGGCGUGCUCUUGGGAACGAUAUCUUCGGCACCAACUGCAGAUUUAGAUUAUACAUUUUUGCUCGAGCACUCUUUGUCGGAUGAAUAUGGUAGGGUCAAUUUGCAUGAUGGUGAAGAACAAAAACAUUAUAUGCUAGUAUCAAUCACUUGAAACUAUUAAUGUUGAGCAAACAUGUCACUGCUAUUGGGCUUGAGUGUUACCGUGCUAAUGUUACUCUUUAUGAGGUAUAUAUAGUUUGGUUUAGUAGGAAUUGAUAUCGAUGUUGCUAUGUUUGUUGCUUGUUGGUGUUGGAUGCAGUGAAUACCUUCCCUAAUGGCAGUAUCAAUUGAAUUAUCUAGAGUCGAUGUAAAUGCACAAUCUGUAUUUUCUUAUAUUUCAUUGUUUAUUAAGUUAUAGUUGUUUACCCAUCAAUAUUUUUCCUAUUUACUUUUGGACAUGAAUUUUCUGUUUCUAUAAGUUGUGUAGAAGAAAGGAGGUAUCUACACAUUGAUAAAAACCAUGUGCAGAUACUGAGAUAGUCAUCAUUAAUUUUGCAGGGUCCUGCACAAGCUCAGAACUUGAGAGACUCACUUGUUGAGGCAAAGGCAGACGUUGUUGUUAAGGUUAGGUCUUAUUUGCAUUCUGCUAGUACAGCAUAUGUUAGCCUUGAUAGAGACAGUCAAAUUUUCAAACAGAUGGUAGCUCUAAAUCAUUGCUUCAAUGAGCCAUCAUUUGUUCCUUGGUUUCUCGUUGACUAGAUGUUACUUAAGCAGUAAGCAGUAUUUCCUCUCUGAUUCUGCUGUUUUGGUUUCAGAUUGGUCUCCGGAAAGGUUCUAAAUCGUUUGAAGAAGCCCGAGCAGCGGGGUUCACUGAAGAGAGUGGGACACUGGGUGAUAUAUGGGAGACUGUAUCAAGCAGUGAUCUUGUUUUGCUGCUGAUAUCUGAUUCUGCUCAGGUUUGAUUCUUCAUCGAUUUAUAUGCUCAUGUGCUCAUAUGCUGCAUACUUUCUGUUGAUCUUUUUUUUUAAAAAAAAUUCUUGCUGUCGAUCAUUCUCUGGUAUAGUACUAUAGUGUUGCACCUUUUGUUAUUCCAAUUAUUAUUAUUUUAAUUCUGUUGCUUUGAGAUGAGACUGAUUCUAGUUGGUCACAAUCUUAUAUGUUUAAAAGUCUGAUGACAUUUACGGUACUUCAAUACUCUGUACAGGCUGAUAACUACGAGAAAAUUUUCUCACACAUGAAACCAAACAGUAUUCUUGGUUUGUCACAUGGAUUUCUCCUUGGACAUUUGCAAUCUCUGGGUCUUGAUUUCCCUAAAAACAUCAGCGUGAUUGCUGUAUGCCCCAAGGGAAUGGGUCCAUCAGUUAGAAGACUUUAUGUUCAGGGCAAAGAGAUUAAUGGUGCUGGUAUCAAUGCUAGCUUUGCUGUUCACCAGGUAUGUUACAUAUGGGUAUUGUCUGAAUAGUUUAUUACAUGUUUACCUUCCCCAGGUAUAUUACAUAUGUUCACAUGUUUGUUUUGUUUGGUUCUUCCUUUAAGUGUAUAUUUUUGAAUCUCUGUUGACAUCCUCGUGCUGUUCUUUGCAUCUUAUAGGAUGUUGAUGGAAGGGCAACAGAUGUAGCUCUAGGGUGGUCAGUAGCUCUAGGUUCUCCUUUCACAUUUGCUACUACUCUAGAGCAGGAGUACCGGAGUGAUAUUUUUGGCGAGCGAGGUUACCUACUUUCCUGUCCAACGAAAUAAAGUUUUGCACUUUGAGUCUGUGUCUAAUUAUUUAGUAUGCAGGUAUUUUGCUUGGUGCUGUCCAUGGCAUGGUGGAGGCUCUUUUUAGGAGAUACACAGAACAAGGAAUGGAUGAGGACUCAGCAUAUAAAAAUACAGUUGAGAGCAUCACUGGAAUUAUAUCGAAAACUAUUUCAAAGAAGGUACACAGCUUUUUUUUAUCUUUUGAUUGUUUCAUUUUGGCUUUACUCAUCUCAUGUCUUUCCAUGGUACCAGGGGAUGCUUGAAGUGUAUAACUCUUUGACCGAAGAAGGAAAGAAGCAGUUUAUUGAGGCCUACAGCGCAGCAUAUUACCCAUGCAUGGACAUAUUGUAUGAGUGCUAUGAAGACGUUUCUUCUGGAAGUGAGAUUAGAAGUGUGGUGUUGGCUGGGAGGAGAUUUUAUGUACGCUUUCCCAUCUGCUAAAAUUCUAAAUCAUAUUCUAUUCAUGGAUCUCCAAUGAAACAAAGUAAAAUGUUUACAUGUAUUUUCUUCUCUUAACAGGAGAAGGAAGGGCUUCCUGCUUUCCCUAUGGGGAAUAUUGAUCAAACACGUAUGUGGAAGGUGGGUGAAAGGGUCCGUUCUACCAGGCCACAAGGUGAUCUUGGUCCAUUGCAUCCCUUCACUGCUGGAGUGUAUGUUGCACUAAUGAUGGCUCAGGUUUGAUUCCAUAUCCAGGAGUAACAAGGUUUCAUUACACACUGGUUUGUGAAAUGUUUAACAGUCUUUUGUUUUGUACCACUGCAGAUUGAGGUCCUAAGAAAGAAGGGCCACUCUUACUCGGAGAUCAUUAAUGAGAGCCUGAUCGAGUCUGUGGACUCGUUGAACCCGUUUAUGCAUGCUCGUGGUGUGGCCUUCAUGGUUGAUAACUGCUCCACAACUGCUCGCUUGGGAUCAAGGAAGUGGGCACCACGCUUCGAUUACAUCUUGACCCAACAAGCGUUUGUGACCGUUGACAAGAAAGCACCAAUCAACCAAGACCUCAUCAGCAACUUCAUGUCUGACCCUGUUCACGGUGCCAUUGAAGUCUGC